Molecule: long non-coding RNA, 92737 nt
Filed under: Triticum aestivum (bread wheat)
Lineage: Eukaryota; Viridiplantae; Streptophyta; Magnoliopsida; Poales; Poaceae
Description: long non-coding RNA (TAES_LNC027395)
Source: RNAcentral
GAACAGCAAGUGCACCUAAUUUUUUUGGUAUUUCGUGUUCCAUAUCCAUAACUAAUUAUAAAGAACAACUAAGAACAGCAAAUAAAAAUUACUUAGUGAUAAAGCAAACAAGCACACACGAGAAUAUUCACCCCACGCUAUGACUCCCCGGCAACGGCGCCAGAAAAAGGUCUUGAUAACCCACAAGUGUAGGGGAUCGCAAAAGUUCUCGAUAAGUAAGAAUGUCGAACCCAACGAGGAGCUAAAGGUAGAAUAAAUAUUCCCUCAAGUUCUAUCGACCACCGAUACAACUCUACGCACGCUUGACGUUCGCUUUACCUAGAACAAGUAUGAAAUUAGAAGUACUUUGUAGGUGUGAUAGGAUAGGUUUGCAAGAUAAUAAAGAGUACGUAAAUAAAAACUAGGGGCUGUUUAGAUAAAGAUGCAAUAAAUUAAAUAUUAGUAGAGAGCUUUUUGUCACGAGAAAGUUAUUUGUCCCUAGGCAAUCGAUAUCUAGACAGGUAAUCACUAUUGCAAUUUUAUUUGAGGGAGAGGCAUAAGCUAACAUACUUUCUCUUGUUGGAUCAUAUGCACUUAUGAUUGGAAAUCUAGCAAGCAUCCGCGACUACUAAAGAUUCAUUAAGGUAAAACCCAACCAUAGCAUUAAAGUAUGAAGUCCCCUUUAUCCCAUACGCAAACAACCUACUUACUCGGGUCUAUGCUUCUGUUCACUCACGCCACCCACCAUAAGCAAAUCAUAAACAUAUUGCAAACCCUACAACGGGGAUCCCUCAUGCUUGCGCGAUAGGGAGAGCACCAUAGGACAGCACCAAUAAUAAAACAUGCAACUCAAACCAAUCACAGUCAUCAAUUAACCCAUAGGACAAAACGGAUCUACUCAAACAUCAUAAGAUAGCCAUACAUCACUGGGAAAUAAUAUAUAGCGUUGAGCACCAUGUUUAAGUAGAGAUUACAGCGGGUAAGAGAGGGGUUACACUGCUGCAUAGAGGGGGAAGAGUUGGUGAUGAAGGCGGUGAAGUUGUUGGUGAAGAUCGCGGUGAUGAUGAUGGCCCCCGGCGGCGUUCCGGCGCCACCGGAAGCAAGGGGGAGAGGGCCCCCCCUUCUUCUUCUUCUUCUUCCUUGACCUUCUCCCUAGAUGGGAGAAGGGUUUCCCCUCUGGUCCUUCGCUCCCAUGGCGUGGGAGGGGUGAGAGCCCGUCCGAGAUUGGAUCUGUCUCCCUGUCUCUCUCUGUUUCUGCGUUCUCAGAUUCUGCCCCUUUGCCGUUUCUUUUAUAUCCGGAGAUCCGUAACUCCGAUUGGGGCGAAUCUUUCGCCCAGAUUUUUCUCAUAAAAUUAGCUUUCUUGCGGCAAAAGAAGAGCAUCAACCGCCUUACGCGGUGGCCUAGGAGAGUGCGAGGCAUUCCCAGGGGGGAGGGCGCGCCCCUAUCUCCUGGCCAUCUCGGGCACCGUUUCACGUUGAUUCUUCCUCCGUAAAAUCCCAAAUAUUCCAAAAUAAUUCUCCGUCCGUUUUUAUCCCAUUUGGAUUCCAUUUGAUAUUGGGUUUCUGUGAAUCAUAAAACAUGCAACAAACAUGAACUGGCACUGGGCACUGGAUCAAUAUGUUAGUCCCAAAAAUAGUAUAAAAAGUUGCCAAAAGUAUAUGAAAGUUGAAUAAUAUUGGCAUGGAACAAUCAAAAAUUAUAGAUACAAUGGAGACGUAUCACUCACCAGAGGGGACACGCGUUGUCUUGCAAUUUCACUGACAUGUGGGACUGCAAUUGAAUAAACCGCCGAUAGCCGAAAUCUAAUCGCUCGACGGGCGUCGGCUGAGAAGAGAGAGAGACGGGGGAGGGAGAGGAGAUUGCCCGCCCGCCACGCAUGGACUCCAAGAAAUAUAUGGUGAUAAUGUGAGGUGGGCCAUGCAGGAGUCCGGGCCGCUCCCAAGCCCGCUUCUGACCGCCCUGGCCCCUUAGACGCCAGCUGCCUGCCGCAUGCAUGCAUAGCAAGUAGUACGAGUAAAAUACUGGGUUAUAAGCCCGCUUAUGUGGAGGAGAGAGAGGCAUUGACAAAGUCAACGAGUGGGCUCUGCAAGAGCCCGUGUCCACACAUGCUCCUAGGUAUACAAAAAAUAAUUCUAAAAAAAGAGGCAUAAGAAAACAAUUGUGUCUAAAAAAAGAAAGGAAAAAAACAUUUGAGAGGAAAUAGAUAGAGAGAAAGUGAGAAAAAGUUGUAACCUUAUAGCCAACCUUAUAGUCAACAGUAUGGUAGUAUUACAUGAGGAAGGAGGGAGUGGUGCACAUGCCAAGUUCACUGGGCUGCCGUGUUUCACACUCCUCCAUCGUAACAGUGGAGACAAUAGCUUUCAUCAAAAGUAAACAAUGAAUACUCGUUGCAGGCCCAACCUUUCCCAUUGUAAGUUGGUCGGACGAAGGAACCAUGAUGACUUCAUUGAAUUCCGCUUCUUCAAGAAAACUUACUAUACCCGCAAUACUGCUACCACACGCGAAGACUGGACGACACUGUACCACGUCAUAUCACUGAAACCCACUAGGCCAUCCUAAAAAAAGCUACUAGGCCAAAGUAGCCCACCUAUAGGUCAUCUAUUUUGGAACAGAGGGAGUACGUCUCUGUACUGCUAUGAUUUUGUGUUGUACGUCUUUGUACUUUUGCUACAAUUUUCCUACCCUACGAACCAAAUGAGGCCUGAAUGUAUCCGUGUCGACUAAGCCUACAAUUUUAGGAGCUUGGGCUAUUGACCGAUCGACGAUGGAUAAGUAUAAGCAUACCACGAGCUCAUCAGCCCCAACGUUUCUCUUUAGUGAUUGUUUUGCAAGUACUAUAGCUCGCACAGUAGCUAGCCUACUAACACCAAGAAUCAUCAAACAAGCCCUGCUGAUAUGAUAAAUAGUUCAAACUUACAUCUAAGCAUGCCAUAUAUUACAUCAAAAGCUGGUGAGGAUACAUCUGUUUCCAUAACUCGGAGAGGGUCACAUCAUUCACUAUCAAACAAAAGUAGCAAGUACCGCCGACACAAGACAGUGCAUUAGCCCUAAGAUGGUUUGAUAACACACAUCGUUCUGGUGAUUAAACAUAGGGCAAUGCAAACUACCCUAAAGGAUUAGCGCGACCAACUAUUUCUUGUCAGCGAUCUCUCGGGCAAUGACCACAGCACGGACAGUGGCAUGGGAAUCGAUCUUUGGGGCGAUGUCCACAGGACUGACCGCGACAUCGGAAUCGAUCUCAGGGGCGAUGUCCAAAGGAUGGACAGCGGCAUCGGAAUCGAUCUCCAGGGUGAUGCCAACAGGAUGGACCGCGACAUCGAAACGAUCUCUGGGGCGUUGUCCACAGGACGGACCGCGGCAUCGGAAUCAUCAAGGACGUCCACCGGCACCUUCACAACCCUAACAUAUUAGCAAGCACAUUGCAAAUAAUCAAAAACCACAACUAUGGUAAUAAGCCAUUAUUUUUUACCUUGUGCAGCUCACCGGGGGAUCCCAUCCCUCCGGGGUGUUGGGGAACGUUGCAUAAAAUAAAAAAAUUCCUACAUUCACCAAGAUCAAUCUAUGAGUUCAUCUAGCAACGAGAGAGGGGAGUGCAUCUACAUACCCUUGUAGAUCGUGAGCGGAAGCGUUCAAGAGAACGGGGUUGAGGGAGUCGUACUCGUCGUGAUCCAAAUCACCGGAGAUCCUAGCGCCGAACAGACGGCACCUCCGCGUUCAACACACGCACGGUCAGCGUGACGUCUCCUCCUUCUUGAUCCAGCAAGGGGGAAGGAGAGGUUGAUGAAGAUCCAGCAGCAGCACGACGGCGUGGUGGUGGAUGCAGCAGAGUUCCGGCAGGGCUUCGCCAAGCGACUACGGGAGGAGAAGGUGUAGCAAGGGGGAGAGGGAGGCGCCAAGACUUCAGGGUGCGGCUGCCCUCUCCCCCCUUUAUAUAGGCCCCCUGGGGGGGCGGCCCUGGAGAUGAGAUCUCCCAAGGGGGGCAGCGGCCAGGGGGGUGGAGUGCCCCCCAAGGCAAGUGGAGGCGCCCCCCCACCCUAGGGUUUCCAACCCUAGGCGCAGGGGGCCCCAAGGGGGGUGCACCAGCCCACCAGGGGCUGGUCCCCUCCCUACUUCAGCCCACGGGGCCCUCCGGGAUAGGUGGCCCCACCCGUGGACCCCCGGUACCCUUCCGGUGGUCCCGGUACAAUACCGGUGACCCCCAAAACUCUCGCGAUGGCCGAAACUGCACUUCCUAUAUAUAAUUCUUUACCUCCGGACCAUUCCGGAACUCCUCGUGAUGUCCGGGAUCUCAUUCGGGACUCUGAACAACUUUCGGUUUGCUGCAUACUAAUAUCUUUACAACCCUAGCGUCACUGAACCUUAAGUGUGUAGACCCUACGGGUUCGGGAGACACGCAGACAUGACCGAGACUUCUCUCCGGUCAAUAACCAACAGCGGGAUCUGGAUACCCAUGUUGACUCCCACAUGCUCCUCGAUGAUCUCAUCGGAUGAACCACGAUGUCGAGGAUUCAAGCAACCCCGUAUACAAUUCCCUUUGUCAAUCGGUACGUUACUUGCCCGAGAUUCGAUCGCCGGUAUCCCAAUACCUCGUUCAAUCUCGUUACCGGCAAGUCACUUUACUCGUAUCGUAAUGCAUGAUCCCGUGACCAGACACUUGAUCACUUUGAGCUCAUUAUGAUGAUGCAUUACCGAGUGGGCCCAGAGAUACCUCUCCGUCAUAUGGAGUGACAAAUCCCAGUCUCGAUCCGUGUCAACCCAACAGACACUUUUGGAGAUACCUGUAAUGCACCUUUAUAGUCACCCAGUUACGUUGUGACGUUUGGUACACCCAAAGCACUCCUACGGUAUCCGGGAGUUACACAAUCUCAUGGUCUAAGGAAAAGAUACUUGACAUUGGAAAAGCUCUAGCAAAACGAACUACACGAUCUUGUGCUAUGCUUAGGAUUGGGUCUUGUCCAUCACAUCAUUCUCCUAAUGAUGUGAUCCCGUUAUCAAUGACAUCUAAUGUCCAUAGUCAGGAAACCAUGACUAUCUGUUGAUUAACGAGCUAGUCAACUAGAGGCUCACUAGGGACAUAUUGUGGUCUAUGUAUUCACACGUGUAUUAUGAUUUCCGGAUAAUACAAUUAUAGCAUGAAUAAAAGACAAUUAUCAUGAACAAGGAAAUAUAAUAAUAAUCCUUUUAUUAUUGCCUCUACGGCAUAUUUCCAACAGUCUGCCACUUGCACUAGAGUCAAUAAUCUAGUUACAUUGUGAUGAAUCGAACACCCAUAGAGUUCUGGAGUUGAUCAUGUUUUGCUCGUGGAAGAGGUUUAGUCAACGGAUCUGUGACAUUCAGAUCCGUAUGUACUUUGCAAAUAUCUAUGUCUCCAUCUUGAACAUUUUCACAAAUGGAGUUGAAACGACGCUUAAUGUGCCUAGUCUUCUUGUGAAACCUGGGCUCCUUGGCAAGGGCAAUAGCUCCAGUGUUGUCACAGAAGAGAGUGAUUGGCCCCGACGCAUUGGGUAUGACUCCUAGGUCGGUGAUGAACUCCUUCAUCCAUAUUGCUUCAUGUGCUGCCUCCGAGGCUGCCAUGUACUCCGCUUCACAUGUAGAUCCCGCCACGACGCUCUGCUUGCAACUGCACCAGCUUACUGCUCCACAAUUCAACAUAUACACGUAUCCGGUUUGUGACUUAGAGUCAUCCAGAUCUGUGUCGAAGCUAGCGUUGACGUAACCCUUUAUGACGAGCUCUUUGUCACCUCCAUAAACGAGAAACAUGUCCUUUGUCCUUUUCAGGUACUUCAGGAUAUUCUUGACCGCUGUCCAGUGUUCCUUGCCAGGAUUACUUUGGUACCGUCCUACCAAAACUAUGGCAAGGUUUACAUCAGGUCUGGUACACAUCAUGGCAUACAUAAUAGAUCCUAUGGCUGAGGCAUAGGGGAUGACACUCAUCUCUUCUUUAUCUUUUGCCGUGGUCGGGCAUUGAGCCGAGCUCAAUCUCACAUCUUGCAAUACAGGCAAGAAACCUUUCUUGGACUGAUCCAUUUUGAACUUCUUCAAUAUCUUAUCAAGGUAUGUGCUUUGUGAAAGACCUAUGAGGCGUCUCGAUCUAUCCCUAUAGAUCUUGAUGCCUAAUAUGUAAGCAGCUUCUCCAAGGUCCUUCAUUGAAAAACAUUUAUUCAAGUAGGCCUUAGUGCUGUCCAAAAGUUCUAUAUCAUUUCCCAUCAAAAGUAUGUCAUCUACAUAUAAUAUGAGAAAUGCUACAGAGCUCCCACUCACUUUCUUGUAAACGCAGGCUUCUCCAUAAGUCUGCAUAAACCCAAACGCUUUGAUCAUCUCAUCAAAGCGAAUGUUCCAACUCCGAGAUGCUUGCACCAGCCCAUAAAUGGAUCGCUGGAGCUUGCAUACCUUGUUAGCAUUCUUAGGAUCAACAAAACCCUCUGGCUGCAUCAUAUACAGUUCUUCCUUAAGAUAGUCGUUAAGGAAUGCCGUUUUGACGUCCAUCUGCCAUAUCUCAUAAUCAUAGUAUGCGGCAAUUGCUAACAUGAUUCAGACGGACUUCAGCUUCACUACGGGAGAGAAAGUCUCAUCGUAGUCAACCCCUUGAACUUGCCGAUAACCCUUAGCGACAAUCGAGCUUUAUAGAUGGUAAUAUUACCAUCCGCGUCCGUCUUCUUCUUAAAGAUCCAUUUGUUUUCUAUCGCUCGCCAAUCAUCGGGCAAGUCUGUCAAAGUCCAUACUUUGUUUUCAUACAUGGAUUCUAUCUCGGAUUGCAUGGCUUCAAGCCAUUUGUUGGAAUCUGGGCCCGCCAUCGCUUCUUCAUAGUUCGAAGGUUCACCGUUGUCUAACAACAUGAUUUCCAGGACAGGGUUGCCAUACCACUCUGGUGUGGAACGUGUCCUUAUGGACCUACGAAGUUCAAUAGCAACUUGAUCCGAAGUACCUUGAUCACAAUCAUUAAUUUCCUCUCCGGUUGGUGUAGGCACCAUAGGAACAUUUUCCUGAGCUGCACUACUUUCCGGUUCAAGAGGUAGUACUUCAUCGAGUUCUACUUUCCUCCCACUUACUCCUUUCGAGAGAAACUCUUUUUCCAAAAAGGGUCCGUUCUUGGAAACAAUGAUCUUGCCUUCGGAUCUAAGGUAGAAGGUAUACCCAAUGGUUUCCUUAGGGUAUCCUAUGAAGACGCAUUUUUCCGACUUGGGUUCGAGCUUUUCAGGUUGAAGUUUCUUGACAUAAGCAUCGCAUCCCCAGACUUUUAGAAACGACAGCUUAGGUUUCUUCCCAAACUAUAAUUUAUACGGUGUCGUCUCAACGGAUUUAGACGGAGCCCUAUUUAAAGUGAAUGUAGCUGUCUCUAGAGCGUAUCCCCAAAAUGAUAGCGGUAAAUCGGUAAGAGACAUCAUAGAUCGCACCAUAUCCAAUAGAGUGCGAUUACGACGUUCGGACACACCAUUACGCUGAGGUGUUCCAGGCGGCGCGAGUUGUGAAACGAUUCCACAUUUUAUUAAGUGUGUACUAAAUUCGUGACUUAAAUAUUCUGCUCCACGAUCUGAUCGUAAGAAUUUUAUCUUUCGGUCACGUUGAUUCUCUACCUCAUUAUGAAAUUCCUUGAACUUUUCAAAGGUCUCAGACUUGUGUUUCAUCAAGUAGACAUACCCAUAUCUACUCAAGUCAUCAGUGAGAGUGAGAACAUAAUGAUAUCCUCCGCGAGCCUCAACGCUCAUUGGACCGCACACAUCGGUAUGUAUGAUUUCCAAUAAGUUGGUUGCUCGCUCCAUUGUUUCGGAGAACGGAGUCUUGGUCAUUUUGCCCAUGAGGCAUGGUUCGCAUGUGUCAAAUGAUUCAUAAUCGAGAGACUCUAAAAGUCCAUCAACAUGGAGCUUCUUCAUGCGCUUGACACCAAUGUGACCAAGGCGGAAGUGCCACAAGUAUGUGGGACUAUCGUUAUCAACUUUACAUCUUUUGGUAUUCACACUAUGAAUAUGUGUAACAUUACGUUUGAGAUUCAUUAAGAAUAAACCAUUGACCAUAUGGGCAUGACCAUAAAACAUAUCUCUCAUAUAAAUAGAACAACCAUUAUUCUCGGAUUUAAAUGAGUAGCCAUCUCAUAUUAAACGAGAUCCAGAUACAAUGUUCAUGCUCAAACUUGGCACUAAAUAACAAUUAUUGAGGUUUAAAACUAAUCCCGUAGGUAAAUGUAGAGGUAGCAUGCCGAGGGCGAUCACAUCGACCUUGGAACCAUUCCUGACGCGCAUCGUCACCUCGUCCUUCGCCAGUCUCCGCUUAUUCCGCAACUCCUGCUGUGAGUUACAAAUAUGAGCAACGGCACCGGUAUCAAAUACCCAGGAGUUACUACGAGUACUGGUAAGGUACACAUCAAUUACAUGUAUAUCAAAUAUACCUUUAGUAUUGCCGGCCUUCUUGUCCGCUAAGUAUUUGGGGCAGUUCCGCUUCCAGUGACCCUUCCCUUUGCAAUAAAAGCACUCAGUCUUAGGCUUGGGUCCAUUCUUUGACUUCUUCCCGAAAACUGGCUUACCGGGUGCGGCAACAUCCUUGCCGUCCUUCUUGAAGUUCUUCUUACCCUUGCCCUUCUUGAACUUAGUGGUUUUAUUGACCAUCAACACUUGAUGUUCUUUCUUGAUUUCUACCUCUGCUGACUUCAGAAUUGAAAAUACUUCAGGAAUAGUUUUCACCAUCCCCUGUAUAUUGUAGUUCAUCACAAAGCUCUUGUAGCUCGGUGGGAGCGACUGAAGGAUUCUGUCAAUGACCGCCUUGUCCGGGAGGUUAAUGUCUAGCUGGGACAGGCGGUUGUGCAACCCAGACAUUUUGAGUAUGUGCUCACUGACAGAACUAUUUUCCUCCAUCUUACAACUAUAGAACUUGUCGUAGACUUCAUAUCUCUCGACCCGGGCAUGAGCUUGGAAAACCAUUUUCAGCUCCUCGAACAUCUCAUAUGCUCCGUGUUGCUCAAAACGCUUUUGGAGCCCCGGUUCUAAGCUGUAAAGCAUGCCGCACUGAACGAGGGAGUAAUCAUCAGCACGGGACUGCCAAGCGUUCAUAACGUCUUGGUUCUCUGGGAUGGGUGCUUCACCUAGCGGUCCUUCUAGGACAUAUGCUUUCUUGGCAGCUAUGAGGAUGAUCCUCAGGUUCCGGACCCAGUCCGUAUAGUUGCUGCCAUCAUCUUUCAGCUUGGUUUUCUCUAGGAACGCGUUGAAGUUCAUGUUGACAUGAGCGUUGGCCAUUUGAUCUACACAACAUAUUUUGCAAAGAUUUUAGACUAAGUUCAUGAUAAUUAAGUUCAUCUAAUCAAAUUAUUUAAUGAACUCCCACUCAGAUUAGACAUCCCUCUAGUCAUCUAAGUGUUACACGAUCCGAGUCGACUAGGCCAUGUCCGAUCAUCAUGUGAGACGGACUAGUCAUCAUCGGUGAACAUCUCCAUGUUGAUCGUAUCUUCCAUACGACUCAUGUUCGACCUUUCGGUCUCUGUGUUCCGAGGCCAUGUAUGUACAUGCUAGGCUCGUCAAGUUAACCUAAGUGUUUUGCAUGUGUAAAACUGUCUUACACCCGUUGUAUGUGAACGUAGGAAUCUAUCACACCCGAUCAUCACGUGGUGCUUCGAAACGACGAACUUUAGCAACGGCGCACAGUUAGGGAGAACACUUUCUUGAAAUUGUUAUAAGGGAUCAUCUUAUUUACUACCGUCGUUCUAAGUAAACAAGAUGCAUAAACAUAAUAAACAUCACAUGCAAUUAUAUAGUAGUGACAUGAUAUGGCCAAUAUCAUAUAGCUCCUUUGAUCUCCAUCUUCGGGGCUCCAUGAUCAUCUUCGUCACCGGCAUGACACCAUGAUCUCCAUCAUCAUGAUCUCCAUCAUCGUGUCUCCAUGAAGUUGCUCGCCAACUAUUACUUCUACUACUAAGGCUAACGGUUUAGCAAUAAAGUAAAGUAAUUACAUGGCGUUAAAUCAUUGACACGCAGGUCAUACAAUAAUUAAGACAACUCCUAUGGCUCCUACCGGUUUUCAUACUCAUCGACAUGCAAGUCGUGAUUCCUAUUACAAGAACAUGAUCUCAUACACCACAAUAUAUCAUUCAUCAUUCAUCACAACUUUUGGCCAUAUCACAUCACAAAGCAAUUGCUGCAAAAACAAGUUAGACGUCCUCUAAUUGUUGUUGCAUCUUUUACGUGGCUGCAAUAGGGUUCUAGCAAGAACGUUUUCUUACCUACGAAAAAGCCACGACGUGAUUUGUCAACUUCUAUUUACCCUUCAUAAGGACCCUUUUCAUCAAAUCCGCUCCAACUAAAGUGGGAGAGACAGACACCCGCUAGCCACCUUAUGCAACUAGUGCAUGUCAGUCGGUGGAACCUGUCUCACGUAAGCGUACGUGUAAGGUCGGUCCGGGCCGCUUCAUCCCACAAUACCGCUGAAGCAAAAUAAGACUAGUAGCGGCAAGAAAGUUGACAACAUCUACGCCCACAACAAAUUGUGGUCUACUCGUGCAAUAGAGAACUACGCAUAGACCUAGCUCAUGAUGCCACUGUUGGGGAAGGUUGCAUAAAAUAAAAAAAAAUCCUACGUUCACCAAGAUCAAUCUAUGAGUUCAUAUAGCAACGAGAGAGGGGAGUGCAUCUACAUACCCUUGUAGAUCGCGAGCGGAAGCGUUCAAGAGAACGGGGUUGAGGGAGUCGUACUCGUCGUGAUCCAAAUCACCGGAGAUCCUAGCCCUGAACGGACGGCACCUCUGCGUUCAACACACGUACAGUCAGCGUGACGUCUCCUCCUUCUUGAUCCAGCAAGGGGGAAGGGGAGGUUGAUGAAGAUCCAGCAGCAGCAUGACGGCGUGGUGGUGGAUGUAACAGAGUUCCGGCAGGGCUUCGCCAAGCGACUACGAGAGGAGGAGGUGUAGCAAGGGGGAGAGGGAGGCGCCAAGACUUCAGGGUGCGGCUCCCCUCUCCCCCCCUUUAUAUAGGCCCCCUGGGGGGGUGGCCCUGGAGAUGAGAUCUCCCAAGGGGGGCGGCGGCCAGGGGGGUGGAGUGCCCACAAGGCAAGUGGAGGCGCCCCCGCACCCUAGGGUUUCCAACCCUAGGCGUAGGGGGGGGCCAAGGGGGGGCACACCAGCCCACCAGGGGCUGGUCCCCUCCCUACUGCAGCCCACGGGGCCCUCCGGGAUAGGUGGCCCCACCCGGUGGACCCCCGGUACCCUUCCGGUGGUCUCGGUACAAUACCGGUGACCCCCGAAACUCUCCCGAUGGCCGAAAAUGCACUUCCUAUAUAUAAUUAUUUACCUCUUGACCAUUCCGGAACUCCUCGUGAUGUCCGGGAUCUCAUUCGGGACUCCGAACAACUUUCGGUUUGCUGCAUACUAAUAUCUUUACAACCCUAGCGUCACCGAACCUUAAGUGUGUAGACCCUACGGGUUCGGGAGACAGGCAGACAUGACCGAGACUUCUCUCCGGUCAAUAACCAACAGCGGGAUCUGGAUACCCAUGUUGUCUCCCACAUGCUCAUCGAUGAUCUCAUCGGAUGAACCACGAUGUCGAGGAUUCAAGCAACCCCGUAUACAAUUCCCUUUGUCAAUCGGUACGUUACUUGCCCGAGAUUCGAUCGUCGGUAUCCCAAUACCUCGUUCAAUCUCGUUACCGGCAAGUCACUUUACUCGUACCAUAAUGCAUGAUCCCGUGACCAGACACUUGGUCACUUUGAGCUCAUUAUGAUGAUGCAUUACCGAGUGGGCCCAGAGAUACCUCUUCGUCAUACGGAGUGACAAAUCCCAGUCUCGAUCCGUGUCAACCCAACAGACACUUUCAGAGAUACCUGUAAUGCACCUUUAUAGUCACCCAGUUACGUUGUGACGUUUGGUACACCCAAAGCACUCCUACGGUAUCCGGGAGUUACACGAUCUCAUGGUCUAAGGAAAAGAUACUUGACAUUGGAAAAGCUCUAGCAAAACGAACUACACGAUCUUGUGCUAUGCUUAGGAUUGGGUCUUGUCCAUCACAUCAUUCUCCUAAUGAUGUGAUCCCGUUAUCAAUGACAUCUAAUGUCCAUAGUCAGGAAACCAUGACUAUCUGUUGAUCAACGAGCUAGUCAACUAGAGGCUCACUAGGGACAUAUUGUGGUCUAUGUAUUCACACGUGUAUUACGAUUUCCAGAUAAUACAAUUAUAGCAUGAAUAAAAGACAAUUAUCAUGAACAAGGAAAUAUAAUAAUAAUCCUUUUAUUAUUGCCUCUAGGGCAUAUUUCCAACACGGGGCCAUACCCUCGUCCUCGAUGGGGGCCAUCACCUUGCCAGGGAAAACUGCUUCUCAACGGCGACUAUCUCCUCAAACUCGGCCUUGAGCCUCGCAUAGGUGGCCAUCAAACGGUGGGGCCCUUGCUUUUCUUCCAACUUUCUUUGCGGAGUUCGUCCGCCAACGUCGUCAACUCUUUGGCCAGUGCUUGUUUCUUGGAGUUCUUCGUCUCCAUGGGUUGGCCCGCCAACAUGGUCAACUCGUUGGUCGGUGCUCGCUUCCUGGAGAUCGCUAUCUCCAGUGGGUUGUCCACCGGCAACUCUUUGCCUAGUGCUCCAGGAUCUAUCAAUGAACUGACAAACAAAAAGCAAUCGAAAGGAAACCACAAUCGCAAUAAAACAGGAAAAGAAUAGGCUGUGAGAAUCGGUUGGUGCUUCGCAAAAAGAAUAUUCUUGGAAUGAAAAUAUAGCAGCAUCACUGAUUCGCCCACCUUUCCUUUGUCCGUAUAGAAGAAAAAUGGCAUAAGUGAGUAGCCUGGAGUGAGGUUUUCUUCAAGAAAGGGGAGAAGGGGCUUCAACGAGCGUUCUAGUGAAAUGAUGGUUGCUUCAUCCAGUCCAACUUCGAGGCCACUUUACCACUGCUGCUAAAGGUGUGGGUUUUGUGAUAUGACGGGUCAUGACGGCCACACUGGGGUGACUGGUGAGUCUCGACUGUAGCACCUCGCUGUGAUUUCGUGGAUGGCAGGCGGGCCCGGAUGCUUUGAUGUCCCGCAUGUAGAUAGAGCAGCUAGUCAUAUGGGAGUGCUCAAUAUUGUGCACCGCGACGAAGGCGCGGAGGAAAAUGAGAGAACUAUGUAAUUAAUGCAUGAGUUUAAUUAGGGUAGUUUUGUAAAGUAUACGAGAUACAUUCUUCCAAUCGCAAAAUUCCUUGGUUGAUGAGAUUUGAGAUUUGAGCCCUAUAAACCGGAAGGGAGGGAGUACUGCACACGGUGUAUUCUAGUCACUUGUUGAAAUCUCUAGAAAGGCAAAUACUCCUUUCCGGUUUAUAGGACUAUACUAGCAAGUACUAGUACUACAAUAGUGGGCUCAAAUAGCAAUUUUGUCUCAUGCAAGAGCCUGGCUAUAUGUGUGCUCCAAGGCACCGCACCACGCCCCACCCCUACACAAAGACUGCCACGCGAGGGUUCGCAACUGCCACGUUCCGGUUGCGCUUGGCUCUUCGCCUCUUCGAGAAGACGAACAAUGAUGUUACUCCUACUUCUAUAGUAUCGAAUUGACUGCUGCAUGUCCAUCCACCUCGUGCGAGGGGAAUAGCAUGCAGCAAAAGCUUCUACUAGUCCUGCCAUCCACCACACUCAUGCGCGAGGGAGGGACGCAGCUUCAUUGACUUACUGAUCCUGCCUUUGCGUCUAUGACAGGUGGGCCCAACAGGUGGUUGGCCCACCUGUCAUGUAGCCAAAGGCAGGUGCAGUUAAGGCACCGAAGCUCAGUCCGCGAGGGAGAGGGCGUUGUAGUAAUCAAACUUCUCGGUCGUGUACGAGUUGAUGAGACACAUCAAAGCACUGCACUCGAUAUAAGUCUUUUUACACAUUUCAAAUGGACUACCACAUACAGAUGUAUGUAGACAUAUUUUGCUUCGUAUGUACUCCCUCCGUUCCUAAAUAUAAGUCUUUCUAGAGAUUUCACUAAGGACUACAUACGGAACAAAAUGAGCGAACCUACACUCUAAAGUGCAUCUACAUACAUCCAUAUGUAGUUCCCAUUGAAAUCUCUAGAAAGACUUACAUUUAGGAACGGAGGGAGUAGUCACUUGUUGCAAUAUCUAAAAAGACUUAUAUUUGGAAACGGAGGGAGUAGAACGCAUGCAUGCAUGUCGUGACUUUCCUUUUGAUACUUGCAUGUGUUGAUUUGAUGCACCUUGCCAAAUUUGACUAUAAAUUUAACUAACCAAAUUUUCAUGCAUGUCACAAAAAAUUACGGGGCUGUUUGGAUUGUGACUAUGUUUGUCUUAUGUUGCCACAUUAUUUUUCCCACACUUGCCACACUUGCCUAAGUUGAGUUGCUCAAAUUGUUAGACACACUUUGGCUUGCCUAAGGAAAUCUUGCCACACUUUUUGUGUUUAUGACAUGUGGGGUUCACUGCUAAUAAAAAAAUUCUUGUCUUUGGUGUGGCUAAUAAAAAAGACAUAUAUUUAGGAAUGGAGGGAGUAGAAAAUGUAAAUAAUAAUGCAUGUUGGGGCAACCCACGUUUCCGAUAAUUUUAGCCGUGGGUUUGUUCAACAUUUUUACGAGGGGGUGGUUGUUCAUUUAAUGGAGGGACCUGUACCUUACUUGAAUGAUACAAAGCGCGACCUGGCACACCGUAACAUCACUUGGAACAAGCGGGUAGCUAUCUCAAAAAACAAUCAACAACUAAAAAAUGGCGACCUAGCACGUAGUACACAAUUUUAAACGAUUGUUUUGAUGGAGUGAAAAAGGAAAACUACCCUACUAUGUAUAUAUAGGCCGGAGCCUCCGCGCUUCCUUGCUAGGGCUGCUCUAUUCACACACUCUCAUCCUCUCUAGAUCUAAACAAGAUAGGGGUGGUAACACUGUCUUUCUCCCUUCAAAAAACAUUGUCUUUCUAUCAUCACUGCUGGUUACAGAUCCGGACGUAUCCCCCUCCGCCGGUGAAGGGGAGGAGGGGCAGCGUUUAGGCCGUCGUCGACAGCGAGGGAGGAGACCCACUGCCGGCCGCACCGUUAUCUCUGGCCGAGCGCCGGCGCGGGAGGUCCUCUGAUCCCUUCAUCGUUGCCCUAGUGUGGGAGGAUCCGGCCUCCCGCCGCCCACCUAUCCACAUCCCUACGACCUUCAGGUAUAUCUUCCUUCGAAACCGCCUUAGCUCUACUUCCCCAGCUCGCUACGUCGCUGCAUGUGCAUCAUUUUCUACCUCUCAGCCCCUCUCGAUCGGAUGGUCCAACGUCACCUAUUUUUUUCUUCUAUUGUUAGAGGUAAAGCUAAUUCAUGGAGUCGAAUCUUGUACUUGGUUCAAACAAUAAAUAAAGUGGGGGUGGGGGAAUUUAGUAUGUACAUCAGACUUGGUACAAACAGGAAGGAAAAGGGGUGAAAGUAGUACAGUCUGGUCAUCCAACCGGUCUCUUGGUCGAAAAGGGAAAUAUAGGGGUAACGUUAUACACAGUGGUAUGACCAGGACUAGAUUUUCUAUCCACACAUAGGAGUAGGUGGCUAGAGUGAACAAAAAUGGGACCAACGCAGAUAUGUUUCUUGGAUGUUUGUUUCUCGGGGCAACAAACUAUGAAUCACUACUUUAUGCCCCUAUUUAGGUACAUGGUGCUGGACUGCUGGUGCACCCACUAUCCCAUGCCCUUAUACCAAAUAUAUAGUUGUUCUUAAUCUAAUGCCCCUGGUAAAAUGAAGCCAUGCCACUGUUAUAAGCCAAGACAAGUUUAGCCAAAUGCUUUUGCCUGUAAUUGUUUGAGACUCUGACUGUUUCCUCUGUAGCUUUUUGUGCAAACAGGGGUAUCCAUCGCACCUGGUUGCUAUUGUGACCUUUUGGUGCACUGCACAAAACUCUUCUUAAAAGAAGUGACUUUUGUGUUGUUUAACUGGAAUGUCAGAAUGGAACAGUUGGUUCAUUUCGGUGGAACUACACAAAGGGAGAUUUGUGUUCCAAUCCUCAUCAUCCAUAUUGGCGCCAUAACCUUCCUUUAGGUAAGAAUGAUAUUUAAUGCAUUUGUUCAUCUCUAUUUUGCGACUGCCAUGAGAAAAUAAUGCUAUUUUUUACUAGUACACGUGUACUCCCUCGCUGACAAAACCAAUUCUGAAAUAGAAGGCCAAUCAUGUACUAGGUUUCACCAACUGGUGAGGAGAAAGAGAAACAAAGCAUGAAGAGGAAGAGGAAGAAGAAUAAACAGUGCCAAGGCGAUCUUGCUGAAGCCAGAGGCCUCAGUCGAGGCCAUUCAAGGGCUCCGCAAUGACUGCCUUACAUGUGAGAUGAUCCUCCAGGGAGCCCUUCCACUUCUGCUGUCUCACUUAAUUAAUUAGGAGUACUUAAGUAUCACUAAUUUAUUGCUGCCUAAUUUUCCUGUCGGAGUUAAACAAAUCUUUAGUAGCACCCUAUGCUGAAUCAUGUACGUGUGUAUGUUUGUCUAUGGAGGUGAAUCAUGUGGUGGAGCAGGGAGGGAAUAUUAUUAGUGUCAUGACAUAAUAGUGCUAUUGUUUUGCAUGUCAAUUUAUUGCCAUUGGUUCAAUGAGGCAAUGUUUUGCGUAUUGCCCAUCAUGAAUUUGAUGCUGCUAUUAGAGUAAUAUGCUAAUGUCUUUCUAUCCUAUCUCACUAAGCUAAUGAAGGUUUCACCUUGUUCCUACUUGUGCAAAUAGGGAUCAUGUUGUGCCAAUCAUACAUUUUAGUGGAACUACACAAGACAAUACAAUGAACUGUAUCCCAACCAGUGCUUUAACUCUGCUGGAAGUUCUUGAUAAUCUUUUGAUAUAAUCUCAGCACUGGUAAACAAGAGUGAUUUCAACCAUACAUUUGAAGUGCACAAAAAUAUAUACUAUUGAGUGAUUCCAGUGAGUGCUUUAUCAUCUCUUAUGGGACUACAUGAAUAAGCUUUUUUCCUCAGUUUCGUACGGGCCUAAGACCUUCAUCCAUAUUAGUUUGCUGUCAUCUCUAUUUGUAUCGUGCUACUGUCAUGAGAAACUCCUUUAUCUUUGCACAUAAAAUUUUUGCAACCUAUGAUACAUGGCAAUGCUUUGAGUGUUGAGCUAAUUGGCAAUGAUUAAAUACACUAAUACCUCUCUUUAAGCAAGACUACUAUGUUGCUAACUUUACCCAUUAAGAUAAUGAGGGUGCUUCUAUUUGUUAGUGUAUGUUUCAUCAACUAGUCCCACUAUUACAGUAAUCUCACUCUCUCAACAUAUGUGCCAACAGGGAUGCUCGAUUUUGGUGGAACUGCACGAAAACUUUGGGUGCUUCAUUGCCUCGACAGUUUCCAUCCUUUCCUGUCAGUCGCUAAUCUGGGCCUGCUUUCUUCCUUUGCUGUCAGUCGCUUCGCUUAUCUCGGCUUCCAGUCAAAGGAAAUAGUAAUUGAUAUGCUACCUCACACAGGUUGGUACUAGUCUUUAUCCUGAUUAUUGUGCUUGUCAUGUAUUGGUAAUUUUGUAUUGUGCUACUGUUUGCCGAUUUUAUAAAGGAGUAACUUGGAGCCUGAACUCACAGGAAAAUCAUUGCAUUGGGUGAUUUCAGUAGAACUGCACAAAAAGAUUAGAUGGACAGAUACUUAUGCUGCUACUAUGUACUCCAAAGUUCACUCAGACAAGCAUCGAUGUUGACAAGUAGUGCCUAUAUUCAUUUGAGUAUCAACCGGCGUCAACUAGUUGUCAAACUCCAAGUAUUAGGAGAGUGGAUGCCAAAAAUAUUUCUUGGCGCAUAGCCCAGAAAAACACAGUCCAGUCUUUGGUCCCAACUUGUGCCUUUUGGUUAUUGGCAGAUAUGGUAGCGAACUGUAUGGCAUGGAGUCUAAAGAUUCCAGACAAGUUGGUUGACGCGUAUAUUCAUCUGGCAGUUAAUCAGUCUGCAUGCCAGGGAUGCUCCAUUUUAGUUGAAUCGCACAAAAAAAAUUGGGUGGUUCAUUUUCUCAACCGCCUCCUUUCUCGUGUGCAAUGUAGAAUUUUGGCGAGCUAUAGGAUCAAGAUGAGCCAGUAAACUAGUUGGAUGAAAGUACUGGCCAAGUUACUCAAACCUACCUCGGCACAAGGUCACUAUUUGAGGAUAAACCUACAAGCAAAGUUUAGAUUGUCUAUGCUGCCUCUUAUGUACUCGAAAGUUUACUCGUACAAGCAUUAAUUUUAGCAAGAAGUGCCUCCGACUGAACACCAUUUUCCAGUCUGUACCCUACGUAAUUAAAGUUCGUCCAUGGAUCAUAUUGGCUGUGAUAUCAAUCAUUUGGAUGCAUAAACAUAUUGAAUAUGUGUAUAUCUAAAUCUUUUUGUGAAUUAUCUAUCAAUAUUGUCGUGUGAUCUAUCAAUCAUUUGGAUGCAUAGACAUGCUGAACUUGGGUAUAUAUGAAUCUUUUGAGUUGUUGAUAGUGAAUGUUGGCUAUGAAUAUGAACAUGUCCUAUGAACCUGAGUUUGAUACGAAUGUUUACCUUUUCUAUUGUACUUGUGUGUGAACUUGUUAGUAUACCUACUGUGGGGUAUGUGACGUGUGGGUGUCAACGGCACACCUUCUUCCCGAGAAGAAUUGCACCUGCUUUGUUAGGGUAGUAACGACGCAUCAGCUCUUUUUAAUCUUUUUGCUCUGUCUUCCCCCCUCCCUCGCUCAACCCCUGCCAUAAUGUUUUCGGCCUCAAAACAAACAUAGUAUUGCGUUGUUUUUGGGGCUUGAUGAAAAAUCGAGUGCUGAUUUCUGUAGGUUGGCCCGCCCAGCAAAUGGGCUGCUGGUCCACCACGGACUGGGAGGCUAAAAAUACAAGUUGUAUGGUGCAGAGGCAAGUAAAAAACGCCAUCGAGAGCCAUCCACUGAAGAAAAAAAUCGCUCAUGAUGUGCUUCUUCAGUCGUGCCGCCGGCCCCCUCUUUAAUCCAGUUCGCUCGGGGAUCUGGUAUCAUUUUUUCCGGAGGGCGAAUAAGUAUCAGCUAGGCCUAGGUUUUGUAUUUUAGCAUGCGUAGCCCACGACAUACAAAGACAGUGGUUUCAACUUAUUUUUUGAGGUCCAUACCGGCCUAUGGGCCUUUUCUUAAAGAUGUGCAGCCCAAUGUAUUUUUUUAAUAAAACGCAGGUCUCUGUUCUAUAAGAAUAAUAAUGUUGUGUCCAAUUUAUGUUUUCCCUUCUAACCACAUUAUAUAUAUAUAUCUAUAUUAUUACUAUUAUCGUAUAUUUUAUAGAGACUUGUAUAUACAUUAUAAAAACAUCCCACGUCUUAUUAACUUAUAAAAGUAAAUGUUUAUCAAAAGUUGGCAAGGAAAAUCCUGGUUGUUUUUGACUCACAGGCAAGGAAAAUCCUGGUGAUUGCGUACAAAAGCUUGCGAAGAUUUUAAGGACCAAUGUAAUAAUAACAUGCUCAAUUUUAUUUUGAGCAAUAACUCCCUAAUUUGUUAAUUAUAUAUAUAUAUAUAUAAUGUGCCUCUCCGGUUUAUUUUUUGAUAUUAAUUGCUCCUUCUAACAUAACAUUAUAUAUAUAACAAGCCCGGCUAAUUCGUAUAUUUCAAGGAAGUGCAAAUGGGCUGUACAUUCUAGAAAACAUGGGUUAAAUAUAUGACACAUUUUUGCAGGCUGACAUGUGGGCCAAUAGGUCGAAGCCUACGCAGGGCAUUGUCAACUUGAUCAACAAAUGAUUAUGACAUCCACAGCCAUUGGAUUUAUAUCUAACGGCCGGCAUGCACCUUCAAUCUCUCGUCUUCUUCCUCCAGCGUCGCCAGGACCGCCUGGUCCGGCCUCUGGCGGCUAGCGGCUCUGCUUAGCAAGCAUCACUGCAAAGCGCUACCCCACCGAUGGCCAAGCUAUCCCUCCACCCCUCCACACCUCUUGUUAUUCUCCACCGACUGCGGCCCCACGCCGCACCAGAACCAGUUAUAACCCUUCUCCUCCUCUCAAUCUGCGACUCCACUGCAACGUCUUCCCAUCUCUAAGUCAUUCCCGUUCGAGGCCUCGCCGUCAUCCACCGACUCGCUGCGCUCGGUGCGGCGUGGUCAACAAACGAGAGUCAUCCGAAGAGGACUCUAUGUGGAGAGCCUGACGGCUGGGACCCACGAGGUCCAUGGUCGCACACAAGGAAAGUUCCUCCUUAUUAAGAUGGAAAAAAAUGUUUCCUCCACCUGACAGCUGGGACACACCGGCUGUAUCUUCGCACAGAAGGAAGUUCCUCCUUGUUAUGCGAAAAAAAUUAUUCCUCCCAUUGACAGCUGGGACCUGUCAGAUUUGGUGGCUGACUUGUGGGCCUACUAAGCGGACGUGUACGCAGGGCUUUGUCAACUUAAUCAAUAAAUGAUUCUAGCAGCUGGACCGUUGGAUGUUAAUCCAACAGCUGUGCUCCUUCUUCAACCUCUGUUCUUGCUCCUGUCUCCCGUGGGCGGCACCGCGGCUGUGCUGCCGCGCACCCGAACCAGUCAAGUUUCCAACUCAUCUCCAUAUGCAACUCCACUGCCCCAUCUUCCCCAUCUCCGGGUCAUUCCAGUCUGGGGCCGAGCUGUCGUCCACCGACCUUGGUGCGCUCGGCACGGUGUGGUCAACAUGGUCAACAACCAAGAGUCAUCGGAAGAUGACUGUACAUGAGAGGCUGACAGUGGGGACGCACCACACCCAUGGACGCAUGCAUGCAAUGGAACGCGGCGUGGUCAACGUGGUCAAGGAACGACUUCCAUCAGAAGUGUACUGUACGUGGAGAGGCUGACAGCUGGGUCCAUGGCUGCAGCAAGGAAGUGCCUCCUUAUUACGCGGAAAAUAAUGAUUCCUCCACCUGAUAGCAGGGACCUACCGGACGGGCCACCGUAUUUUGCGAAAAAACGUUUCCACCCUGACUGCUGGGACCCACCGGACGGGCCACCAUAUUUCACGAAAAAAUCAUUCCCCCCGUUGUCAGCUCGGACCCACCGGAAGCGCCUCCUUAUUACGCGGAAAAAAAUGGAUACUCCCCCUGCUAGUUGGGACCCACCUUGGUGGGAGGCUGACUUGUGGGCCUACUAAGUUGACGGGGACGGAGGGCUUUGUCAACUUAGUCAAUAUGAACGAUUCUAGCUCCAGUGACCGUACGAUGUCCAUCCAACGGCCGUAGUGCUUCUUCAACCUCUGGUCUUCUUGCUCCAGCCGCCCAAACCAGCGCCAGCCAUGCCGCGUGCUCCUGCCUCCCGUGGCCGGCUGUGAUGCCGUGGAGGCCUCACCACCCCCUACUACUCCCAUCGCUGGCCAGGCCAUCCCUCUACUCACCCACACCCCCUGUUAUUCUGCGGCGAUGGCAGCCUCACACCACAGCCGAACCAGUGAACCCUCAUACUCCUCUCCAUGCGGGCUUCCACUGUUGCGUCUUCCCCGGCUCCGUGUCGUCCCCUUACUAGGCCUCGUCGUCGUCCACCGUUGUGGUGCUCUCGGCGCGGCAUGGUCAAUGUGGUCAACGAUCGACUUCCAUUGGAAGAGUAUUGUACGUGGAGAGGCUGACACCUGGGUCCACGGCAGCCACAAGAAAGUGCCUCCUUAUUACACAGAAAAUAAUGAUUCCUCCACCUGACAGCGGGGACCCACCGGACGGGCCACCGUAUUUUGAGAAAAAACAUCCCCCCCCCUAACUGCUGGGACCCACCAGCUACAUCUUCGCAUGCGAGGGAGUGCGUCCGAGCAAAAAAACAAUUUGCCCCCUGACUGCUGGGACCCACCAGCUACAUCUUCGCAUGCAAGGAACUGCCUGACAGUCGGGACCCACCUGGUCGAAGUGUACGUAGCGUUGUCAUUCUGGUCGCGAACAUGUACGUACAUACUGGUCGAUGUAGAGGCGCGCACAUGUCGUAGUAGAGGCACGCAUAUGUCAUAGUAGAGGUGCGCACGUAGCAUGUACACAUACGUACAACGGCCAGGGUGCAAGAAAGUAAAUACGGCCAUGCACGUACAUACGGGCGGGGUCUCGAACGCAUACUCGCGCAUACGUACGGUCAGGGCUCGUGUACAUGGCUGGGUCGGAACGGAGAAACUGUGUCGUCGUCGUGUUCAUGGGGAGGCAACGGAAUGUGUCUUGUUCAUCGGGAGGAAACAGAAUGCGUCGUGUUCAUGGGGAGGCAACGGAACGCGUGGGAGCCAACCGGCUUGGACGGAAUAGCCGAUGGAAACGAGGCCUGGCGUACUGCACAAUAGAGGAAACAACCUUGUGUUUGACUGACCAUGUUCGAAACGGGAUCCUGUCAUUGGGAGGGGUCUGGCGUACCGCAAAACGGAGGAAACGGACUUGUAUUGGACCUCCUACGGUUGAAAUAGGGUCUGUUGAUCGGGAGGGGUGUGGCGUACCGCAAAACGGAGGAAACGGACUUGUGUUGGAGCGCUACGGUCGAAACAGGGGUCCUGUUCAUCGGGAGGGGUGUGGCGUACCGCAAAACAGGACUCCACGGGAUACUGUUCAUCUCCACCGUUGACCUCCUCCAGCCCCCAGGGGCUACUGUUCAUCCACCGUCGACCUCCUCCAGCCUCCACCUGCGACUAUUCAUCCACUGGCUCCUGUUCAUCCAGCCUCAAACACGCGCUACUCCACUGGCUACUGUUCAACCAGCCCUCUCCACGAGCUCCUGUUCAACCACCCCUCCACGGGCUACUGUUCAUCCACCCCUCCACCAUCUACUGUUCAUCCAGCCCUCCACGGGGUCGUCCUGUUCAUCCAGCCCUCCACGGGGUCCUGUUCAUCCAGCCCCAACCGGCUCGAUCGAUCGGGGUCCUAUUCAUCCAGAGGCAACACCACGGGGUCCUGUUCAUCCACCCCACCACUCACUGUUCAUCCAGAGGCAGCAUCGAUCGGCUUCAGUUAGCAGCAGUAGCGAAGGAAUCACUCGGGUUCAAUAAUGUAGCUAGUGCAAUCACUCGGGUUUAGUUAGAGCCCAACUCCUCGCACACACGUGCGUACAUGUAUGAGAGAAACGCACAUCGCUCGACCCCGACCACCCACCUUAACCAGGAAGACCCCAAAAUUUUCAUCGCCCUCGCUUCUACCAUAGUUUUUUCCGUCAUGGACGGCCCAAAGAAUGUCAUGCAGCUGCGUCUCCAGCCCGCCCAGGACAAAAAGCCCAUUUUCUGUCAUGAUUUUUUGUCAUAGAAGUAGGAGCCCACCACAUCUAUGAUGAUACCAGGUUUUGUCACAAUUAUCAUCAUAGAAGUGUCAUAAGUAUGACAGGACAAAAUUCGUUCGGCCCAAAAUGUCACGGGUGUGUCUUUUUUUGUAGUGCUACGGGUUCAAGAACUAUGUAGACAUGACUGAGACACCUCUCCGGUCAAUAACCAAUAGCGGAACCUGGAUGCUCAUAUUGGUUCCCACAUAUUCUACGAAGAUCUUUAUCGGUCAAAUCGCAAUGUCAAUAUAGUUAUUCCCUUUGUCAUCGGUAUGUUAGUUGCCCGAGAUUCGAUCGUCGGUAUUUUCAUACCUAGUUCAAUCUUGUUACUGGCAAGUCUCUUUACUCGUUCUAUAGUGCAUCUUCCCGUAACUAACUCAUUAGUCACAUUGCUUGCAAGGCUUCAUAUGAUGUGCAUUACCGAGAGGGCCCAGAGAUACCUCUCCGAUACUCGGAGUGACAAAUCCUAAUCUCGAUCUAUGCCAACCCAACAAACACCUUCGGAGAUACCUGUAGAGCAUCUUUACAAUCAUCCAGUUAUGUUGUGAUGUUUGAUAGCACAAGAGGCAUUCCUCCGGUGUCCGGGAGUUGCAUAAUCUCAUAGUCGGAGGAAUAUACAUAUGACAUGAAGAAAGCAGUAGCAAUAAAACUGAACGAUCAUUAUGCUAAGCUAACAGAUGGGUCUUGUCCAUCACAUCAUUCUACUAAUGAUGUGAUCCCGAUAUCAAAUGACAACUCAUGUCCAUGGCUAGGAAACUUAACCAUCUUUUGACUAACGAGCUAGUCUAGUGGAGGCAUACUAGGUACAGAUUGUUUUGUCUAUGUAUCCACACAUGUAUCAGGUUUCCGGUUAAUACAAUUCUAGCAUGAAUAAUAAAUAUUUAUCAUGAAGAAGGAAAUAUAAAAUAACAACUUUAUUAUUGCCUCUAGGGCAUAUUUCCUUCAGUCUCCCACUUGAACUAGAGUCAAUAAUCUAGAUUACAUUGUAAUGAAUCUAACACCCAUGGAGUCUUGGUGCUGAUCAUGUUUUGCUCAGGGAAAAGGCUUAGUCAAUGAGUCUGCAACAUUCAGAUCUGUAUGUAUUUGGCAAAUCUCUAUGUCUCCCUCCUUGAACGAAUCUCAGAUGGAGUUGAAGCAUCUCUUGAUGUGUUUGGUCUUUUUGUGAAAUCUGGAUUCCUUCGCUAAGGCAAUUAUCCAGUAUUGUCACAAAAUAUUUUCAUUGGACCCGAUGCACUAGGUAUUACACCUAGAUCGAAUAUGAACUCCUUCAUCCAAACUCCUUCGUUUGCUACUUCCGAAGCAGCUAUGUACUCCGCUUCACACGUAGAUCCUGCCACGAUGCUCUGAUUGGAACUACACCAACUGACAACUCCACCAUUCAAUAAAAAUACGUAUCCAGAUUGUGACUUAGAGUCAUUCGGAUCAGUGUCAAAGCUAGCUUCGACGUAACCAUUUACGACAAGCUCUUUGUCACCUUCAUAAACGAGAAACAUAUCCCUAGUCCUUUUCAGGUUCUUCAGGAUGUUCUUGACCAUUGUCCGAUGAUCCACUCCUAGAUUACUUUGGUACCUCCCUACUGAACUUAUAGCAAGGCACACAUCAAGUCUGGUACACAACAUAGCAUACAUGAUAGAACCUAUGGUUGAAGCAUAGGGAAUGACUUUCAUUUUCUCUCGACUUUCAUUUUCUCUUUGGUACCUCCUCUGCCAGACCUACGAGGUUCUGUAGUAACUUGAUCUGAAGUUUCAUGAUCUCUAUCAUUAGCUUCCUCUCCAAUUGGUGUAGGCAUCACGGGAACAGAUUUCUCGGAUGAACUACCUUCCAAAUUGAGAGCUGGUACAAUUACCUCAUCAAGUUCUACUUUCAUCCCACUCACUUCUUUCGAGAGAAACUCCUUCUCUAGAAAGGUUCUAUUCUUAGCAACAAAAAUCUUGCCUUCGGACUUGUGGUAGAAGGUGUACCCAAUUGUUUCCUUAGAAUAUCCUAUGAAGACACAUUUCUCCGAUUUGGGUUCGAGCUUAUCAGGCUAAAGCCUUUGGACAUAAGCAUCGCAUCGCCAAACUUUAAGAAACGAUAGCUUAGGUUUGUUGCCAAACCACAGUUCAUACGGUGUCAUCUCAACGGACUUUGAUGGUACCCUGUUUAAAGUGAAUGCAGCUGUCUCUAAUUCAUAACCCCAAAAUGAUAGAGAUAAACCGGUAAGAGACAUCAUAGAUCGCACCAUAUCCAAUAAAGUGCGAUUACGACGUUCGGACACACCAUUAUGUUGUAGUGUUCCAGGUGGCAUGAGCUGUGAAACUAUUCCACAUUGUUUUAAAUGAAGGCCAAACUCGUAACUCAAAUAUUCUCCUCCACAAUCAGAUCGUAGAAACUUUAUUUUCUUGUUACGAUGAUUCUCCACUUCACUCUAAAAUUCUUUGAACUUUUCAAAUGUUUCAGACUUGUGUUUUGUAAAGUAGAUAUACCCAUAUCUGCUCAAAUCAUCUGUGAAGGUCAGAAAAUAACGAUACCUGCCACGAGCAUCAACACUCAUUCGACCGCAUACAUCGAUAUGUAUUAUUUCCAACAAGUCACUAGCUCUUUCCAUUGUCCCAGAGAAUGGAGUUUUAAUCAUCUUGCCCAUAAGGCAUGGUUUGCAAGUAUCAGAUGAUUCAUAACCAAGUGAUUCCAAAAGUCCAUAUUUAUGGAGUUUCUUCAUGCGCUUUACACUGAUAUGACCCAAACGGCAGUGCCACAAAUAAGUUGCAUUGUCAUUAUCAACUUUGCAUCUUUUGGCAUCAAUAUUAUGAAUAUGUGUAUCAUCACGAUCAAGAUUCAACAGAAAUAGACCACUCUUCAAGGGUGCAUAACCAUAAAAGAUAUUACUAAUGUAAAUGGUACAACCAUUAUUCUUUGGUUUAAAUGAAUAACUAUCUCGCACUAAACAAGAUCCAGAUAUAAUGUUCAUGCUCAACGCUGGCACCAAAUAACAAUUAUUCAGGUCUAAAACUAAUCCCGAAGGUAGAUGUAGAGGUAGCGUGUCGACGGCGAUCUCAUCAACCUUGGAACCAUUUCCGACGUGCAUCAUCACCUCGUCCUUAGCCAAUCUUCGUUUAAUCCGUAGUCCAUGCUUCGAGUUACAAAUAUGAGCAACCGAACCGGUAUCAAAUACCCAGUCACUACUACGGGAAUUAGUAAGGUACACAUCAAUAACAUGUAUAUCAAAUAUACCUUUAUUCACUUUGCCAUCCUUCUUAUCCGCCAAAUACUUGGGGGAGUUUCGCUUCCAGUGACCAGUCCCUUUGCAGUAGAAGCACUCAGUUUUAGGCUUGGGUCCAUUCUUAGGUUUCUUCCCGGGAGUGACAACUUGCUUGUCAGUCUUUUUGAAGUUGCCCUUCUUUUUACCCUUGCCCUUCUUCUUGAAACUGGUGGUCUUGCUAACCAUCAACACUUGAUGAUCCUUCUUGAUUUCUACCUCUGCGGCCUUUAGCAUUGCGAAGAGCUCGGCAAUAGUAUUUUCCAUCCCUUGCAUAUUGUAGUUCAUCACGAAGCCUUUGUAGCUUGGUGGCAGUGAUUGAAGAACUCUAUCAAUGACACAAUCAUCUGGAAGAUUAACUCCCAGCUGAGUCAAGUGAUUAUGGUACCUAAACAUUCUGAGUAUGUGCUCACUAACAGAACUCUUCUCCUCCAUCUUGCAGCCAUAGAACUUGUUGGAGACUUCAUAUCUCUCAACUCGGGCAUUUUAUUGAAAUAUUAACUUCAACUCCUGGAAAAUCUCAUAUGGUCCAUGAUGUUCAAAAUGUCCUUGAAGUCCAAUUCUAAGCCGUAAAGCAUGACACACUGAACUAAUGAGUAGUCAUCACCAAGCGACUACCAGGCAUUCACAAUGUCUGCAGUUGCUGGGGCAGGUGGUACACCUAGCGGUGCAUCAACGACAUAAUGAAAGCACAAGUGCUCCCUAGGUGAUUUUGGUAAUUCAUGACAACAUAUCUCUUGUUGGACUAAUACUUCUACCUAGUGCAUUUCAGAAAAAUUCAACAUUGGAGUGGCAUGGACAUGGACAAGAGGAUGUGGAACUCGUUCAAGAUGCUAAGGACAAAUAUUGGCGAAAGCUCAAGACUCUUCAUUUUCUAUUUUAGUGAUCCAAGAUCACAUUGAGUCCAUAGGAAAGCCAAUACUAUUAAAAGGGGAUGAGGUGUUGCUUAAUGGCUUGCUUGCUCAAAGUUCUUAGUGAUAUGCUCCAAAACCCUCAGCCACUUUCUCACAUCCACAUAUGUCCUAAAAUCUCAAUGUCAAACUCGGCCCCACCGAUUUGAUCUAUCCGGCGCCACCGAGUUCAUCUUCUUCAGCCACUACCAAACCUUAGUUACUUUGGUCUCACUGAUGGGAUCUCGGUCUCACCGAGAUCGGUUUGCAAUCUCUCUGUGAUAUGGUGCAACCUUUUCGGUCUAACCAAGUUUGUGCAGUCGGUCCCACUGAGUUUGCUUGACCAAUCCUCUAUUUACUUAUUACCAAAAUCGGUCCCACCGAGUUUGAGUAGUCGAUCAAACCGAGUUGAGGUUUUACCCUAACCCUUGCACAUCGGUCCCACCGAGAUGAUUAUAUCGGUCCCACCAAAAAUCCUAAUGUUCACAUUUUUACCUGGAUCGGUGUGACCGAGUUUGCUGAUUCAGUCCCACUGAGGCUAGUAAUCUAUGUGUAAUGGUUAGAUUUUGUGUGGAGGCUAUAUAUACCCCUGCACCCACUCUUCAUUCAUGGAGAGAGCCAUCAGAACAAACCUACACUUCCACUACUCAUUUUCUGAGAGAGAACCACCUACUCAUGUGUUGAGGCCAAGAUAUUCCAAUCCUACCAUAUGAAUCUUGAUCUCUAGCCUUCCCCAAGUUGCUUUUAACUCAAAUCAUCUUUCCACCAUAGCCAAAUCUGAGAGAGAGAGUUGAGUGUUGGGGAGACUAUCAUUUGAAGCACAAGAGCAAGGAGGUCAUCAGCAACACACCAUCUAUUACCUUUUGUAGAGUGGUGUCUCCUAGAUUGGUUAGGUAUCACUUGGAAGCCUCCGUCAAGAUUGUGGAGUUGAACCAAGGAGUUUGUAAGGGCAAGGAGAUCGCCUACUUCAUGAAGAUCUACCCUAGUGAGGCAAGUCCUUUGUGGGCGAUGGCCAUGAUGGGAUAGACAAGGUUGCUUCUUCGUGGACCCUUCGUGGGUGGAACCCUCUGUGGACUCGCACAACCGUUACCCUACGUGGGUUGAAGUCUCCAUCAACGUGGAUGUACGAUAGCACCACCUAUCGGAACCACGCCAAAAAAUAUCCAUGUCUCCAAUUGUGUUUGCACACUCCAAUCCCAUCCCUUUACUUUCUUGCAAAUUGCAUGCUUUACUUUCCGCUGCUCAUAUACUCUUUUGCAUGCUUGCUUGAAGUUGUGUUAUUCUACCACCUCAACUUGAAAAACUUAAAAACUGCCAACUUUGUUUGUUGAGGGUCUAAUCACUCCCCCCCCUCUAGAUACCUCUUCUCAAUCCUUUCAAUUGGUAUCAGAGCUUUGGUCUCCAUUGCUUUGGUUUAAUCACCAUUGGAGGAAGAUGGAUGAGUCUACGUUGGGGAGUCUUAGACGUAGAGUGCCUAUGCUUGAUGGAGAGUUCUUUGGUGAGUGGAAAAAUGAGAUGCUUGGAAUUUUUCAUGAAUAUCACUUGAACAAGUACAUUACUACUCCUUGUGAACCCCUUGUUGAUCCCUUGCAUCCUACCCAUGAUGAUUAUCUUGACAUGAUUCGCAAUCUUAGAACUACCAAUCUUAUCAUUAGAGGCUUGCUUAGAAAUUUGAUAUAUCACUUGCCUACUCUUGAUUGUGCUUAUAGAUUUAUUGAGGAACGAUUUCUUGACUAUUCCUUGAAAAACUUAGAUGAGAUUCUUCACAAGUCUAUUGCUUUGAAUAAGAUGAAUCCCAAUGAUCCUAAGUUUGGAGAUUGUUUACUUGAGGUUACCAAUCUUAUGCAUGCCAAAGGAGAUGUUGGAAUCAUUAGCAAUAUUAUUUCCAAAGCUAUUAGAAUUCAUAGAGAUGAACAUUGUCAAAGUCAUUUAUCUAAUGAAUCACUCUCUAUAGGAAAUGAUCAUUUGCAAGAUGAUGUUUAACAUGGAUAUUAUGAUGAGGAUGUGAUAAUGACUUUGAUCUUGAAGAGUCUGUGAGACACUUUGGUCUUAUGGCAAAUCUUCGCGGCUACAUGGCUGGAGGAAAGGAAUCGGUCCUUGAUAGUGGAUGUACCGAUCAUAUGACCGGCGAUAAAGAUAUGUUUCGUGAGCUUGCUAAAAACGACGGCCCUCGAAAGUAUGUCACUUUCGGUGAUAACUCAAAGGAUAAGGUGGUUGGCCUCGGUAAGGUAGCCAUCUCACAUGAUAGCUCCAUACAAAAUGCGUUGAAUCCCUUGGCUAUAAUCUGCUUUCUGUAUCUAGACUAGCUGACUUUGGUUUCAAUGUCCUAUUUACCAAAGUAGAUUGCCAAGUGUUUCGAAGAGAUAAGCAUAAAAUGGUCUUUACCGGCAUACUCGGUUAUGGCUCAAACUCUCACACUUAGUGUGUCUACAACAAUUUCACCCGAAACGUUGAAGAAACGGUAGAUGUGAAGUUUGAUGAAUCUAACGGCUCGCAAGUUGAGCAAUUGCCAAUUGAUGUAGGUGACAAAGAUCCUUCGGAAGCAAUCCAAGACUUGUCUAUCGGCAAGAUUCGCCCAACGGAGGUGAAGGAGAGUACCUCGUAUGUCCAAGUGGAAGCCUCAACCUCAAGUCAAGGUGAACCACGAGUUGACUUGGCAUCCACAAGUGGGACAUGCCAAGACAAUGAGAACAAGGACAUACAACAAGAUGAACCUCAACGAUCUCCUUCUCCACCUCCACGGGAGAACGACCACGCCAACAACAACAAAGAAAGACAAGAAUAAGAACAAGACAAUGAAGAGGAUGUUCCACCCCGACCCAAACAAAAGCUAUCACAAGUUCGAGCAAGAGUCUCAAGAGAUCAUCCCGUCGAACAAAUCUUUGAUGGCAUUCAAACCAGGAGAAUUGCUUGCUCUAAAACUCAUUUGGCUAACUUUUGUGAACAUUACUCAUUCAUUUCUAGCAUUGAACCUAUGAAGGUUUAAGAAGCAUUGGAAGAUCUAGAUUGGAUAAAUGCCAUGCAUGAAGAGCUACACAACUUUGAGAGGAACCAAGUAUGGACGUUGGUUGAGAAGCCCGAUGAGAAGCACAAUAUCAUUGGAACCAAAUGGGUAUUUCGGAACAAGCAAGAUGAAGAUGGACAAGUUGUAUGCAAUAAGGCUCGUCUCGUUGCUCAAGGCUACACUCAAGUCAAAGGUAUGGACUAUGGUGAGACCUAUGCCCCCAUUGUUACACUUGAGUCCAUUUGCAUCUUACUUGCCUAUGCCAAUCAUCAUGACAUUACCUUAUAUCAAAUGGACAUCAAAAUUGCUUUUCUUAAUGGUGAAAUUGAGGAGCAAGUUUAUGUUAAACAACCUUACGACUUUGUUAAUCCUAAGAAACCCAAUCAUGUUUUACAAACUUCACAAAGCUCUUUAUGGUGUUAAGCAAGCUCCUAGAGCUUGGUAUAAAUGCUUGACUAAGUUUCUUCUUGAUAAAGGGUUUGAAAUUGGUAAACUUGAUUCUACACUCUUUACCAAAAGGUUUAAUGGAGAAUUAUUUGUGUGCCAAAUUUAUGUUGAUGAUAUCAUAUUUGGAUCAACUAACCCUCAUUUUAGUGAGAAGUUUGGGAAGCUUAUGUCGGAGAUGUUUGAUAUGUCUAUGACGAGUGAACUCAAGUUCUUUCUUGGUUUGCAGAUCAAGCAAACUAAGGAGGGAACCUUUAUCUCUCAAACAAAGUAUACCAAGGACUUAUUCAAGAAGUUCAACAUGCAAGAGUGCAAAGGUAUGAAUACCCCCAUGCCUACUAGUGGACAUCUUGACUUGACAAAGGAUGGCGAACCGGUUGACCAAAAGGUUUACCUCUCUAUGAUUGGUUCAUUGUUAUAUCUAUGUGCAUCCCGUCCCGAUAUCAUGUUAAGUGUGUGCAUGUGUGGACGAUAUCAAGCAGCCCCCAAAGAAUGUCAUCUUAAGGCUGUCAAAAGGAUAGUGAGAUACUUAAUACACACACCAAAUUUUGGCAUUUGGUAUCCUAAGAGGUCUUCUUUUGAUCUUCUUGGCUACUCCAACUCAGACUAUGCCGGUGACAAGGUCGAUAGAAAGUCCACUUCAGGUACUUGCUAAUUUCUUGGUAGAUCUCUUGUGUCUUGGUCCUCCAAGAAACAAAACUCAGUAUCCUUAUCCACCGCCGAAGCGGAAUACAUUGCCGCUAGUUCACGUUGUGCUCAAUUACUUUGGAUGACCCAAACUCUUAAAGAUUAUGGGAUAUAUGUGAAACAUGUUCCAUUGCUUUGCGACAAUGAGAGUGCUAUUAACAUUGCUCAUAAUCCCAUGCAACAUUCUCGAACUAAGCAUAUUGAAGUUCGUCAUCAUUUCAUUCAAGAUCAUGUUGCUAAGGGAGAUAUCAAACUUAAGCAUGUUCGUACCGACAAGCAAUUAGCGGAUAUAUUCACUAAACCACUUGAUGAGAAAGUGUUUUGCAGGUUGAGAGGCGAAUUGAACAUCAUUGAUGCCUCAAAUUUGGAGUAGAAACUCCAUGUGGAUGCAUGCAAGGCAUGAGCCAUACUAUGACUAAUCCUUGACCAUUCUCUUAUGAUGAUAAUCAUAUGUCUUGGAUACUCUUGUACUCUUGCAUGCUAUCUAACCCUUGUAGGUACUUGGAAAAGCCCAACUCUAUGAGAUUGCAGCUCAAUCACAUUUUAAGCAAUCUCUACAUCUCCAAAUCUCUACAAAAUGGUGGAGGAAGACAAGGAAGUACGAAUCCAUUCAAUAUAUCCUUAGACAAAUUCCUAUAUCAAAAUUUCAUGAUUGUCAUUUUGGAUACAUGUGACAGCCUGGUUUUUGCCCUCUUUUCUUUGCCUGGUUUUCAGUUGAGUUGGUUUUGAAUUUGGAGUUUUUGAAUCACUUCAUUUGGACUUAACCACUUGGGUACCCCUUGAAUUUCACCCAAGUGCUCCCUCUCCUCCUCAAAACCAUCAUUUCACCUCUGGAUCAACUCAAAAUAUUGCUUGGAAUAUUUUUCUUAAAUGAAAAAUAUUCAUUUUGCCAUCCAAAACCCUAGCUAGCCCUUUGUGCUCCAAAGCAACCCUAAUUUUUCUUGCCCCAAAAAUCCUGAGAAAAAUCCCAAUUAUUCUUUGAACCCUAGGGCACCUUUCUGAGCAAAAAUAUUUCAUCACUCUUUAGAAUAUUUUGGAUAUAGAAAAUAAAUUCAUUUCUAGACAGAAAUGGUAGUUUCUACAGCAACUACCAUUUUACUAGCUCCAUUGUAGCUGGUUUUUCUUGUGCCUAUUUACCUUAGUAAGUGUAAGCUAGCCUCCAAAGCUCAUCCCUUAACUCCCAGUGAUUUGACCUCAGUAAACCUCCAAAGUUACUGUACAGAAACUUGCUAGCAGUACAAAUCCAUUUCUACUGCACUUGGAUCCAACCCCAACCGUGGUAACACUUCAAACUACCAAGGACUACACGCCAGACAUCAAGUUAGCGCUUAGGGUGGCCUGAUGUCACGGUUCACGCGGUGACCACGUUCGUCCGGGCGUGCUGGCAUGCAAAACACGCACUUUGCGUGCCGCCUAGCGCUCUGUUGAGUGUGUGCUCGCUGCCUAGCCUGCCCGAGCAUGCCAAGCCUCACCACCAUCCCCAUCUCCACUCCCUUAACUCCCCCCUAGCACUCGCCGAUGCCGGAGCUCGCCGCAGCGGGCAUGGGCACGGUCCGGCCAACGACACAGUGAAUGGCGCACUGUGCUCGUCGUCUUCCCCCUCGCCCCUGUGCUCGUCCGCGCCCACCAAUAGUUCCCGCGUGACCUCCGUCGUCUUCCCCCUCUCUCACUGGCGUCGUUCGUCACCGGGCGCCAUGGAAAGGUGUCCUCCGGCGGAGCUCGAACCCCUCUCACCGCCCGCCUAUAAAUGUUGCCACCCCAACCCUCCUUGAGCACCCGCUGCUACUCCCACACCCUCCACAAACUAGUAGAAGACGCAGCCCGACCGGGCAGGCCGCUGGCUGCCGUCCCGAAGCCCGAGCUCGCCGGCGAUCCCCUCCGGAUCGUCCCCACAGCUCGGAUCCCUCCCAGGCCAGGCGACCCUGCCAAGGCCUCCGCCACUCUUCGGUGAAGCUGUUCCGCCCCACUGGAGCCCCUGGACACGCCCCGAGCCGCCGUCGUCUUUGUCUCCAGCGACCUCUGCCCUCUGCCUCCGCUGGAGAGGCCGUUUCCGACGCCGUCCGGUCACCUCUAGCCACGCUACGGGUACGGGCAGGUGUGCCAUCUUCUUCUCCUUCGAUCCCCCUCUUGUUUGACCCCAAGAACCCUCGUCGCCGGCGUGUGCUCCGAUGAAGCUCCGCCUCCCUCUGUUUCCUUCUCCCCCUCCUUCUGGCCUGACUAGCAGGGCCUGCUAGCUAGCCACUCAGUACGCGCGCGAAGCGGUACGAGUGGUGGCGUCCUGGGCUUUUACGCCUUUGACGUCACCCCCUCCCCCAGUAUGUUUAUUUUUUAUUUCAAAUUCAUUUAAAUCCAGGAGACUUCAAACAGCCAUAACUUUUUAUCUAUAAGUCCAAAUGCAUUGAUUCUUUUUGCAUUGUGUUCUUUGUCAAAAAAUCUAACAGCACCCAAAAUAUGGGAUUUUUCCUUGCUGCCUAGAUUUUCUGGUAAUUUUCAGAAGGUUUCUUGAUGUUUUCUUUCUGUGGUUUUAUUUAUUUUCAGAAGAGCAAGCUUGUCUUGAGGAUCACCAGGAGAUUUGUGAACCUCAUCAGCACUAAGGCAAGCCACAACAACAUUUUCAUAGUGACACUUCAAUAUUUGUGAUUUUCCUACUUGAACUUAUGAUUAUUCAUGCAUUUAAAUAAUUAUUAUGAUAAUUAUAUUCUGUUAGAUGCUUGUCAUGUUAAAUAUGCUUGAUUUACAGAAAGUUUGAAAUGAAUCUUGCUGGUAAGCUAACAAGAACUUAGAUAUGAGUAAUGAUAAAAUGAUAUGGUCAUGGAGGUUAAUAAUUAGUUUAAUUAUUAUUCUUGCAUGAUGAAAAAUGAUGAGAUUGCUAGAAAUGGUUCUGGUUUAAGUGAGGUUUGAUCUUAACCAGAGAAGUAUCUUGAGUUGACGAUGGCUCCGUGGGAGCGUAGUUGAUUUAGUUAUUUUCAUGGUUAUGUGAUGCAUAUGUUAGUGAUGCAUAGCAUGGCAUUAUGACACCGGUUACUUUCACUUUAAGUUGAACCUGAUAAAUAACUCAACUUGAAUAUGUUGUUGACCGGGUCGUGGUGCCGCUGAAGCGAGUUUUUCCCAGUGCAACCACAUUUGCCGGUAUGGGACGGCCUUAAUGUGUUUCAUUGUCGUGCCUCUGGUCGGUGCCUCCAUCUAGGGAAGGUUAUGGGCAUGCUAUACCCUUGCCCAGUAAGCAGGCAUAACCUUGUGUGCACGUUGAUGAGUUAAGUGUUUGGGUCCCAGAGUGGAUCGUUGCCACGACGGUGGUUUGACGUGUCUUGAGGUAGACACGGGGCCACCCAGGACUAGCCCGAUGGGGAUUGAGUCGGAGUGGCUGGGAGAGUGUCAUGACAAUGAAGUGGUUUCGUCGGAAUGCCGUUGGUCCACCCGAAUGGGAGUGCGAGGCCAUGGGCUCCAUAGUGUGGGUCCAGUGCGCUACCUCUGCAGAGUGUAUUAAUCUAUCGAUAGCCGAGUCCACGGUUAUGGACAUGCUCGAAAGUAGGGUACACCAUGGGUCAACACUUAAUAAAUUUGCACACUGAGAUUUGCACUGAGGUAAUGGCAGUGAGGCCAUCGUGUUGAGUUGGACCAGGUGUGGUCUGGUUGUGAUCGCCAUAAGGAUCACGGUUUGAGACCAAGUGUUGGUCAGGGUUGUGAUCGCCGUAAGGAUCACGAGAUUGUUGUUGAGUUCUUCAUGUUUGUGGUCUGGAAAUGAUCACGUUCGGUAAGCCAGACCAUGGGACGAGUACCACUUGAGCAUAUUCAUAGGAUGUUGGAUAUAUUAUUGCAUUGUUAUUAAUUGGUUAAGUAUUAUGAUAUUGUUUGUCAUUAUGUUUAUGCUUGUUGUGAGAUUGCAAGUACAUUCAAUGUACUGACCUGGCGUGUCAUGCCAGAUUUCAGGAAAGUCUCGUUGGAAAGGGGAGCUGUCCGAGUCUAGAUCGUCUCCACAUUGGUGUCCCUGUGCUAUGGAGUCCCGCUACGACGUUGUUCCACUGUCGCGUAGUUGUCAUGAUCGAGGCCCCUUUAUGUUUACUAAAUAAUGUACAUAUUGUUCAGCCGCACCGUCUGUGCCGCUUGGCCUCGCUAACUGUUGUAAUAUGAAUUAUGCUCCGCUAGCAUGAAUAAAGCGGUUGUUUUUCUGUACCAAGUUGUUGUGUGUUGCCAGAAGACAAGGUCUCUGGGCUGGCAAUACAGGGUAAACCGGUCGCUCUCAGCUGGGGUGCCACAACACUUGGUAUCAGAGCCGCGCUGACUGUAGGCCACGCUAGACUACGCCGAGUUAACUGGAUGUUAGAUACGAGUUGUAGUUGAGUGUCGGUAGCCUAUUGUAGCUGCUUGUUGCAUUGCAUGCACUGAUUUUUAUUUUUAUGCUAACAUGCUAAUGGUUGUCAGUGUAGAUGGCUCCGGUGAUGUAUCCGUGCCAGUUGCAGCUGAUGCCGUACACGUCGCCGCAUCUCCUUCGUAACGUGUGGUGUCGGCUGUACCCUCACGAUGACGAUCCAGUCUAUCGUGUGUACUGGGAGCGUCUAGCUGACUCAGUGUAUGAGUAUCACGCCGUGGUUACUCUGCGUACCAGUUCCGAUUCCAGCUCUUACAUUCGUACUUCUCGAAGCGGCUACGCUUCUACCGCUUCUCAGGCUGUCCAGUUUGUUGCAUUCGAGGUACUCGUUGAGCUCCGUUACAACGAGGUCCGGAUGCAUAACCACCCCGGUUUCCACUACUAUCCUUCUCUCCACGAUAAUGGUCAUGUCCGUUUCCCUGUCAUUGAUCCGGAGUCUGAUAGUGUAGGUAGCCACCUUUCUCGCUAUAUCAUUGCUAGCUAUCUUCUGAGCUACGAGCUGGCUCGUGAGCUGAGUCGUGGUUGUACUGCUUUAGCCUCUGCUUUAGUCUCUGCUAGCUCAGCCACUACUCCACCAUCUGUAGGAUUUACUCCCUAUAUUCCUGCCAGUUCUAGAUCCCCUGUUUCCCCGUUUACUCCUCCGAGUAGCUCGGGCACCGCAACUGUGAGUCCACUUAGUGCUCCUGCUGAGUGGGUUUCACUCCUCGCCACUCCUUUAGCCCCGAUGAUUCACCCUCCACCUGCCCCAGAGGGAGAGCCCUCGAGGCAGCGUCGUCGUGUCACUUUUAACCUGGAGGUCUCAGUUAACCCCGUCAGUUUAGGAUCCGAAUCCGCUUCAGGAGAGGACUUCGCAGCACCAGCAGAGCAGUAGAGCUUCCGAGUAUUCGCAGUCAUCGGGAUGGAGUAUGGAUGUAGUUGUACGAGUCCUGAUGUUUCAUGUAUGAGGGUAGUUGGACCUGGCAUGUUGUUAUCAUUCAUGUAUGAGUCUAUGUAUAAUUAUGUUGGACUUUAUUUUAUUCGUCGUAUUUUCUUUGCCAUUUCAGUUUUACUUGGAUUUUGUUGUUGGCUUCUCCCCAACUUAUUUUGAAUGCUUCUCAUCUCGGUUGUGUUGCCUUGGGAAUAAUCAUAUUAGGAUGACGCGGGGAGGCUGCAGUAGCAAUGUUCGUGAGGGUUCUCCUGUUCAUUGUUCCACACGACAGGCAGGACACUCACCCGAGCCGUACGUUCCACCAGCGCCUCCACCGCCAAAUCCGCCCUCCACCGAGCAAAUUAUGCGUAUGUUUGAGGAAAGACGAAAUAAUGAUCUGAUGGAAAUAUUCAGAAGUAUUCAAGCUGUGGUUGGACAGAAUGGAAAUCAGCCCGGUCAUCACUCCAAGCUAUCUGAUUUUCAAAGGACUAAGCCUCCCAGUUUCAGUCAGGCCAUUGAUCCCUUGGAUGCAGACGAUUGGCUGAGAACUAUGGACAAGAAGCUUGAGGUUGCUCGAACUGAUGAAGGGGAUAAAGUUCCAUUUGUAACACAUUAUCUUGAAGGCGCUGCUGCCAUAUGGUGGGAAAAUGAAAAAGCCAUGUGGACUGCUGAUGAAGAAAUUAGCUGGUUAAGAUUCAAGGAACGAUUCCGGAAAUAUCACAUCCCUAAGGGAAUUAUGAAGACUAAGCAACGUGAAUUUCUCGCGCUCCUCCAAGGAAGUCAGCCUGUGGGAGAAUAUUUGCAGAAAUUCAAUCAUCUGUCACGUUACUCUCAAUAUGACGUGGCCACUGAGGAAAGAAAGAUGGACAGGUUUCUUGGUGGGUUAAACCCGCAACUCCGUUGUACUCUCAGUAUGUUCGAUUUCCCAGACUUCCAAGCUCUAGUGAACAAGGCUUUCAUUGCUGAAAGGGAACACAAGCUUGUAUCAGAUGCUAAGCCUGCCAACAAUGAUCACAAGCGCAAGUUUGAGCCAAGAAAAGAAAUGCAACCAGUGCAGAAGGCUCGUACCUAGCAGCCGACUCAGGUAGCAUACAAGCCCAAUUGGCAACAAAAUGUUAAUAAGACCACCACCCAAGUCAAGAAUGACAUGUUCAACCCAAUUCUAGAGAAUCGUCUGUGCAGCAAUUCCUGUUUCAAUUGUGGGCAAACCGGACAUUAUGCCAAGCAGUGUCCCAUGAACAAUCGGACCAAUACUACAUUCAAGCCACAAGUCCAUUAUAUGGAGGCAUGCCCAGAUCAGCAUGACCUCACGGGAUACAUUCAUCACAUUUACGCCGACGAAGCCCAAGAGAACCCCGAAGUCGUCAUUGGUAUGUUCCCUGUUAAUAACAUACCUGCAGUAAUUUUAUUUGACUCUGGGGCUUCCCACUCUUUUAUUUCUCGGAGUUUUGUUGCCCAAAACAAAUUUCCUUGUUUGCUUUUGGGCAAGAAUAUGCUGGUACAAACCUCGGGAUCUCUAAUCAGAAGCAAUAUAGUCUGCCGUAAUCUCGAAGUCAAUAUCAAUGGAGUCCAUUUUCCAACUUCUUUGAUACUUAUUGAAUCCAAUAAGUUGGAUGUUAUCUUGGGUAUGAAUUGGCUGACUCAGUAUCAAGUAUGCAUAAAUUGUGCGACCUGAGAAGUCAACUUGACCAGCCAAGAGGGACAAACUACAAAAUUUAUUGCUCGUAGGAGCAUACCCUCCAAGGAAAUGGUCUUUACAGCAACGGCUGAAAUGGAGUUAAUUCCGGUGGUCAACGAGUUUCCUGAUGUAUUCCCAGAAGAACUGCCAGGCAUGCCACCAGAUUGAGAGCUUGAUUUUGUGAUAGAUCUUGUGCCCGGAACCGCACCAAUACACAAGAAGUAUUAUCGAAUGCCGUCAUCAGAAUUAGUGGAGCUAAAGAAAUAGCUUGAUGAAAUACUCCAGAAAGGGUAUAUCUGCCCCAGCUCCUCACCAUGGGGAUCACCUGCUAUUUUCGUGGACAAGAAAGAUGGUAGCCUCCGCAUGUGUGUGGAUUACCAUCAGCUGAAUGAUGUCACAAUCAAAAACAAAUACCCUCUGCCAAGAAUUGAUGAUUUGUUUGAUCAGCUUAGUGGGGCCAAGGUAUUCUCCAAGAUCGAUUUACGGACUGGGUAUUAUCAGCUCAAAAUUAAAUAGGAGGAUAUUCCCAAGACCGCAUUCACCACUCGCUACGGUCUCUAUGAAUAUACAGUCAUGUCUUUUGGCCUCACCAACGCCCCCGCCUUCUUCAUGCACAUGAAGAAUAAAGUAUUCAUGGACUUCCUCGAUAAGUUCGUGGUCGUCUUCAUCGAUGAUAUAUGAAGGAAAUAUGCCCUAGAGGCAAUAAUAAAGUUAUUAUUUAUUUCCUUAUAAUCAUGAUAAAUGUUUAUUAUUCAUGCUAGAAUUGUAUUAACCGAAAACAUAAUACAUGUGUGAAUACAUAGACAAACAAAGUGUCACUAGUAUGCCUCUACUUGACUAGCUCGUUAAUCAAAGAUGGUUAUGUUUCCUAACCAUGAACAAUGAGUUGUUAUUUGAUUAACGAGGUCAUAUCAUUAGUUGAAUGAUCUGAUUGACAUGACCCAUUCCAUUAGCUUAGCACCCGAUCGUUUAGUAUGUUGCUAUUGCUUUCUUCAUGACUUAUACAUGUUCCUAUGACUAUGAGAUUAUGCAACUCCCAUUUUCCAGAGGAACACUUUGGGUGCUACCAAACGUCACAACGUUACUGGGUGAUUAUAAAGGAGCAUUACAGGUGUCUCCAAAGGUAGAUGUUGGGUUGGCGUAUUUCGAGAUUAGGAUUUGUCACUCCGAUUGUCGGAGAGGUAUCUGUGGGCCCUCUCGGUAAUACACAUCACAUAAGCCUUGCAAGCACUACAAAUAAUAUGUUAGUUGUGAGAUGAUGUAUUACGGAACGACUAAAGAGACUUGCCAGUAACGAGAUUGAACUAGGUAUUGGAUACCGACGAUCGAAUCUCAGGCAAGUAACAUACCGAUGACAAAGGGAACAACGUAUGUUGUUAUGCGGUCUGACCGAUAAAGAUCUUCGUAGAAUAUGUAGGAGCCAAUAUGGGCAUCCAGGUCCCGCUAUUGGUUAUUGACCGGAGACGUGUCUCGGUCAUGUCUACAUUGUUCUCGAACCCAUAGGGUCCGCACGCUUAAGGUUACGAUGACAGUUAUAUUAUGAGUUUAUGCAUUUUGAUGUACCGAAGGUUGUUCGAAGUCCCGGAUGUGAUCACGAACAUGACGAGGAGUCUCGAAAUGGUCGAGACAUAAAGAUUGAUAUAUUGGAAGCCUAUAUUUGGAUAUCGGAAGUGUUUCGGGUGAAAUCGGGAUUUUACCGGGUUACCGGGAGGUUACCGGAACCCCCCGGGAACCAUAUGGGCCUUCGUGGGCCUUAGUGGAAAGAAGAAAGGGGCAGCCCAAGGUGGCUGCGCCACUUCCCCCUCCCCUAGUCCUAUUAGGACUAGGAGAAGGUGGCCGGCCCCCCUCUCCCUCUUUCCCCCUUUGGGGAAUCCUAGUUGGAAUAGGAUUGGGGGGGAGUCCUACUCCCGGAAGGAGUAGGACUCCUCCUGCGCCCUCCUCCCUUGGCCGGCGCCCCCUCCCCCCUUGGAUCCUUUAUAUACUGAGGCAGAGGCACCCCAGAAACAGACAAGUUGAUCCACGUGAUCUAUUCCUUAGCCGUGUGCGGUGCCCCCUGCCACCAUAUUCCUCGAUAAUACUGUAACGGAGUUUAGGCGAAGCCCUGCUGCUGUAGUUCAUCAAGAUCGUCACCACGCCGUCGUGCUGACGGAACUCUUCCCCGACACUUUGCUGGAUCGGAGUCCGGGGAUCGUCAUCAAGAUGAACGUGUGCUCAAACUCGGAGGUGCCGUAGUUUUGGUGCUUGAUCGGUUGGAUCGUGAAGACGUACGACUACUUCCUCUACGUCGUGUCAUCGCUUCCGCAGUCGGUCUACGUUGGGUACGUAGACAACACUCUCCCCCUCGUUGCUAUGCAUCACAUGACCUUGCGUGUGCGUAGGAAAAUUUUGAAAUUACUACGAAACCCAACAAUAUACUCAUUUACUCAAGAAGUGAAGAAGAGCAUAAGGAACACCUCCGAGCAGUGUUACAACGACUCCGUGAGCAUCAGUUAUACGCCAAAUUCAGUAAAUGUGAGUUUUGGCUCAAGCAAGUUGGAUUCCUCGGGCAUGUGCUAUCCGCUGAAGGUAUAGCCAUGGACCCAAGCAAGGUAAAGGAUGUGCUCGGCUGGUUGCCACCCGCAACCGUAUCCCAGAUCCGGAGUUUUCUUGGAUUAGCCGGAUAUUACCACCGUUUCAUUGAAAGGUUUUCCAAGAUUGCUAAACCCAUGACAGAGCUGCUCAAAAAGGAUAAAAAGUUUGAAUGGACUGAGGAUUGUGAGAAAAGUUUCACUGAGUUAAAGAAACGACUGACAAUUGCACCAGUAUUAACACUUCCAGAUAUAUACCGCAGCUUUGAUGUGUACAGCGACGCUUCCAGGCAAGGUCUGGGAUGCGUGCUUAUGCAAGAUGGCAAGGUAGUAGCUUACGCCUCACGAUAGCUACAAACCCACGAAGGGAAAUACCCCACUCAUGAUUUGGAAAUGGCCGUGGUAGUUCAUGCUUUAAAAAUUUGGAGACACUACCUCAUCGGAAAAAGGUGCCAAAUUUUUACCGAUCACAAAAGCCUCAAAUAUAUAUUUACUCGGCCAGAUUUAAAUCUCCGUCAAUGAAGAUGGCUUGAUUUGGUCAAGGAUUAUGACCUUGGAAUAAAUUACCAUCCGGGUAAGGCCAACGUGGUUGCCGAUGUGCUCAGUCGAAAGCCCGUCAGUUUAAAUGUCCUAUUGGAAUCUUUGCCUCCUGAACUUAAAGAAGAGAUUGCUCAGCUCAACCUGGUCAUAGUUGAGGCCGGCCUUGCCAAUAUUCUGGAAGUUACCCCUACUCUUGAGGAAGAAAUCCGCAAGGCCCAGCCAGGUGACACCGAUCUGCAAAAACAUGCCAAGCAUUCCGAUUUCUCGAAGAAUCAGUACGGUACCCUCUGAUUUAGGGGAAGGAUUUGUGUGCCCAAUCAAGCGGAUUUAAAGCAGAAGAUCCUGUCAGAAGCCCACGAAUCCUCAUAUUCCAUUCACCCUGGAGGUACAAAAAUGUAUGAAAACCUUCGAAAAUAUUCUGGUGGGAUGGAUUGAAGAAAUACAUUGCUUAUUUCGUGGCUUGUUGCGACAUAUGCAACAAAGUAAAGGCAGAACAUCAGAAGCCAGCUGGACUUCUCCAACUGUUGCCAGUGUCACAAUGGAAAUGGGAUGUCUGUAUGGAUUUUAUCACCGGACUACCUAAGACCCGACGGGGCAGUGAUGCGAUCUGGGUCAUAGUGGACACAUUAACCAAGGUAGCCCACUUCCUCCCGAUCAGGACCUCAUAUCGAGCAGAUGAGCUUGCACAAUUGUAUGUGUCCAAAAUAGCCAGUCUGCAUGGAGUCCCCCGAACCAUUACUUCUGACCGAGGUUCACUUUUUACCUCCGCUUUUUGGUCCAGUCUCCAUCGAGCCUUAGGGACAGAGUUGAAGUAUAGUACCGCUUAUCAUCCUCAGACUGAUGGACAGGCAGAACGAGUAAACCAAAUACUCGAGGAUAUGUCGCGAGCCUGUGUUUUGGCCCAAGGCCCAAAAUGGGAAGACUGCUUGCCGUACGCCAAGUUCUCGUAUAACAAUAGCUUCCAGACUAGUUUAAAGAUGUCACCGUAUGAAGCUUUGUUUGGCCGUAAGUGCUGCACUCCAUUAAAUUGGUCUCAAACCGGAGAUAGCCAUGUUUUCGGAACGGAUCUCAUGCUGGAAGCCGAAAAGAAAGUCAAGGAAAUUAGAGACAGACUGCAGUUGGCCAAAUCACGACAAAGAAGUUAUUAUGAUGCAAAGCACCGUUAGAUCAGCUUUGAACCCGGAGAACAUGUCUAUCUUUGAGUCACGCCUAUGAAUGGUAUCAAGAGGUUUCAGACUCGUGGAAAAUUGGCACCCAGAUUCAUUGGUCCAUUUCCUGUUAUGACGCGGGUGGGUGUUGUGGCAUAUCAGUUGGAGUUGCCCCCUGAAUUGUCAAACAUGCACAACGUGUUCCAUGUUUCCCAAUUGCGACGAUGCAUAUCGCUGCCUGACACAAAGACUGAUUUGACAGAAAUAGACCUGGCAAAGGACUUAACAUAUGAAGAAAGGCCGGUAAAUAUUUUGGAUCAAAUGGAAAUAUUUACUCGCAGUAAAGCACGGAAGUUUUACAAAGUCCAAUGGAAGCAUCAUACCGAGUCAGAAUCAACAUGGGAAUCAGAAGAAUUUCUAAGGGCAUGUUAUCCAGAAUGGUUUUCCCAAGCAACCGAAUCUCGAGGACGAGAUUCAUUCUAAGUGGGGGAGGUUUGUGACAGCCUGGUUUUUGCCCUCUUUUCUUUGUCUGGUUUUCAGUUGAGUUGGUUUUGAAUUUGGAGUUUUUGAAUCACUUCAUUUGGACUUAACCACUUGGGUACCCCUUGACUUUCACCCAAAUGCUCCGCAUCCUCCUCAAAACCAUCAUUUCACCUCUGGAUCAACUCAAAAUAUUGCUUGGAAUAUUUUUCUUAAAUGAAAAAUAUUCAUUUUGCCAUCCAAAACCCUAGCUAGCCCUUUGUGCUCCAAAGCAACCCUAAUUUUUCUUGCCCCAAAAAUCCUGAGAAAAAUCCCAAUUUUUCUUUGAACCCUAGGGAACCUUUCUGAGCAAAAAUAUGCCAUCACUCUUUGGAAAAUUUUGGCUACAGAAAAUAAAUUCGUUUCUGGACAUAAAUGGUAGUUUCUACAGAACCUACCAUUUUACUAGCUCCAUUGUAGCUGGUUUUUCUUGUGCCUAUUUACCUUAGUAAGUGUAAGCUAGUCUCCAAAGCUCAGCCCUUAACUCCCAGUGGUUUGACCUCAGUAAACCUCCAAAGUUACUGUCCAGAAACUUGCUAGCAGCAUAAAUCCAUUUCUACUGCACCUGGAUCCAAGCCCGACCGUGGUAACACUUCAAACUACCAAGGACUACACGCCAGACAUCAAGUUAGCGCUUAGGGUGGCCUGAUGUCACGGUUCAUGCGGUGACCGUGUUCGUCCGGGUAUGCUGGCAUGCAAAACACGCGCUCUGCGUGCCGCCUAGCGCUCUGUUGAGCGUGUGCUCGCUGCCCAGCGUGCCCGAGCAUGCCAAGCCUCACCACCAUCCUCGUAUCCACUCCCUUAACUCCCCAUGGCACUCGCUGAUGCCGGAGCUCGCCUCGGCGGUCACGGGCACGGACCGGCAAACGACACAGCGCAUAGUGCAUUGUGCUCGUCGUCUUCCCCUUCGCCCAAGUGCUCGUCGGCGCCUGCCAAUAGUUCCCGCGUGACCUCUAUCAUCUUCCCCGUCUCUCACUGGUGCCGUUCGUCGCCGGGCACCGUGGAUAGGUGUCCUCCGGCGGAGCCCGAACCCCUCUCGCCGCCCGCCUAUAAAUGUCGCCACCCCAGCCCUCCUUGAGCACCCACAGCUACUCCCACACCCUCCACAAACUAGUAGAAGACGCAGCCCGGCCGGGCAGGCCGCGGGCUGUUGUCCCGAAGCCCGAGCUCACCGGUGAUCCCCUCCGGAUCGUGCCCGACGCUCCGACCCCUCCCAAUCUAGGGCGACCCUGCCAGGGCCUCCGCCACUCUUCGGUGAAGCCAUUCCGCCCCGCUGGAGCCCCUAGCGCCGCCCCGAGCCGCUGUCGUCUUCGUCUUUGGCGACCUCUGCCCUCUGCCUCUGCUGGAGAGGCCGUUUCCGACACCGUCCGGUCACUUCUAUCCACGCUAGGGGUAUGGGCAGGUGCGCCAUCUUCUUCUCCUUCGAUCCUCCCCCCCCCUCAUGUUUCACCCCAAGAACCCUCGUCGCGGGCGUGUGCUCCGACGAAGCUCCGCCUCCCUCUGUUUCCUUCUCCCCCUCCUUUUGGCCUGACUAGUGGGGCCUGCUAGCCAGCCACUCAGUAUGUGCGCGAAGCGGUACGAGUGGUGGCGUCCUGGGCUUUUACGCCUUCGACGUCACCCCCCCCCCAGUCUAUUUAUUUUUAUUUCAAAUUCAUUUAAAUCCAGGAAACUUCAAACAGCCAUAACUUUUUAUCUAUAAGUCCAAAUGCAUUGAUUCUUUUUGCAUUGUGUUCUUUGUCCAUAUCUAACAGCACCCAAAAGAUGGGAUUUUUCCUUGCUACCUAGAUUUUCUGGUAAUUUUCAGAAGGUUUCUUGAUGUUUUCUUUCUGUGGUUUUAUUUAUUUUCAGAAGAGCAAGCUUGUCUUGUGGAUCACCAGGAGAUUUGUGAACCUCAUCAGCACUAAGGCAAGCCACAACAACAUUUUCAUAGUGCCACUUCAAUAUUUGUGAUUUUCCUACUUGAACUUAUGAUUAUUCAUGCAUUUAAAUAAUUAUUAUGAUAAUUAUAUUCUGUUAGAUGCUUGUCGUGUUAAAUAUGCUUGAUUUACAGAAAGUUUGAAAUGAAUCUUGUUGGUAAGCUAACAAGAACUUAGAUAUGAGUAAUGAUAAAAUGAGUGUAUUAAUCUAUCGAUAGCCGAGUCCACGGUUACGGACACGCUCGAAAGUAGGGUACACCAUGGGUCAACACUUAAUAAAUUUGCACACUGAGAUUUGCACUGAGGUAAUGGCAGUGAGACCAUCGUGUUGAGUUGGACCAGGUGUGGUCUGGUUGUGAUCGCCGUAAGGAUCACGGUUUGAGACCAAGUGUUGGUCAGGGUUGUGAUCGCCGUAAGGAUCACGAGAUUGUUGUUGAGUUCUUCAUGUUUGUGGUCUGGAAAUGAUCACGUUCGGCAAGCCAGACCAUGGGACGAGUACCACUUGAGCAUAUUCAUAGGAUGUUGGAUAUAUUGUUGCAUUGUUAUUGAUUGGUUAAGUAUUAUGAUAUUGUUUGUCAUUAUGUUUAUGCUUGUUGUGAGAUUGCAAGUACAUUCAAUGUACUGACCUGGCGUGUCAUGCCAGAUUUCAGGAAAGUCUCGUUGGAAAGGAGAGCUGUCCGAGUCUAGAUUGUGUCCACAUUGGUGUCCCUGUGCUAUGGAGUCCCGCUACAACGUUGUUCCGCUGUCGCGUAGUUGUCAUGAUCGAGGCCCCUUUAUGUUUACUAAAUAAUGUACAUAUUGUUCAGCCGCACCGUGAGUGCCGCUUGGCCUCGCUAACUGUCGUAAUAUGAAUUAUGCUCCGCUAGCAUGAAUAAAGUGGUUGUUUUUCUAUACCAAGUUGUUGUGUGUUGCCAGAAGACAAGGUCUCUGGGCUGGAAAUACAGGGUAAACCGGUCACUCUGAGCCGGGGUGCCACAAUACACAAGUGUUCUUCCUUGCAAGACUAACCCAUGUAGGAAGAUGAACUUCAAAUACAAGUGAUGCUACGAACUCUUGAUGAUCUACAUUAACUUGAGCCCCAUACACAAGUUCAACUACAUGACCAAGUUCAUCACCACCGCCCGAGGUAUGUCAUUCCAUCUUAGAGAAGCUUAACCCCAAGACAUGGGUCAAAGCAACUCAACAAGAUGAGAAUACAUCAAAAUGCUUAAAUGAAAAAUGGCAACCCCAUUUUGAGCUUAAACAAUGAGUAUGACCUAUGAUCAAGUGUCUUCACUUGACUCCUAAGUCAAUAUACUCUAACAUAGGUGACUUUGUCGCCGACAAAUUCUAGAUGAAGUUCUCUGUUGUUUCUUUGUGCCCUUGCAUUUGUCUCAUGCAUGCUAGUUCCCCUUUAAAAAAAACUUCAUCUAGAUUUCUUUUCUUUUCUUUUCUCUGUUAUUUUCUGCAUUUCCCUACAUCCAAUUCAUUGUAGAUCAUUCAGUUAAUUCCUUGCAUAUCCUUGUGAGAUCUUAUUUGCCUAAGUGAGCUAAGGUGACAAGAAUUUACUCUCCGGGUUGAACUCGGUCUCACCGGAUUGGUUUCUUCGGCUGAACCGAAUCAACUCGGUGCCAUCGAAUGCAACCACUCAAUGCUACCGAUUUCAGUCCUGAGUCAAAAUCUGUGUCACUUGCAUUCUGCAUAUUUGUCCCAGCUCCACUCUUUGUAACUUGUCCUCUACCAGCAUCAAUAUUACAUGUGGCUUUGUAAUGUGACUCUAGGACCAAACCCACUUGACUCAUGCUCCAGAAGUCCCUUGUUGGAAAUUGAUGUCAAAGGGGGAGAGAGAACACAUCAAAGUUUAUCACAUAAGAGAGAAUGCACUCAUAAUAGCUUCUCCUGAUGCUCUUAUUCUUAAGAGGAAAGUUGUCUCAUGUCUUCAAGAGGGGAAAGACAUGAUAGUAUAUGUUAUGGUCCUAUCUUGCUCUGAUUAGAAUAUUUUCUUGUUUGCUCUGAUUUUCUAAUACUCUAUCUACUCCCAUUAUCUCAUGUCAGAUUCAUGGGGAGAAAGACAUCUAAGGGAAGAAAACUUUAUUCUUGGGGACAUGUCAAUAUCCAAAUAGAGUACCUAGUACUCACACUCUACAUGUCAUCCCAGUCUUGGUAUUGCUGUGCUCUUUAGUUCUUGCUCUGUCUAGUAGAUGUUCCUGUGUUAUCUAACCUUGUUUACCAAGGUACAUCUUCUUCAAGCUAGCUCAAGACCACAAGGUAAGUAUAUGCAUCACACUCAUGUGCAUGAAGAUCUCUUGCUGUGGUACAUAUUGUUUGCAAGAGAGACUCAUGGACAUGAAGGUAUAAUUCCAGUAUCUAUAUCAUUUGCUCUGAUGCAUAUAGCCAAGAUACAUGUAACUCAUUGCUUGCUCUGACAUGUUUAUGCAUUCUCAUACUCUUAUGGUCUAUCAUCACAUGAUUGCAUACAUUGUAGGGGGAGCCAAUGCAUGUUGCAUGUCCUUCCAAAGCUUUACUAGCUAUUUCCUUAUAUCUUUAUCUAAAGCUUUGAUUUAUGUUGUCAUCAAUUACCAAAAAGGGGGAGAUUGAAAGCAUAAGUGCUCCCUGGGUGAUUUUGGUAAUUCAUGACAACAUAUCUCUUGUUGGACUAAUACUUCUACCUAGUGCAUUUCAGAAAAGUUCAACAUUGGAGUGGCAUGGGCAUGGACAAGAGGAUGUGGAACUCGUUCAAGAUGCUAAGGACAAACAUUGGCAAAAGAUCAAGACUCUGCAUUUUCUAUUUUAGUGAUCCAAGAUCACAUUGAGUCCAUAGGAAAGCCAAUACUAUUAAAAGGGGAUGAGGUGUUGCUUAAUGGCUUGCUUGCUCAAAGUGCUUAGUGAUAUGCUCCAAAACCCUCAGCCACUUUCUCACAUCCACAUAUGUCCUAAAACCUAAAUGUCAAACUCGGCCCCACCGGUUUGAACUAUCCGGCGCCACCGAGUUCAUCUUCUCCAGCCACUACCAAACCCUAGUUACUUCGGUAUCACUGAUGGGAUCUCGGUCUCACCUAGAUGGGCUUGCAAUCUCUCUGUGAUCUGGUGCAACCUUCUCGGUCUAACCGAGUUUGUGCAGUCGGUCCCACCGAGUUUGCUUGACCAAUCCUCUGUUUACUUAUUACCAAAAUCGGUCCUAUCAAGUUUGAGUAGUCGGUGAAACCGAGUUGAGGUUUUACCCUAACCCCUUCACAUCGGUCCCACCGAGAUGACUAUAUCGGUCCCACCGAAAAUCUAACGUUCACAUUUUUACCUGGAUCAGUCUGACCGAGUUUGUUAAUUCGGUCCCAACGGUUAGAUCUUGUGUGGAGGCUAUAUAUACCCCUCCACCCACUCUUCAUUCGUGGAGAGAGCCAUCAGAACAAACCUACACUUGCACUACUUCUCGAUCCUUUCACAUAAUUCUCCCCCCCCCCUCUAGACACCUCUUCUCGAUCCUUUCACAUAAUUCUUCUGUGCAGCAAUGAGCAUAAUCCUCAAGUUACGGACCUUGUCCGUGUAGUUGCUGCCAUCAUCUUUCAACUUAGCUUUCUCUAGGAACACAUUAAAAUUCAAAGGAACGGUAGCACGGGCCAUUGAUCUACAACAUAGAUAUGCAAAAACUAUCAGGACUAAGUUCAUGAUAAAUUAAGUUCAGUUAAUUAUAUUACUUAAGAACUCCCACUUAGAUAGACAUCCCUCUAGUCAUCUAAAUGAUACGUGAUCCAAAUCGACUAAACCAUGUUCGAUCAUCACGUGAUAUGGAGUAGUCCCAAUGGUGAACAUCACUAUGUUGAUCAUAUCUACUAUAAGAUUCACGUUCGACCUUUCGGUCUCCAGUGUUCCGAGGCCAUAUCUAUAUAUGCUAGUCUCAUCAAGUUUAACCCGAGUAUUCUGCGUGUGCAAAUAUGGCUUGCACCCGUUGUAUUUGAACGUAGAGCUUAUCACACCCGAUCAUCACAUGGUGUCUCGGUACGAAGAACUUUUGCAAUGGUGCAUACUCGGGGAGAACACUUAUACCUUGAAAUUUAGUGAGGGGUCAUCUUAUAAUGCUACCGCCCUACUAAGAAAAAUAAGAUUCAUAAAAGAUAACCAUCGCAUGCAAUCAAAAUAUGUGACAUGAUAUAGCCAUCAUCAUCUUGUGCUCAUGAUCUCCAUCACCAAAGCAACAUCAUGAUCUCCAUCGUCACCGGCUUGACCCCUUGAUCUCCAUCGCAGCGUCAUGGUGGUCUCGCAAACCGUUGCUUAGCGAUAAAGUAAAGCAAUUAAAUAGCGCUUACAAAAAAGUGACAAUCAUAUGGCUCCUGCCAGUUGCCGAUAACUUUUACAAAACAUGAUCAUCUCAUACAACAAUCUUUAUAUCACUUUCAUUUACCAAAAAUGACAUUGCAGUUUCCAGCCGGGAGGCACAGUCUCAUACAAGCAACUUCUCUUCCUCUUUCGAAAAGUAGCAUCAUGUCUUGACCAUAUCACAUCACAACAUGCCUUGCAAAAACAAGUUAGACAUCCUCUACUUUGUUUGUUGCACGUUUUACGUGACUGCUACAGGCUUCUAGCAUGAACCGUACAUACCUACAACACAAAAACCACAACAGUGAUUUAUCAAGUUUGUUGUUUUAACCUUCACAAGGACCGGCCGCAGUCAAAUCCGAUUCAAAUAAAGUUGGAGAAACAGACACGCGCUAGCCACCUUUAUGCAAAACUAGUUGCAUGUCAGUCGGUGGAAUCGGUCUCAUGAACGCGGUCAUGUAAGGUUGGUCCAGGCCGCUUCAUCCAACAAUACCGCUGAAUCAAAAUAAGACAUUGGUGGUAAGUAGUAUGAUGAUCACCGCCCACAACUCUUUGUGCUUAUGCAUAUCAUCUACGCAUAGACCUGGCUCGGAUGCCACUGUUGGGAAAUGCAACAUGCAAUUUAAAAAAAAAAUCCUACGCUCAUGCAAGAUCUAUCUAGGAGAUGCAUAGCAAUGAGAGGGGGAAAGUGUGUCCACGUACCCUCGUAGACUGAAAGCGGAAGCAUUAACUUAACGUGGUUGAUGUAGUCGAACGUCAUCUCGAAUCAACCGGUCAAGUACCGAAUGUACGACACCUUUGAAUUUUGCACACGUUUAGCUCGAUGACGUCCCUCGAACUCUUGAUCCAGCAGAGUGUUGAUGGAGUCAAUGAGUUCCGUCAGCAUGACGGCGUGAUGACGGUGUUGGUGAUGUGAUCCGCGCAGGGCUUCGCCUAAGCACUACGAUGAUACUAUCCGAGGAGUAAACGGUGGAGGGGGGCACCGCACAUGGCUAAGAGAAUAACUGUUGUGUCUUUGGGUACCCCCUGCUCCCGUAUAAAAGGAGGGGGGGAGGAUUCCUACUAGGACUCCACUCCUAGUAGGAUUCCCCCCCCCCCCAUUUUUUUCCUUCUUUCCGGAGGGGAAAAGGGGAAGGAGAGGGAAUCGAAGAAGGAAAGGGGGCGCACCCCUCCCUAGUCCAAUUCAGACUCCCUAUGGGAGGGGGGUGCGACCACCCCUUGUGGGCUGCCUCCCCUCUCCCCUAUGGCCCAUGUUGGCACAUUAAUUCCCCGGGGGGUUCCGGUAACCUCCCGGUACCCCGAAAAUCAUCUGAAACUUCCCAAAACAAUUCUGGGGUCUAAAUGUAACCUUCCAAUAAACCGAUCUUUACCUCUCGACUAUUUCGAGACUCCUCGUCAUGUCCAUGAUCUCAUCCGGGACUCCAAACAACCUUCGGUCACCAAAACUCAUAACUCAUAUAAUACCAAUCGUCAUCGAAUGUUAAGCGUGCGGACCCUAUGGGUUCGAGAACGAUGUAGACAUGGUCGAGACACCUCUCCGGUCAAUAACCAAUUGCGGAACCUGGAUGCUCAGAUUGGUUCCCACAUAUUCUACAAAGAUCUUUAUCGGUUGAACCGCAAUGUCAGUAUGGUUAUUCCCUUUGUCAUCGGUAUGUUACUUGCCCGAGAUUCAAUCGUUGGUAUCUUCAUAACUAGUUCAAUCUCGUUACCGGCAAGUCUCUUUACUCAUUCCGUAGUGCAUCAUCCCGUAACUAACUCAUUAGUCACAUUGCUUGCAAGGCUUCAUGAGGGAGUCCUGGAUUAGGGGGUGUCCGGAUGGCCGGACUAAGACCUUUGGUCGGACUCCCGGACUAUGAAGAUACAAGAUUGAAGACUCCGUCCCGUGUCCGGAUGGGACUUUCCUUGGCGUGGAAGGCAAGCUUGGCGAUACGACACGAAGAUCUCCUCCCAUUGUAACCGACUCUGUGUAACCCUAGCCCUCUCCGGUGUCUAUAUAAACCGGAGAGUUUUAGUCUGUAGGACGAACAACAAUCAUACCAUAGGCUAGAUUCUAGGGUUUAGCCACUCCGAUCUCAUGGUAGAUCUACUCUUGUACUACCCAUAUCAUCAAUAUUAAUGAAGCAGGAGUAGGGUUUUACCUCCAUCGAGAGGGCCCGAACCUGGGUAAAAACAUCGUGUCCCUUGUCUCCUGUUACCAUCCGCCUAGACGCACAGUUCGGGACCCCCUACCCGAGAUCCGUCAGUUUUGACACCGACAUUGGUGCUUUCAUUGAGAGUUCCGCUGUGUCGUCACCAUCAGGAAGAUGCCGCAUCCCGUCUUUAAAGACGGCGUCGUUGCUAAAGGAGCUUUGGCUGUCGGCCAAACUCUCCGGCUAGGCAGGUUUUUGAUGGCCGCCAAUCCGGCCGCCGCGCCAACGAUGACCUCUCGGGCCAUCGAAAGCAAUCUUCACAUCAGCUCGGAGCUCGCCGAGUACUUAGAUCCGAUGGAGCUCUUCUCCCUGAACGAACUCUUGGAUCGCAUCUCAGCCCUGGGAGUCGUUCUGAUUACGACCAGAUUGGGCUUAAACCUGAUCAGAGAGAGAUUGACUCUCCCCAGAUUACCCACCACGUCGAAGUGGUGGAAGAACAAUGCGGCGAGUCUUCACCCGCCCUAAGGACCAGAUGCGUCCGGAUUCCCGAUCCCUCCAAGCCGGAUACCCGUGGAGGGGAGGAUGUCGCCCGAACCCUGAACCUAAAGUCAGGCAGCAGGCCCGAUUCAUUGAAUAAUAUCCGAGAAAGCAAGCUUCCGAAUUCGGAAAUCACUCGACCCCUGAAUCUUACAUCGGGCAGGGUUCCGGAUUUAUUUCCACCUGCCCACCCAACUAUAUAGGAUUUAUCCCUAAUACGGCAAGAGUCCGGAGAAAUAGUACACCACUACUGGGCCAGAUUCCUCCUGGUUAUGAACAGGAUAAAGGACUGCCGUGAGAAAGAAGCAAUUUCACUCUUCCUUAACAACUGCACGGACAUCGGAAUCCUCAACGCCAUAAGUCGCCGCGAAAUUACAUGAUUUGCCGACUUGACAUCCAUAGUAUGAAAGUAUUGUGCGACUGAAAGCGUUCGGAAAACCGAAGAUAAAUUCUGGGACAAUCUGGCCCCAAAUAUAACAUGAGUCCGAAACAAAAGGGCGCAUUAUCGCCAGGCAUCUGAGCCAAACAUCAAAAAACAAAAACCCUCUACAGGGUACGGGGCCGUAUUGGAAGGAUGGCUCAAUGGACCCUGUAGAAUUCAUAAUUCAGGAAAAGCCACACCAACGCACAGCCUCAGAGCAUGUUGGAUACUACGGCAGGUAGCCAGAAGUGGCGAGGAGCUUUUAACUCCAGCACCCGAAGAAUACCUCCCCAGUACGGUGUCGAUAGUCUUCGAGACCUUCACAUCAAACAAUGCAAGGAAACGAACGCUCCGCAACCUUGCCGAAGUCUACCAAGUAGCAACAAUAAACCCAUGGAGUGACACGGCUAUCACCUUUAAUGCCAGUGAUGAACCUAAAUUCCGGACAGCCCGAGCACCAGCCGCAUUGGUCCUCAGUCCGAUAGUGGACGGCUUCCGACUUACAAAGGUACUCAUGGACGGCGGCAGCGGACUCAACCUCAUCUACGAGGAAACCCUGCGAAAAAUGGAAAUUGACUGGAGCCGCAUUGAGCGAAGCAACACAACUUUUAGGGGAAUAAUCCCAAGCCGGGAAGCGUGCUGUUCAGGAAAAAUCACACUGGAUGUGGUGUUCGCCACGCCGGACAAUUACAGAUCCGAGGAGGUCACGUUUCAAGUGGCCCCAUUCAGCAGCGGCUACCACGCUCUGCUAGGGCGAGAAGCAUUUACAGUUUUCCAAGCCAUACCCCAUUACGGGUACAUGAAGCUCAAAAUGCCCGGGCCCAACGGAAUCAUCACUCUCGCAAGUGAUCCGGACAUAGCGCUCUACGCUGAAAACAAGACAGCCGCACUGGCCCUGGAGGCACUAUCUGAGGCCCUAGCGGCUGAGGAAUUAACGGCGUUGCGCUCCACGGUGGACAGGGACGAUGUGAUACUAGACAAGAGAUCCAAGUCCACCUCUUUUAAACCAGCAGACGAAAUAGUCAAAUUCCAAGUCCAUCCAACGGACCCUACAAAAACGGCCUCCAUCGGGGCACAAUUAAAAUCCGAUGUAGACGCCGCACUCAGAGACUUUCUGCGAGAAAAUUGGGACAUCUUCGCCUGGCACCCCUCGGAUAUGCCAGGAAUCCCAUGCAGGCUGGCCGAGCACAACCUGAACAUCAUAAAAGGGUUCAAACCCGUCAAGCAGACCCUACAGCGCUUUUCCGAACCUAAGAGACAAGCCAUGGGAGAGGAGCUAGCAAAACUGCUGGAAGCCGGAUUCAUCAGAGACAUAAAACAUCCGGACUGGCUAGCAAACCUGGUGAUGGUACCAAAGAAGGACAAAUCUUGGCGCUUAUGUGUCGAUUUCAAAGACCUAAACAAGGCCUGUCCAAAGGACCCUUUCCCACUCCCCCGAAUUGAUCAAAUCAUCGACGCCACCGCAGGACACGACUCAUUGUGUUUCCUCGAUGCAUACUCUGGCUACCAUCAAAUCAAGAUGGCAGAGUCAGACCAGGCCGCAACAGCAUUCAUCACCCCAUACGGCCCAUUCUGCUUCAACACGAUGCCCUUCGGGCUCAAAAACGCCGACGCAACAUAUCGGCGCAUGAUUCAGACAUGUCUGGCCAACCAGAUCGGCAAAACAGUCGAAGCAUAUGUAGAUGACAUGGUCGUCAAAACAAAACACGUCGAUACUCUAGUAGACGACUUGAGGCUCACGUUCGACAAUCUCCGAACAUAUGACAUUAAGCUCAACCCGGAAAAAUGCGUUUUCGGCGUACCAGCCGGGAAGCUCCUGGGCUUCAUCGUAUCCGAUAGAGGAAUUGAAGCCAACCCAGCCAAGAUCCGAGCUCUGUCACAAUUAGAUACCCCAAAGGACCUCAAGCAAAUACAAAAACUGACAGGAUGCAUGGCGGCUCUAAGCCGCUUUAUCUCCCGCUUAGGAGAAAAGGCAUUACCCCCCUAUCGCCUCCUGCGGCGCACCGACCACUUCGAGUGGACGGAGGCCGCCACGGCCGGACUCGAAGAAAUAAAAGCCAUAUUGGCAACAAAUCCGGUCCUGGCCGCGCCCAACACGGGCGAACCAAUGCUAUUAUACAUCGCGGCAACCCAUCAAGUUGUAAGCGCGGUGCUCGUCGUCGAACGAGAAGCGGACGGACACAAGUCCCCCCUGCAAAAACCAGUGUACUACGUGUCCACUGUGCUAACUCCAUGCAAGUCACGGUACCCGCAUUAUCAAAAGAUAGCAUACGCGGUGUUCAUGGCAUCCCGGAAGCUGCGACACUACUUUCAAGAGUGCUCCAUAACAGUGGCAUCCGAAGUACCCCUUAAUGACAUUAUAAACAACCGCGACGCAACGGGCCGGAAUGCCAAAUGGGCCAUCAAACUCCUCCCGUUCGACAUAACCUACAAGCCAAGGCGAGCUAUUAAGUCGCAGGUUUUGGCCGACUUCAUUGCCGAAUGGACUGAAGCCAAACUCCCUAAAGAAUACAGCGCAUACUCCAACUGGAUCAUGCACUUCGACGGCUCCAAAAUGUUGGCUGGCCUGGGCGCUGGCGUCGUUCUGACGUCCCCAACCGGGGACACAGUCCAAUACGUACUUCAGAUAAUGUACACGGAUUCGAAUAACGCAGCCGAAUACGAGGCCCUUUUACAUGGCCUCCGAAUGGCAGUCUCCAUGGGCAUUCAGCACCUAGAGGUCCGCGGGGAUUCAAAUCUCGCAAUAUCCCAAAUAAAUGGAGACUUCGACGCCAAGGACCCGAAAAUGGCAGCUUACCGCAACGCCAUCUUAAAGAUGUUAGCUCGGUUCGAGGGCCUCGAAUUUCAUCACAUAGCCCGGGAAAAUAACCAAGCAGCAGACGUGUUGGCACGCAUCGGCGCCAAGCGCGAGGCCGUCCCUCCCAACAUCUUCCUAGAAAGGUUGUUCAAGCCAUCUAUAUCAUGGGAAGGAGAAUCCGGAAAUAAUAGCCCGGACACAACUACACUGCCCCUCACCGAGCAUUUUGACACAAUUGGGGGCUACACCAACGAAACAACGCCGUCAACCCACGAAAUAAUGGCAGUCAUUGCCCCUUGGACAGAGCCAUUCCUAGCCUACCUAACUAGGCAGGAACUUCCCGUGGACCAAAAUGAGGCCCGCUGCAUAGUGCGGCGAUCUAAAGCCUACAAAGUCCACGAGGGAGAGCUUUACAAGAAAAGCACAACCGGAGUCCUUCAAAGGUGUAUCUCCGAAGAAGAAGGGCGAGUCCUUUUGGCUGAAAUCCAUGCCGGACUCGGCGGGCACCACGCCGCAGCCCGGGCCCUUGUAAGCAAGGCCUUCCGUACUGGAUUUUAUUGGCCAACAGCCUGGGCAGACGCUCAGGACUUAGUGCAACGAUGUGUUGGUUGCCAGUUAUUCGCCAACCAAAGCCACAUGCCGCCUACCACCCUACAAACUAUACCCAUUACCUGGCCUUUCGCGGUCUGGGGGCUUGACAUGGUCGGACCCCUUAAAGGAGGAACCCACAAGCAAAAAUACCUACUAGUCAUGGUGGACAAAUUCACCAAAUGGAUAGAAGCCAAGCCUGUAAAGACGGCCGAAUCUGGACCAGUGAUAGACUUCAUAUCCGGGGUCGUACACCAUUACGGUGUCCCCCACAGCAUCAUAACAGACAACGGCACAAACUUCACGGCCGAUGAAGUCAAACUUUGGUGCAAAAACAUGGGCAUCAAGCUCGACUAUGCUUCAGUCUAUCACCCUCAAACUAACGGUCAAGUCGAACGGGCCAAUGGUCUCAUUAUGAGCGGCAUCAAACCCAGACUAGUGCGAUCCCUCAAGGAAUCUGACACGCACUGGGUAGAGGAGCUUGACUCCGUACUCUGGGGGCUGCGGACCACGCCGAAUCGCACUACCGGAUUCACACAAUUUUUUAUGGUAUACGGCGCAGAGGCAGUACUGCCAUGCGACAUAAUCCAUGACUCACCUCGAGUGCGCAUGUACGAAGAAAGAGAAGCCGAGCUCGAUCGGCAGGACAGCUUGGACGCAUUGGAAGAGGAGCGCGACGUGGCAAAGGCUCGUUCCGCAUUCUAUCAACAGCAGGCUCGAAGAUACCAAAGCAGAGAAGUAUGGGCCAAAACAUAUAGCGUUGGCGAACUAGUUCUACGCCUGCCGGACAAGAAAAAGGAUAAAUUAAAGCCCAAAUGGGAGGGCCCCUUCAUCAUCGACCAAGUACUGACCGGCGGAGCGUACCGUCUGCGAGGCGCAUCGGACAACCGACUCGAGCCGAACCCAUGGAAUGCAGCACACCUACGAAGGUUCUACGCCUAGCACCGGACUCCGUGUUCGUCUCCUUCCCUCAUCCCUUUGUUUUAUUUUUUAUUUUUUUUAUUUUUUGGCAGUCCGGGAUUUUGUUCCUUCUCCCUCCCCUUUUUUCUCACAAGCCCUUAGGGGCUUGCACGUGCAAUAUUCGCACGCACCCGACGCGCUACCUGCGCUCCCAAUACCUGGGGGCUUCUCUACCAAGAAGUUUAUAUAAAAUGGGCCUCAUGCCCAAAACAUGUGUAAUGCUUCCGCAUGAACCUUUUAUACACCAUUAUAUGCAUCGAUAUGACUUAAGUUUUGCCCAAGCUGGGUUGCCUGGCUCCUGUGCUUACCCCUACGUUCCCGUUCGUUCGGCUAGGUGGUAAAGGGAGCACCUCUACGAUUGUUACUGUCGGGUCAGCCGGAUGUGUACCUCAGACUGGGUGAAGCUGAAAGCUAGCGUUCUUAAGGGAAUAUUAGGUCGGUGAACUAAAAGAUGAUCUUUCGUAUUUACUCAUUUGCCCCCAGACGCUUUUCUGCUCUUUCCGGUAGUUCAGACAUGCACUUUAGGGCAUGCCUCCCAGGGAAAGGAACCCCUAAAGGAACUAUUCUAUCUGGAAGAUGUUUCUUACUAACCAUGUAAUAUAACAUAACUAGUUGGGCACUUGUCUGCUAAAGCACUUAUGACCCCUACGCCUUGUCUCCAUGCAUGCCCCGGUUCUUACAUAACCAAGAGGGUAUUCGGACACACUCCGGACUAUAGGGUCCAGAGGUCGAAGCGAAAAGGUCCGCAAUGACAAACGAUCUACAAUCCGGCUAGAGGACAUUUUUUAUGUCAUUUUUACAUAGUCAAUCCGAUUCGGCAUAUUCUUCUUCAAUGCCAUCUAACAGGCGGUCUAAUUUACAGUCUUGUUGGGAAUUCUUUGCAGCCAACUCCACCUGGCCAUAUGCCAAGCUGACCGGGAUCUCCUUUCCGUCCGGACCUAUAGGGCCGACCUCGGCCAUGUGGUUUGGGUCAGCCUUCGUGUACCGAGUCUUCACCAUGGCCCAGGCCUCCUUGGCACCUUGACGGCAAGCCGAUAUCUUCCAUAACCGGAAGCGCUGCCACACUCCCUCCAGCUUCUUGGCAAGCUCCUCAAGGCCUUCGGGCACGGAGAGGGAUGGCCACAUAGCCUGGAUGACGCCUUGCAUUGCCUGUCGAACUCGCUCGUGUAGUGGCAACAGCUCGGGAAGAAGGUCUCCCGAUGAACCGGGCAUUUCCUCCGCCGGACGACCCGUCAGCAGACCUACAGACAUAGCUCUGUCAACCGACUUCCUCGCCGAAUUCUUUUUUCGAAGAUUCGUUCAAGCACUUACUAAAAAUGCCGCGUUGAAGUCGUCGAUUCUCCUUCGCAGCAGAAGACAGCUGAAUAUGAACAUCUUUCAGUUCCUCGCCUAGCUGGGUAUUGGCGUCUUGAAGCUUGUUCUUCUCUUGCCUCACCCUCGUCAGCACGUUCUUGCCAGCCUUUAGUUGGCGUAGGAGUUGUUGCUGGUCCGGAUUUACUCCGGCCUCAUCUGCAUUAUUAUAGUCAGGGUUGCACGCCUGCCGCGUUUCAAAAUGGAGGUACCUUUCGAAGCACAUAUUACCUGCGAGCGUCCCCUUGACAUUCUCUGAAGUGGCCAAUGCGGCCUCGAGCUGAGCCUUGCACUCUUCGAGCUCCUGGGACAAUUGCAUGUUCCUCUUUGUAAGACACUGCAUAGCACAUGAUCCUUCAAACAGUUAUCUUCACUGUUUCAAGUCUCGGGGGCUACUAACAUAUAUAACCUUCAAUUUUACUCACCUGUAUGUCUUUCACAUACUGCUCCGUGGCUCUGGCUAGACCAUUUUGAGAAGCACGGAGAUACGCAUCUCUUGUAUUAAAGGCGUCCAACACCUCUGGGGAAAAACACGCGUCACAAAGAAUAGUCCGGCGACGCUUGUGGUUCAGGGCACUCUCCACCUCUGAAUUGGUGGCAGAUAGCCCGUCGGCGUCCUCUGUCGGAGGAGCGCCCGAGGCGUGUUCCGUGUCCGUCUCCGCUCCCGGACCCGGCCUCGAACCUUGGCCGGUGGACAUAGUCCGGCGGGCUCUCUUCUUCCUAAGAAAAUCAUGAGCAUUAGUAAGACUCAAGGGUGUAAACCCUAGGCGUUAAAUCCGCACGACAUACCGUUGCGCCGGAAUCUUGAUCCGGUCCGCACUUCUUUUUGGGUCGCUUGGCUUCAGCGGCCCUUGUUGGCUGCCCACCGCGGGCUCGGCCUUCUGCCUCAAGGAUUUACCCUGCGAAACGUUGUUAGUGCACGGCAUGCAAGAUAAAGCAUUAGAAUACUGGGACUUCGGUCUUAGUUACCUUGGAGGCUGGAAGUAGUCCGGGAUAGUCGGCCUUGAUGGCCACUAAGGAGUUAUUCUUGCUCAACUUCUUGGGAGUCCGAAUCGAGGGGUCAUCCCGGGUCUUCGGGUUAUGGAGCAGGGCUGUUUAUUUCCUUCACAGCCUGGCGCAGCUCCUGCGUUUGAACAUUACUAAGUCUAAGUACUCAACUACGGGAAUUUCACAAACGGACAGGCAAGUGGAAGUGUCCGCUCACCCAACUAGGAGGAUUGUACAUAGAGAAUCCGCCUUCCGGGUUGACACAAAGGAAUUCUUCCUCUUCCCCCUUGUACAAAGCGGAUAAGAUUCUCGUUAAAGUGGCGGCCGAAUCUGGCCCCUUGCGACCGCACCCGGGUGGCGUCAUCUUCCCCGUUGAAAUCCCACAUGGGGUGGCCUCUGUAUUGAAGCGGCUGCACCCCUCGCGUAAUGCAUACGGCCAUGACCUUAAUCAUGGUCAGUCCGGAGUGAGCCAACAACCUUAUCCGGCUCAUCAGGUACAGGACGUCCCUGUCGGCUUCCCUCUGAGGGUUCCGUGGGCGCCAACUCAGGCGCUUCCUCAACUGGACAUUAUUGAAUUCGGGGAGUCCGAUCCGUACAGGGUCCGGCAGGGGAACGUCAUCUAUAUAAAACCACUCCAAGGGCCAGUCUUCGGACACCCUCUUUGGGGUGCUGAAUAGAUAUCCGGUCCCGGCGAUGCGCCAUAGUUUGGCUCCGCCCACCUGAUAAAUAGACCCCUCCUGAGAACGGGGCACAAGGCAAAACAACCUCUUCCACAGCGCGAAAUAGGCCUCAACACCCAAGAACAGCUCGCAGAGGGCCACGAAGCCCGCGAUGUGCAAAAUGGAGGUGGGCGUGAGGUUAUGUAACUGGAGGCCAUAGAACUCUAGCAACCCUUGGAGAAAUAGAUGAAUUGGAAAUCCUAGUCCUCUCAUAAAAUAAGGGACUAGGCAUACCCGCUCUCCUUGAGAGGGGUUGGGAAUGCCCUCCGCCUGCUCUCCGCCGCUAUGGGCAGCAAUCCCGGCCCGAACGGGGACCAUAUAUGCUGGGGGAGAAGCCCCUUGGACUGAAGCACUACUAACUUGCUAUGUGGGACGGAGCACCGCCCCCGAUCUCCGGGCUGAGGGCUGGAGGAGCGAGAGGAGGAGCGGCAUCGACUGGCCAUGUUGGAAUGGAUCUCUGUCGGAGGCGCUCUGAUGAAGACUCACGGAGGGAAGAUGGUGCGAGUUGGAUCUAAAUCCCCGUCUCUUUUAUGGGCGGCUCGGGAGGGGUAAGCGAAAACAAAACCCCCUGGCUUUUCACAUCCGCCUAACGCGUGGAAGAUGGUCAUUAUGGGGCACAGAAGCCGAGGAGGACAGCACACACUCGAAGCCGGACACUAUUCGACGGAUACAGAGAAUUUGCAGGAGAACCCACCUUGCAAUGUCAAAGACAACUUGCGCGCCGGACUCGUCGUCAUUGAAGCCUGGUUCAGGGGCUACUGAGGGAGUCCUGGAUUAGGGGGUGUCCGGAUGGCCGGACUAAGACCUUUGGUCGGACUCCCGGACUAUGAAGAUACAAGAUUGAAGACUCCGUCCCGUGUCCGGAUGGGACUUUCCUUGGCGUGGAAGGCAAGCUUGGCGAUACGACACGAAGAUCUCCUCCCAUUGUAACCGACUCUGUGUAACCCUAGCCCUCUUCGGUGUCUAUAUAAACUGGAGAGUUUUAGUUCGUAGGACGAACAAAAAUCAUACCAUAGGCUAGAUUCUAGGGUUUAGCCACUCCGAUCUCGUGGUAGAUCUACUCUUGUACUACCCAUAUCAUCAAUAUUAAUCAAGCAGGAGUAGGGUUUUACCUCCAUCGAGAGGGCCCGAACCUGGGUAAAAACAUCGCGUCCCUUGUCUCCUGUUACCAUCCGCCUAGACGCACAGUUCGGGACCCCCUACCCGAGAUCCGCCGGUUUUGACACCGACACUUCAUAUGAUGGGCAUUACCGAGAGGGCCCAGAGAUACUCUCUGAUACUCGGAGUGACAAAUCCUAAUCUCGAUUUAUGCCAACCCAACAAACACCUUCGGAGAUACCUGUAGAGCAUCUUUAUAAUCACCCAGUUACCUUGUGACGUUUGAUAUCACACAAGGCAUUCCUCCGGUGUCCGGGAGUUGCAUAAUCUCAUAGUCAGAGGAAUAUACAUAUGACACGAAGAAAGCAGUAGCAAUAAAAUUGAACGAUCAUUAUGCUAAUCUAAUGAAUAGGUCUUGUCCCUCACAUCAUUCUACUAAUGAUGUGAUCCCGUUAUUAAAUGACAACUUAUGUCCAUGGCUAGGAAACUUAACCAUCUUUUGAUCAACGAGCUAGUCUAGUAGAGGCAUACUAGGGACAUGUUGUUUUGUCUAUGUAUCCACACAUGUAUCAAGUUUUAGGUUAAUACAAUUCUAGCAUGAAUAAUAAACAUUUAUCAUGAAUAAGGAAAUAUAAAAUGACAAAUUUAUUAUUGCCUCGAGGGCAUAUUUCCUUCAGUUUCUUCAUCGCCAUUAGACCAGCCCAAAAGUGUGAGUCACCAGUUUUCCAAUAGGCCUGUGACACAGCUUUUUGGCCUAGAUACUUAUUGCGCAGCAGGGUUUGCCAAAUGCCAUCCUCAGUAAGUAGUUUUAAAAACUAUUUACUAAGUAAGGCAUCAUUCUUGACCUGAAGGUCAUGAAUGCCAAGUCCACCUUGGUCUUUCGGCCUACAAACCACGCUCCAUUUGGUUAGCAUGUAUUUUUUUUUCACUGUCCCCUUGCCAAAAGAAUCUGGAUCUGAAAUAAUCCAGCCUCUGCAGGACCCCUCUUGGGACUUGGAAAAAAGAGAGCAUAUAGAGAACCAUAUUUGUGAGCACUGGGUUGAUUAAGACCAGCCGUCCUCCAACAGAGAGCAACUUGCCUUUCCAACUACUCAACCGUUUCUCUAAGCGCUCCUCUACAUGUUUCCACUCUGCAUUAGUGAGACACUGAUAAUGAAUCGGGAUUCCCAAAUAUUUAAUCAGGAAUUGGCCUUGUGAACAACCAAAUAGGUCGGCAUACUUAGCCGCUGCCUCACUGGCUUCUCCCAAGCAAAACAAUUCGCUUUUAUGGAAGUUAAUUUUAAGAUCUCACAUCUGCUCAAACGCUGAAAGUAAUUAUUUCAGGUUUCGAGCCUUAUCCAGGUCAUGUUCCAUAAAAGGAAUUGUAUCAUCGGCAUAUUGCACAAUAGAGAGGCCACCAUCCACAAGGUGGGGCACUACUCCUGCAAUUUGACCGUCCUGCUUGGCACGAUCAAUCAGAAUAGACAACAUGCCAGCCACGAUGUUAAAUAACAUUGGAGACAUGGAGUCACCCUGUUGUAGUCCUUUUUUUGUUUGAAAGUAAUGGCAUAUGUCAUCAUUGACUUUGAUAGCCACACUACCUCCAGUAACAAAAUUUUGGAUCCACUGGCGCCAUUUAUUGGAGAAUCCUUUCAUUCUUAGGGCCCAUUGAAGGAACGACCAUUUGACCUUAUCAUAGGCCUUUUCAAAAUCAAUCUUGAACACAACUGCCCUCAUGUGUUUACAGUGCAUCUCGUGAACGGUCUCAUGUAGGAUUACUACUCCAUCGAGUAUAUUUCUACCUUGCAUGAAAGCCGUUUGAGAUGGCCGGACGACAUGGUCAGCAACCGUGUUGAGCCUAUUAGUAGCCACUUUGGUGAAAAUCUUGUUGGAAAUAUGCCCUAGAGGCAAUAAUAAAAUGGUUCUUAUUAUAUUUCCUUGUUCAUGAUAAUUGUCUAUUGUUCAUGCUAUAAUUGUAUUAACCAGAAACCGUAAUACAUGUGUGAAUACAUAGACCACAACAUGUCCCUAGUGAGCCUCUAGUUGACUAGCUCGUUGAUCAAUAGAUGGUUAUGGUUUUCUGACCAUGGACAUUGGAUGUCAUUGAUAACGCGAUCACAUCAUUAGGAGAAUGAUGUGAUGGACAAGACCCAAUCCUAAGCAUAGCACAAUAUCGUGUAGUUCGUUUGCUAGAGCUUUUCUAAUGUCAAGUAUCUUUCCUUAGACCAUGAGAUUGUGCAACUCCUGGAUACCGUAGGAAUUCUUUGGGUGUAUCAAACAUCACAAUGUAACUGGGUGGCCAUAAAGGUGCACUACAGGUAUCUGCAAAAGUGUCUGUUGGGUUGGCACGAAUCAAGACUGGGAUUUGUCACUCCGUAUGACGGAGAGGUAUCUUUGGGCCCACUCGGUAAUGCAUCAUCAUAAUGAGCUCAAUGUGACUAAGGAGUUAGCCAUGGGAUCAUGCGUUACGGAACGAGUAAAGAGACUUGCCGGUAAUGAGAUUGAACGAGGUAUAGGGAUACCGAUGAUCGAAUCUCAAGCAAGUAACAUACUAAUGGAUAAAGGGAAUUGUAUACGAGAUUAAUUGGAUCCCCGACAUCGUGGUUCAUCCGAUGAGAUCAUCGUGGAACAUGUGGGAGCCAAUAUGGGUAUCCAGAUCCCGCUAUCGGUUACUGGCUAGAGAGGCAUCUCAGUUAUGUCUGCAUGGUUCCCGAACUCGUAGGGUCUACACACUAAAGGUUCGAUGACGCUAGACAGGGCCGGUCCUGAGAUUUGGGGGGCCCGGGGCGAAAAUAACAUUCGGGGCCCCUUAAUAAUAUCAUCAUAACAAUAAUAAUUAAUUUAAUUCUACACAAAAUAUUACCAAUAGAAUACUUAACUACAUCCAAAAUCCAUAUUUAUAUAAUAACUUAUACACAUUAUUAUCUUAAAUUUUUCUUGUAACAUUCUUUGAUGCAAAGUCGCUUAUGCUUGUGACAAUGUCAAUCUCAUCCAUCUUUCUGAUGCAUGAUGUUGCCUAACCAUUUAAGCUCUAUUGGGCCAUUGUUUAUGCCAAAUGGUCCUUCAAUAAUUUCAAGUUUGAAAAGCUUCUUUUAGCUGAUGCAAAAAUCACAUGCACAAUAAAUCUGAAUAAAUCUUUACACACCAUGAGUUUUUUAAACCCUUUCUUCAAUGAAGUGAUUCAUAUCAACCAAAACAAACAAAUACUUAACAUGAAAAAUCUUUCUCACCUUCUAGAAUUUCUUCUUGGUCAACUACUUUUAUCAAACUGUUUAUUCCCUCAUAGCACUAAAGUUUGCUUGAAAUUGUCGGGAAUAGUAAUUUAUACCUCAGAUUGAUUGGAUCGGGGCAAUGGUGUGAUGUGGAUGUAUAGUGGCAGGUGCUCGGCUAUGCACACGUGCGCCAACUCCAUCGGUGUCAAUUUUUAGGAGCCAGGCGAUGUCCAUGCUGCGUCUUCGCUGUGUACAGCACCUUCAGACCGGCCAGCCCUCUGCGACUUGGGAUCUGAUGUUUGGAACAAGGGAACAGAGAAUAGGAAAUUUGGGAUGAAGAACAGACAAUGUUUCACGAUCGUAAGGAAUAAGGAAAGAGAACGGUACUGUCAAAAAGAAAAAAAGGAAAGAGAACGGGGACGACGUGAUUUACGUGCAUACGCUGAUUUUUUUCCCUCGCGAUGUGAUUUACAUGAUUUACGUGCGUACACUAUUACCUGCCAUCCCUUGCUAGGCUUAUUCUUUUUUUCAACCAGAAGCUAUGGGCUACUGUAUCUUUAUACGUACAUCACACGUGGAAGGGGGCCCUUGGAUCUUGGGGGCCCGGGGCGGCCGCCCCCCCUACCCCCCCUCAGGGUCGGCCCUGACGCUAGAGUUGUAAUGGGAAUUGUAUGUGGUUACCAAAAGUUGUUCGGAGUCUCGGAUGAUAUCCCGGACAUCACGAGGAGUUCCGGAAUGGUCCGUAGGUAAAGAUUUAUAUAUGGGAAGUCCUAUUUUGGCCACCGGAAAAUGUUCGGGAUUUUCCGGUAUUGUACCGGGAAGGUUCUAGAAGGUUUCGGAGUGGGGCCCACCUGCAUGGGGGGACCCACAUGAACGUGGGUAGUGGGGCAAGGCCCCACACUCCUGGUUAAGGCGCACCAAGAUCCCCCCUUAGAAGGAAUAAGAUCAUAUCCCGAAGGGAUAAAAUCAAGAUCCCUAAAAAAGGGGAUAACAAUCGGUGGGGAAGGGAAAGGAUGGGAUUUCAUUCCCACCUUUGCCAACGCUCCAAUGGACUUGGAGGGCAAGAAAUCAGCCCCUCCACCCCUAUAUAUAGUGGGGAGGCGCCUUGCCCCUGGCACAACCCCCCCUCCAACUCCUCCUCCUCUGUUGAGUGUAGCGAAGCUCUGCCGGAGAACCACGAGCUCCACCACCACACCGUCGCGCUGCCGGAGUCCUCCCUCAACUUCUCCUCUACCCUUACUGGAUCAAGAAGGAGGAGACAUCCCCGGGCUGUACGUGUGUUGAACGCUGAGGCGCCGUCCAUUUGGCGCUUGGAUCGGAUCUUCCAUGAUUUGAAUCACCAUGAGUACGACUCCAUCAACCGUGUUCUUGUAACGCUUCUGCUUAGCGAUCUUCAAGGGUAUUAAGAUGCACUCCCUCUCUCUCGUUUCUAGCAUCUUCUAGAUUGAUCUUGGUGACACGUAGAAUUUUUUUAAUUAUUACUAUGUUCCCCAACAGUGGUAUCAGAGCCAGGUUUAUGCGUAGAUUCUAUGCACGAGUAGAACACAAGUAGUUGUGGGCAAUGAUUUGUUCAAUUUGCUUACCGUUACUAGUCUUAUCUUGAUUCGGUGGCAUUCUGGGAUGAAGCAGCCCGGACCGACCUUACACGUACGCUUACAUGAGACAGGUUCCACCGACUGACAUGCACUUUUUGCAUAAGGUGGCUAGUGGGUGUCUAUCUCUCCCACUUUAGUCAGAUCGGAUUCGAUGAAGAGGGUCAUGAUGAAGGGUAAAUAGCAAUUGGCAUAUCACUGUUGUGGCUUUUGCAUAGAUAAGAAACGUUCUUGCUAGAAACCCAUAGGAGCCACGUAAAACAUGCAACAACAAUUAGAGGACAUCUAACUUGUUUUUGCAGGGUAUGCUAUGUGUUGUGAUAUGGCCAAAAGGAUGUGACGAAUUAUAUAUGUGGUGUAUGAGAUUGAUCAUGUUCUUGUAAUAGGAAUCACGACUUGCAUGUCGAUGAGUAUAACAAUCGGCAGGAGCCAUAGGAGUUGUCUUAAUUUAUUGUAUGACCUGUGAGUCAAUAUAAGCGCCAUGUAAUUACUUUACUUUAUUGCUAACCGUUAGCCAUAGUAGUAGAAGUAAUAGCUGGCGAGACAACUUCAUGAAGACACGAUGAUGGAGAUCAUGGUGUCAUGCCGGUGAUGAUGGUGAUCAUGCAGCGCCUCGAAGAUGGAGAUCAAAAGUGCAAGAUGAUAUUGGCCAUAUCAUGUCACUUUAUGAUUUGCAUGUGAUGUUUGUCAUGUUUACAUCUUAUCUGCUUAGAACGACGAUAGCAUAAAUAAGAUGAUCCCUCACUAAAAUUUCAAGAAAUGUGAUCCCCCUAACUGUGCACCGUUGCGAAGGUUCAUUGUUUCAAAGCACCAUGUGAAGAUCGAGUGUGAUAGAUUCUAAGGUUCACAUACAACGGGUGUAAGCCAGAUUUACACAUGCGAAACACUUAGGGACUUGAUGAGCCUACCAUGUACAGACAUGGCCUCGGAACACGAGAGACCAAAAGGUCGAACAUGAGUCGUAUGGUAGAUGCGAUCAACAUGGAGAUGUUCACCAUUGAUGACUAGUCCGUCUCACAUGAUGAUCGGACACGGCUUAGUCGAUUCGGAUCAUGUAUCACUUAGAUGACUAGAGGGGUGUCUAACUGAGUGGGAGUUCAUUAAAUAAUUUGAUAGUUGAACUCAUUAUCAUGAACAUAGUCUAAAUUGUCCUUGCAAAUUAUGUUGUAGAUAAAUAGCUCGUGAUUUAGAUCCCUGUUUUAAUACGUUCCUAGAGAGAGACUAAGUUGAAAGAUAUUGUGAGCAAUUGUGCGGACUAGGGCCGUAGUCUCAGGAUUGUCCUCACUGCUACACAGAAGGCUUCUGUCCUUGAUGCACCGCUCCGUGUGCCAACCCCUCUAGCGGCGUCUGUGGAUGUUGUGAAUAUAUGGCAGACACGUUCUGAUGACUACUUGAUAGUUUAUUGCGCCAUGCUUUACGGCUUAGAAUUGGGGCUCCAAAGGCGCUUUUGAACGCCAUGGAACAUAUGAGAUGUUCCAAGUGCUGAAAUUGGUAUUUCAGGCCCAUGCCCGUGUUGAGAGGUUUGAGACCUCUGACAAGAUCUUUGCCUACAAGAUGGAGGAGAAUAGCUCAGCCAGUGAGCAUGUGCUCAGAAUGUCUGGGUACUUCAAUCGCUUGAAUCAAGUGGGAGUUAAUCUUCCAGAUAAGUUAGUGAUUGACAAAGUUCUCCAGUCACUAUCACUAAGCUACUAGAGCUUCGUGAUGAACUAUAACAUGCAAGGGAAGAUGAUCCCGGAGCUGUUCGUCAUGCUUAAGGCUGUGAAGGAAGGUAGAAAUCAAGAAGGAGCAUCAAGUGUUGAUGGUAACAACACCACUCAUUUCAAGAAGGGCAAGGGUAAGAAGGGAAACUUCAUGAAUGGGAAGCCAGUUGCCGCUCCAGUGAAGAACCCCAAGAACCCAAACCCGAGACGAAGUGCUUCUAUUAGGGGAACGGCCAUUGGUAGCGGAGCUGCCUCAAAUACUUGGUAGAUAAGAAGGCUGGCAAUUUCAACAAAAGUAUAUUUGAUAUAUGUGUUAUUGAUGUGUACCUUACUAGUACUCCUAGUAGCACUUGUGUAUUAGAUACCGGUUCAGUUGCUAAUAUUGGUAACUCAAAACAAAAGCUACGAAAUAGACGGAGACUAGCUAAGGGCGAGGUGACGAUGUGUGUUGGAAGUGUUUCCAAGGUUGAUGUGAUCACCAUCGCACGCUCCCUCUACCUUCGGGAUUAGUGUUGAACCUAGAUACAUGUUGUUUGCAUUGGUGUCUGUGCUGAGCAUGAAUAUGAUUAGAUCAUGUUUAUUGCAAUACAGUUAUUCAUUUAAGUCAGAGAAUAAUGGUUAUUCUGUUUGCAUGAAUAACACCUUCUAUGGUCAUGCACCCAAUGUGAAUGGUUUAUUGAAUCUCGAUCGUAGUGAUACACAUGUUCAUAACAUUGAUGCCAAAAGAUGUAGAGUUGAUAAUGAUAGUACCACUUUCUUGUGGCACUGCCAUUUAGGUCAUAUUGGUGUAAAGCGCAUGAAGAACCUCCAUGCCGAUGGACUUUUUAAGUCACUUGAUUUUGAAUCACUUGACACAUGCGAACCAUGCCUCGUUGGCAAGAUGACUAAACCCCCAUUUUUGGAACAAUAGAACAGGCAAGUGACUCAUUGGAAAUCAUACAUGCUGAUGUGUGCGGUCCGAUGAGUGUUGACGCGUGCGGUGGAUAUCAUUAUUUUCUCACCUUCACUGAUGAAUUGAGUAGAUAUGGUCAUGUUUACUUAAUGAAGCAUAAGUCUGAAACGUUUCAAAAGUUCAAGCAAUUUCAGAGUGAAGUUGAGAAUCAUCAUAACAAGAAGAUCAAGUUCCUACGAUAUGAUCAAGGGGAGAGUAUCUGAGUUAUGAGUUUGGCAAUCACUUAAGACAAGGUGGAAUCGUUUCACAGUUGACGCCACCUGGAACACCAUAGUGUAAUGGUGUGUCCGAACAUCGUAAUCGCACUCUAUUGGAUAUGGUGCGAUCUAUGAUGUCUCUUAUCGAUCUACCGCUAUUGUUUUGGGGUUAUGUAUUAGAGACAACUAUAUUCACUUUAAAUAGGGCACCAUCUAAGUCCGUGGAGACGACACCGUAUGAACUAUGGUUUGGCAAGAAACCUAAGUUGUUGUUUCUUAAGGUUUGGGGCUGCGAUGCUUAUGUUGAUAGGCUUCAGCCAGAAAAGCCCGAACCCAAAGCAGACAACUGUGUCUUCAUAGAAUACCCAGAGAAGACGAUUGGGUAUACCUUCUAUCUCAGAUCUAAGGGCAAAGUGUUUGUCGCUAAGAACAGGUCCUUUCUCGAGAAAGAGUUUCUCUCAAAAGAAUUGAGUGGAAGGAAGAUAAAACUUGAUGAGGUUGUUGAACCUUUACUUCAACCAGAGAGUAGCGCAGCACAGAAAGAUGUUUAUGUGGCACCUACGUCAGUUGAAUAGAAAGCUAAUGAUGAUGAUCAUGAAGCUUCAGAACAAGUUACUAUCGAACCUCGUAGGUCGACAAGGGUGCGUACUACUUCUGAGUGGUAACCAUGUCUUAAAAGUCAUGUUGUUGGACAACGAUGGACCUACGAGCUAUGGAGAAGCGAUGGUGGGCCCAGAUUCCAACAAAUGGCUAGGAGCCAUGAAAUCCGAGAUAGGAUCCAUGUAUGAGAACAAAGUAUGGACUUUGGUGGACUUGCACGAUGAUCGGCAAGCCAUUGAGAAUAAAUGGAUCUUUAAGAAGAAGACAAACGCUGAUGGUAAUGUCACCAUUUAUGAAGUUCGACUUGUCUCAAAGAAGUUUCCGACAAGUUCAAGGAGUUGACUGUGAUGAGACUCUCUCAAUCAUAGCGAAGCUGAAGUCUAUUAGAAUUAUGUUAGAAGUUGCUGCAUUUUCAUUUACAAAAUCUGGCAGAUGGAUGUCAAAACAAAGUUUCCUUGACAAUUUUCGUGAGGAAAGGCUGUAUGUGAUACAACCAGAAGGUUUUGUCGAUCCUAAGGAUGCUAAAAGGUAUGGAAGCUCUAGCGAUCCUUCUAUGGACUUGAUCAAGCAUCUUGGAGUUGGAACAUAUACUUUGAUGAGGUAAUCAAAGCUUUUGGGUUUAUACAAAGUUUGCAAGAAACUUGUAUUUACAAGAAAGUGAGUGGGAGCACUACAACAUUUCUGAUAAGUACAUUUGGAUGACAUAUUGUUGAUCGGAAAUGAUGUAGAAUUUCUGUAAAGCAUGAAGGGUUGUUUGAAUGGAGUUUUCCAAAGGAAGACCUAGGUAAAACUGCUUACAUAUUGGGUAUCAAGAUCUAUAGAGAUAGGUCAAGACGCCUGAUAAGACUUCCACAGAGCACAUACCUUGACAUGAUUUUGAAGGAAUUUAAAAUGGACUAGUCAAAGAAGGAGUUCUUGCUUGAGUUGUAAGGUGUGAAGUUAAGACUUAAAGCUCGACCACGGCAGAAGAAAGAGAAAGGACGAAGGUCGUCCCCUAUGCCUUAGCCAUAGGCUCUAUAUGAUAUGACAUGCUGUGUACCACACCUGAUAUGUGCCUUGCCACGUGUCUGGAAAGGGGGUACAAGAGUGAUCCAGGAGUGGAUCAUUGGACAACGGUCAAAAUUGUCCUUAGAGGAAUAAGGAAAUGUUUCUCGGUUAUGGAGGUGAUAAAGAGUUCGGCGUAAAGCGUUACGUCGAUGCAAGCGUUAACACCUAUCCGGAUGACUCUGAGUAGCAAACCAGAUACGUAUAGUGGAGCAACCAUUUGGGAUUGCUCCAAGUGGAGCAUGGAAGCAGCAUCUACAAUAUGACCUAGAGAUUUGCGAACUACAUACGGAUCUGAAUGUCGUAGACCCGUUGACAAAACCUCUUCCACGAGCAAAACAUGAUCAGCACCAGAACAAUAUGGGUGUUUGAUUCAUCACAAUGUAACUAGAUUAUUGACUCUAGUGCAAGUGGGAGACUAUUGGAAAUAUGCCCUAGAGGCAAUAACAAAAUGGUUAUUAUUAUAUUUCCUUGUUCAUGAUAAUUGUCUAUUGUUCAUGCUAUAAUUGUAUUAAUCGAAAACCAUAAUACAUGUGUGAAUACAUAGACCACAACAUGUCCGAAGUGAGCCUCUAGUUGACUAGCCCAUUGAUCAAUAGAUGGUUAUGGUUUUCUGACCAUGGACAUUGGAUGACAUUGAUAAUGAGAUCACAUCAUUAGGAGAAUGAUGUGAUGGACAAGACCCAAUCCUAAGCAUAGCACAAGAUCGUGUAGUUCGUUUGCUAGAGCUUUUCUAAUGUCAAGUAUCUUUCCUUAGACUAUGAGAUUGUGCAACUCCCAGAUACCGUAGGAAUGCUUUGGGUGUAUCAAACGUCACAACAUAACUGGGUGACCAUAAAGGUGCAGUACAGGUAUCUCCGAAAGUGUCUGUUGGGUUGGCACGAAUCAAGACUGGGAUUUGUCACUCCGUAUGAUGGAGAGGUAUCUUUGGGCCCACUCGGUAAUGCAUCAUCAUAAUGAGAUCAAUGUGACUAAGGAGUUAGCCAUGGAAUUGUGCAUUACAGAAUGAGUAAAGAGACUUGCCGGUAACGAGAUUGAAUGAGGUAUAGGGAUACCGACGAUCGAAUCUCGGGCAAGUAACAUACCCAUGGACAAAGGGAAUUGUAUACGGGAUUGAUUGAAUCCUCGACAUCAUGGUUCAUCCGAUGAGAUCAUCGUGGAACAUGUGGGAGCCGAUAUGGGUAUCUAGAUCCCUCUAUUGGUUAUUGGCCGGAGAGGCAUCUCUGUCAUGUCUGCAUGGUUCCCGAACCCGUAGGGUCUACACACUUAAGGUUCGGUCGCGCUAGAGUUGUAAUGGGAAUUGUAUGUGGUUACUAAAAGUUGUUCGGAGUCUCGGAUGAGAUCCCGGACGCCACGAGGAGUUCCAGAAUGGUCCGGAGGUAAAGAUUUAUACAUGGGAAGUCCUAUUUUGGCCACUGGAAAAUGUUGGGAUUUUUCGGUAUUUUACCAGGAAGGUUCUAGAAGGUUUCGGAGUGGGGCCCACCUGCAUGAGGGGACCCACAUGAACGUGGGUAGUGAGGCAAGGCCCCACACCCCUCGUUAAGGCGCACCAAGAUCCCCCCUUAGAAGGAAUAAGAUUAUAUCCCAAAGGGAUAAAACCAAGAUCCCUAAAAAGGGGGAUAACAAUCGGUGGGGAAGGGAAAGGAUGGGAUUUCUUUACUCCCACCUUUGCCAACGCCCCAAUGGACUUGGAGGGCAAGAAACCAGCCCCUCCAUCCCUAUAUAUAGUGGGGAGGCGCAUGGGAGUUGGACGCCUUGCCCCUGGCGCAACCCUCCCCCUCCAACUCCUCCUCCUCCGUUGAGCAUAGCGAAGCUCUGCCGGAGAACCACGAGCUCGACCACCAUGUCGUCGUGCUGCCGAAGUUCUCCCUCAACUUCUUCUCUCCCCUUGUUGGAUCAAGAAUGAGGAGACGUCCCCGGGUUGUACGUGUGUUGAACGCGAAGGCGUCGCCCGUUCGGCGCUUGGAUAGGAUCUUCCGUGAUUUGAAUCGCCGCGAGUACGACUCCAUCAACCGCAUUCUUGUAAUGCUUCCGCUUAGCAAUCUUCAAGGGUAUGAAGAUGCACUCCCUCUCUCUCAUUGCUAGCAUCUCCUAGAUUGAUCUUUGUGACACAUAGGAAAAUUUUGAAUUAUUACUACGUUCCCCAACAAAUCUUGAAGCUGACAUUAAGGAGACAUAUAGGUCUGUAUUGUUGGAUUCGCUCAGCCUCCUUAAUUUUUGGCAAUAAAACAAUCUCGUCAAAGUUAAGUCGAAAUAGAUCAAGUUGGCCGGCAUGAAGACAAUUUAACAACUCCAAUAGAUCAGUCUUGAUGAUAUCCCAGAAAUUCUGAUAGGAUUCAGCAGGGAAGCCAUCAGGGCCUGGAGCUUUGUUAUGUUCCAUUUGAAACACCGCCGCUCUCACCUCCUCCUUAGAGAAAUGUGACAUGAGGAUAUCGUUCUCUUCUGUUGUGACUUGUGGAAUAUCAUCUGUUUGUGUCUUGUCAAGGGUGAAGUUCCCUUCAUCAGGUACCCCAAACAAAGAUUUGUACUAUUUGGAGAUAUAACUUUUGAGCUCUGCCUGAUCUUCGAUCCGCCCCUCAUCUUGUUGGAGAAUGAAUAUACACUUCUUCCUAUGCCGACCAUUGGCGACAAGUUUGAAGUAUCAUGUAUUACUGUCUCCCUUCAAGAUGAAGUCGGCUUUGGAUCUUUGGUAAUAUUUGUUUUCCUCUUCUCGCGAAAGACGAGCAAUCUUCUCAUUGGAUUGAUUUUUCAAUUCAACUCUUGUUACAAGAUGCGAGUUUCUGCGAGAUUCUGAUGUCCAAUCUUAGAAAUCAAAUGAAAAUGGAGGCACUUGUAAUACAUAUGUACAAGUUUUUGUUUGGAGUUACAUAGAUUGAAACUUACUUUGAGUUGAAUGUAUUAGUGAAUUCAGUUGUAUGAACCGAUCAAAAUAGGAAUAUAUUGUAUUUAUUCAUUAUAGUUGAUAAGUAUGAAAUGUUCCGUGUGAGAAUAGAUAAACAAUGUAGCAAAAAUAAUGUAUUAAUUAUAGUACCGGGCAUUGAUUAUAUAAUUGUAAGUUCUGGGAUGUACUUGAACAUAAAGAGCCCUAUGUUAUCUUCAAAAUUGUCUUGUAUUAUAUAUAUUUGAUAUAUAAGUUUUAAAUGUUAUUUAAUAUGAUAAGUUUAGUUUUGGGGUUUUAUUUAUUGAUAAAGUUUGAUUUGAGUGAUAUAGACAUAUUUGUUUGCUUUAUUCACUAAGUUUUGUUUGAGCCAUAGAAAGAUGACUUCUAGAUCAAGUUAUCCAGCAACUAUGUCAUCAAAAUAUACUAAAUAAUGAAGAUAUUAUUUCACCAAAGAAGAUGAUUCAUGCCUGAAAAUGAGGAUGAAAACCACUUGUGAGUCCAGCUCAGUCUGCAAGGUCAUUCUGGCACCUAAGUUGGAUUAUCUGCCGACCCCCACUGACUUCAGCAAGCACAUGACAAUAGUACUACAUGAAAUCGUUCUUCGGAUAAGCACCGACUGCAACUAGAGGGUCACAGUCCGGGUGGUCAAUAGUAGGCCCGCCCUUGCUUCUUCGUACCUCACCAGUUUCAUGUCGAGUACCUCGUCAUCUUCAAGGUGUUCACUCCUGACAAAUUCAAGGUCAACAUCUUCAACCUCUCUGGCACUGAGGUGGUGACCAAGUGUAAGGAGCACGAUGAAGCAUUUGCAUAGAAGCAUUAGUGUGUUUUCUUUAGUAGUGUAUGUUGGUAUAAGACUCUAUGUGGUUAAUCCUUAGGGGCAUGUUUCUUUUAAGAGUGUUGUUAUGCGGUCGUUAAUGUACUGACUAAUGCUUGUUCAAAUUGCUAUGUUGUGUCUAUGAAUAUGUGUGUUGGUAACCUCACCACUCGAAAAAGCGAUGUCUGCUAUGUAACCAAAAACAGUUAUUUGCAUCUGGUUAGCACAGGCUUGCAACCAAACACAUGUUUGUCUCUGUGCUUCUGCUCAGCCAGGCUGGGGGUGGAGGAAUGCAUGCAACUAAACUAUGCGCAGAACAUGGUUUUCUGUUUAUAUUCACUCAGUCUGUCCCAUCAGACAAUAGAUGCGAGGAUGCCAAAAUUCAUGCAGGUAACCAAACAGAGAAUAAAUGUAUGAAGUAGCAGUACUGUUAUCAAGGCAGAAGAAGAUGAACAAGAGCAAUGAAGCAAAUGUACCGAGGAUUAAGAAGACAAACAAGAGAGGUCAAAUGUACCACAAGGUCAGGUGGAAGAACGAAGAAGAAUAGAAACAGGAAGGGGAGAUCGAAAGAACAUACAAGAAGUAGAUGUAUGAAUUAGCGGUACAAGAUAGAUAUGUAUAUCAUCUUGUACUUAUAGGAUUUUGCAGCCAGAUUCAGUCUGUAUUUAGUUCUCCAAUCGCGGACAAGGAGGUGCGCAUGUGGGCCAUUGUGUGUCCUGUGAUUUUCUCUUAUUUGGUAAAGUGAGAACGGGGCAUCGCUCCGUUGCCUGGCCGCUUAAGUUGGUAGCCAGUCAGCCCACGUUUGAGCCUCGACUGUAGUGCAUGGUGCUUGUGAAGUUUUCUUCUAUAAAAAAAAAGCCAACAAGGGUUAACCCUGGAUUGAUCUCAUUUUCUUUUAUUUCGUGGAGUGUUUGACGUGUGUGUAGAGAGAGAUUGGCAUGACAAAAGUGACCUUCUAAGCUUAAGCUCAUACGAUCUCGCUAUGGACUACUCCCUCCGUUCCUAAAUAGUUGUCUUUCUAGAGAUUUCAACAAGUGACUACAUACAGAGCAAAAUGAGCGAAUCUACACUCUAAAAUAUGUCUAUAUACAUUCGUAUGUAGUAGUCUAUUUGGAAUCUCUAAAAAGACAAGUAUUUAGGAACGGGGGGAGUAGUAAAAUCUGAAAAAUUGAAUCAAAUUCAAAAAAUUCUGAUUUUUUGUGGCAAAUAUUGACAACAUUGAAAACAUUUGUCAAUAUUUGCUAAAAAAUCAGAUUUUUUUAAAGAUUUAUCCGAGCUUACUUGAGCUCGAGCUCAGAUACUCCAUGUCCAGGGGCGAAAGUGCCCGAUUAAGCUAGUUGUUAUGGCUUAGAUGCUUUGAAACUGAUGGAGCAUGGCAGCACAUGUGGAUCCAGUAGGCGUUACUGACGCUGCAUUCAUUUAUCUAUGCCCAUCUUAGCUAGUAGCUGAGGUGGUUAAUAGUUACGCAGCAUGUUGUCGCCGCCUGCUCUGACUCCGUCACUCGCUCUCUACAGAUGGGCAUGGCAUGGUGAAACAGUCCCAGGCAUUCAAACCUCAGCGUGUCCGUCCUGCCCGCCCAUACAUUCUCUCCGUCCAUUUCACCUCUUUUCUCGUCUUGUACUCAACUUGUGUACCACUCAUGUUCAAAAAGAAGAAGAAAAAUGUGUACCACUCCAAAUAAGAGAACUAUGACCCAUGCCCAUGUGCCACCGGCCAGGAAAUGAAGCAAAUGCAUGCAUGCAGCAAGACGGAGCCCACAUUAACUGCAUGCGUUCUUGCACAAAAUAAAUCGUCUACUUUCCUAGUCUUGUUCCCCUCAAAACUUAGUUGUUGUUUCUCUUCAAAUACAGUAUGACAUAACCUAGGAGGAUCCUAGAUCGAGAUAGCCGACCAAGCAUUUGGCAGCGGAACAUCAAGUUUCUGCACAUCUUUUUCUCCAAGAAUCAGCACGGAAUAUACUACUCCGGCAGCAGGUCGCAGAAUCUCGCCCGACCUUAAAAAAACAUUUUUACUCGUCCCAUCUUCCUCACAUGGAGGCGCUAGGUCGGUCUGAUCGACGUAACCACAAGAUUAAUUUACCCAGCGACGGACAAAAAUUAGCGAACGUAUACAGGGGAAGGCAUCGUUGGCGUCCAGGCCUCGGGCCUCGUCUCCUCCGACGCCUUUCGUCCUCUCGCCCUAGCACAGGAGAAGUGCGUUUUUUUCUUUUUGAAACCAACCACUUUGGAUUGUUGUUCACAAGGAGUAGUGACAAAUCGGAUGUGGUAGCGGCGAGAAAACAUGAUGGGACAGAAAAAGAGUGUAACUAUCCACAAUUUUAAAACGCUACAAGUCUCCAUAUAGUAGCUCACAAACUGUAUAAGUAAAUCAACCGAUUCGCUGUGCUCAACUUUUGCACCACUGCUUUUUGUACGGCGGUUGCAAUGUGUUAGCGGGCACGAAACUGUGAAUAAUUCUCUCUAUCCCUUGAAGAAGGGCCUCAAAUAAGUUUCGUCCAGUACCCAGCAUACAUUUUUUAUUAAGGUUCUCGGUGUGCUUAAAAAGUUAAACCUCUUAUUUUCUGAACCCUCCAGAGACUAUGCGUGCUGAGCAUAUAGUAUAAAACUACCGACUACCUGGUUUAUUUUUUCAUGGAUAACUACCGCAUUUUUUUAAAAUAACCCAAAGGACCGGCUGAUUAAUUUUUUAUCCCGUUUUAUGAUAUCUCUGGUCCUCCCAUUUGGCCACGUGGCAGCAACUAUUGACCCCACUUGAUUGAACCGUUAAGUCUGACGAGGGCCCACCCUCCAAAUUCUUCUUCUCCCUUCUCUUUCUUCACUCGUCCAGUGCCACCUCACCCUGCAGUAUACCUGGUCAUGGAAAACCCUGCCCAGUCGGACUAACCCGACCCAGCCCGACCCAACCCGGCACGGUCUUGGCCACGGGCCAAGCAUGCACCUAAGUUUUGAGCCUGAAGGCCAAGGCGGGCCGAGCUUGGGCUUUGCAUAUGUGCGUUUUAAGGAAGAGUCCCCGUCGAGGCUCAACGGACUUUUCCACUGAUGGGUCGGUUUGAGCUUGAAAUCUAGGCUCGAAUGCCGGAUUGGGCUUGGGCCUGGGUUUUCUGCUGGGGGCUUUUUUAGGCCCGCCACGACUUAUGGCCAGGUAUACCCUGGAGCACUCCCUUUCUCCCUACCACGCACAGCCGUCGUGAGUAACGACAACACGAACAUGACCUCUAGGAUGUCGCCGAGCGCGGCCCGUUGCUCAGCGCUCCUGGGAUGCCAUGUCUUCUACCUGAUGACCUCAAUCAUGUCGCCUCGCCAACGGAUCUCCUCCCCUAGGGGAAAUAUCAGGUGCUCCCAUCCUUGGGGUGCUCCCCAUGCUCCAACUUAAAAAAAUUGUUCAGAAACCAAAUAAUCAUUAGAGAACAGCAAAUGAGACAUCCUCCUCCUGAUCACGGGCUCUUCUUCUACCAAAACCCCUUCGAAAGGGUGCAACACCGCUUCCUCUCACAGAUCCCCUACAAGAGCCACAGGCACCUCCUAGAUUUCUCCACUCAUCGGCAAGGAUGAACUCACCCAAUUUUAAUUUGGAAGCAUCAUAUUCUCCCAUUCCACACUCCUCACACCAUUACCCCAAAAUUCCAUAGUUAUUACAAAAGUUCGGCAAUUUUCCAUACUUUACUUGGUACCAAUCAUUCUUUCCCGCCUUCGUGAUCGAUACAGAUCUUUCUAGUUUUUUACAUCAAGAUUCACUUACACUCCAACAAAAACACCAACAUACCCUGCUCACAACUGAAUUUGAACCUCAAGAAUCUUUCCCAUCUUUGCACACAUACCUUUGAUCACCACAUCAUUUAAAUAGUUCUCCGACAACUUCAAGACUCUCGCCCACACUGCUAUCAUAUCCAAGGCAACCCAUUUAGGGUUUAUGAAUCAAUCGUAUUCCACCAAGAUAAGAGCUUGAUUUGUAAAUUGCCACAGUCCAUUGAACAUUGAUGUGUUCCAGUCGCCAAGACACCCAAACUGCAUCAUAAAAAGUUUUCUUCGAUCAAUCUCCGACGAACCUCCUUUGCCGGAUUCCAAGUCCAUCUCAUAUCCACAUAUAGCUUCGACGGACUAGAGCCUUUCUCCGUAUGGACCGUGUCUAUUGCUAGCCACUUUGAUUGAACAUCCGGCAGAUCCGACUCCUCUUCCCGUACGAAAUCAUCCCCGUCACCUUCAUGGAGAUCGAGGCUAUUGAGCAGCGCCUCCACAUCCUUACUAUCCUUCCUCUUCCUCCUUGAACCGCUAUCUUCUGUCGCCAUCCUACCUUCUGCAGACUUGCGAACCCUAAACCUUUUGUGUAACCCCUAACGAACCAAAGUCGGGAAGGAACGCUAGGUUGCGUUUAGAUCAACACGAGUUGGUGUAGGGAUUCCGCGGUGUGGAGGGUAGAUUGGUCGGAAGCAAAGAAACUCUUAACCUUCGCGCCGCUAGAGGGCUCCUAAACCCUAGCUCUUGGCUUAGGGGAAAACCCAUUUUUCGUAUGGAUCGUUUUUGGUACUCUUGCGUGAAAACAAGUAGUUUUAUGCUAUAUACUCAUUUGCGCUGCUACAAAUUUGAUGAGGCCCAACCGUGAUUCACACUCCUUCUUACGGGGUUCAGCAGUUACGAGUCAAUCAGGCCGAAAAACUAUGGAUUUUGAUAAAUAACGAACGUGCCCUGGGAGGACAUGUCAAACAAAUGUAUUUUAUGACAUUUUGAGUUGUCAUGAGGACAACAUUUUUGUAGGAAGCAUGACAAAUUCGUCUAGCCCAAUUUCUCUCAGAAUUUACCGUGCUUACUAAAAAAAAUGCCAUCCUCACAACAACCUGCCAUAAAACGCGUGUCUAGUCAUGCCCUUCGAGAAAAACUUCAGCACAAUAACAUUUCCCAUAACAUACAUGCACGGGGGCAUUCCGUAUGCAGCUGGUACAAGAGUCGUACACAACAAAAACAGAGACGAAGGAAUUAGGUAUAAUGCCGCGAUGGAUACCAUUUGGGAAAACAAGGUGCACCUUUCUUCGCCUCUCGGCCGCGGCCCGCGACGGGACGGAGAUUCCCAUGCUCCAUCGUCGACGGCCGCGAUUUUUCCUCGGCCGCUUCUCGUGACUGACCGGGACUCUUCACUGCAGCCCGUUCCUAUGUUUACCCCUAUUUCCCGGAACUACCCUCUCAGCCGCGCACGGUGUAUCCGUGCAUGCAAUUUGCUCCCGCAACCGGACCACCUGUCGCCUCUUGAUGGUGUCCCGCCCGCAUUGAUCACAGAAUGACACGAGGGUAGGACGGUCAUUUCACCUAGUACUCAUAGUUAGGAAUUAAUUAAUAGGUUAAUUAAUUGUUAAUCUAUGCUAAUGUCGGUGGCCAUGUUUGGCAACCGUCUCCUUUGUAACCGCCUUGUAACGAGGGUAUAAAUACCCCAAUGUUCAAUCAAUGAAAGAACUGUUCCACCAUUUGCUCCUCUCUCUCGUUUCUCUCUAAACACGUUAUCACGCACGCCUCUUCCAGAGAGCAAUUAGGCCAAGAACUCGACGGCACCACCGUCCCUGACCAUCGGCCUGAUACACGGCUGUGGCGGCGACUCCCUCCGGCCCCAAGGACACAAGGACCCUCGGCCUCGACAGCGCUCCAGCGGCGCAGCACCAGCGCGCGAUGCAGGCGGCUGAGGCACCCCAUGGUUGACGACGCCCUCCUCUGUAGGCGCUUCGAAGCGGCGCCCUCCGGCGCUUCAAUCCGCCACAUGACUGCCGACGACAGCGGCGGCAAACGGCAAGGCCUCUCUAUGGCCAGAGGAGGCCACUCCGGCGAUCUGCAAUUGCCGCAGAUGAUGACUAGACAAGUCUGGAGAAGUUGGCUACUAGAGUUUCGGCCACCACGCGAUUCACGGUGGAGACGAGAUGUUCCUCGUACAAAAAGGAAAGAAACUAAUCAGGAGAUUGAUUGAUUGAUCUUGUCUUCUUGCAAUCAUCAAUUAAUAAUCUAACAAUGAAUUGUUUUUCUCCUGUAUGUAUAUGCGCUCACACGAAUCUCACGAAGAAUUGAUCAAUCGUGAACUACAAAGAAAGAAGAACUGAUGGAAGAACGCAGCGCCAGCCUCCAUCGAUUCAACAAUUGGAAGCCUCGAACACACUCUGCCAAAGGACAGAAAAUCAAUCAAUUGAGCGGAUUUAUCAUACUCCAAGCAGGAACAUCAGAACUUGAAAUUGGGCACAAUUUUCAAUUACACAAGGAAGACACACAGAAAAGGAUAUGGGCGUUGGCAUCCAGGAUCACUCGAUCGAAAAUCCAUACCAAUAACUGUAAGCAUCCAUGUGAUUUCUUCAAUUUGUGAUGUUCUUGCCUCUUAAAUGAGAUCGGCCGCGGAUCAGCGGACUCGAUUCCGGACGGAGGAAGGUCUAAGCGGCGGCCGCCUGUCCACUCUCCUCCUCCCUUUUCCCCCUGGAUGCGGAUGGUUGAGGCUACACCGCGGCCUCCAUCGGCACGGCCGUCUACAGCGGCGACGACCACAUCCCGGCAGCAACGCUCCUCCCUCCGGAGGAGCACCACGGCCCGCCACGCAGCCCGGCAACAGAGACGGCCAACGUGCAUGCGGAGCGCAGUUCUCUCCGCCACACCUUGGCACGGCGGCGGCCUUCGGCUCCGACGCCGCUUCUCCUGAUGCGGCGCGAUGGCGCGGCGGCCGGCGGUGGCGGCGGCCAACAUCCGUCCCACGGCGUGGAGAUGCUGCCCAGGCGCGGACGACCUUAGAUUGGCGACGCCAUCUUACCUCCUAAUUCCUCACGAGGAGAUGUGCUAUGACUCUGUACAGCCAAAGCUAACUCAAUCGAUGGAUUCUUGGCCGUAGCGAGAAUCACCGGAGAACCUUAUCUCUUCGGCCAUUUAACAAUUUGCAUUUUUUUUCUAUUGCCAAAUAAGGACAUCAGCUUUAGUACUACUUGCAUAGAAGCCCUCAGGCUAAUUGUGAUCGUAUCACUCAGACCCUCUGGUCUUGUCAUAUUGUGCAUCAUAUUUUAAAAAAUGAAUUCCACAUGUAUUAUGAGCAUAGUAGUAUUGUUCAAGUGUUCAUACCUUGAAUUUCCAUUAUAUAUUAGAGACGACAUUGUGCCAUAUUAUACAUGUUUGCCUCAACAUUCAUUGUAAAUAUUAAUUUUAGAACAACAUUUUUCUGUCUUUUGCAAUUGGAAUUAAUUUUUCUUGCAAAUCUUAACAAAAUCCAAAAUAAGGAUUUUGAAGUGUCAUACUUAAUAUGACCACAUCAUAUUUUAUUUGUGAAUCACAAGGUAUUGAUGGCAUCUACUGCAUAAUUUGCAGAUUAUCUAUCACUACUGUGAGGUCUACAUCUUGUUAUUUUGAUAAGAUGACUACCUUCAAGUGUUCUUCCAAAUAUUAAUGUGACUAUUCCAAAUUUAAUUUGUGAAUCACAAGGUAUUGGUGGUAUCUACUGCACCAUUUGCAGAUUAUCAACCACUAUUGUGAGGUCUACAUCUUGUCAUUUUAACAAGAUUAUUACCUUCAAAGUGUUGUUCCAAAUAUUAAUAUUAUAUGUGACUACCUCAAGAUAUCAUAAGGUAAUACUGGCAUCUACUGCAAAUUUUGCAGACUAUCCAUUAUUACUGCAAGGUCUACAUCAUGUCACUUUGACAGAUGAUUACCUUCAAAGUGAUUUCACACAUUUUACAUAACAUAAGGUAAUAGAAUUAUGAACAUCUACUGACAAAAGUCAGACUAUGUUUCCUAUUACUGCGAGAUCUACACCGCAUCCGGUGAUUAUCUUCAAAGUGUUAUCCUAUAUAAAUUGAGGUCUACACAUAUGAGUGUAGAGCAUCAGCUAUCAUAAAAUUUGCUCCUCUGAAGCAAUUAUUGUUGUUCACUAAAAUUAUUUACUCUCCUAAUAAAAAAAUUAUAUUGAUCUUACAUGAUUAAAAUGGCAUUUUUUUUCUUCUAGUACCAAUUAUUUAAGCAUCAUUUUGCUUGAAUAAGUCGUGGAAAAUUACACAAAUAUUACUUUUUGUGAUGAUAUUGUCGUCCAUACAUAAAGGUGGAGACCAUAAUUUAUAGCAAAGAUCGAGUGUCUCAAACACUAUUACAAGAUCUACAUCACAUUUUUGGUUGGUAUUUUAUACUGACUAACCCCAUGUUCAAAAAAAUGUCAUGGCUAUUCUCUUGAUAGCUAAAUAUGUACAUAUUUCAUUUUACAUCUCGCAAACUUCACUCAGUUCUCAAACUAAGUACAUAAUGGAUGGAUAUUUAUUCAUCUCGAAUAUUUCCCUUAAGAGAAACAUGUUGUCAUGAGUACAUCACGAAUGAUCACCCAUUCGUUUUUCAAGACCUCAAGUCUAUCGCAUCUCACAAUUAUGUCAUGUAAUCAACUUCAAGUUGAGAUCCCAUGAUCAUAUAUUUUCAUAUGUAAUCCGGUUGAAAAUCCCUUAAUACCCUUUACAUCCUCAUAUGAUGGUAUUAUCAUUUUUCCACGAUGGAGAAACAUGGAAUUUCUUAAAAUCAUCAGAUUUACCCAACGGGUGCUAUACCAUUAUUUGAAAUUCUUGCUUGUACCGAGAAUACUAUGCAACUUAGUGGUCACAAAAUAGAACAAUGAGGAAUACGAAGUAAAGUGGAGGCUAAUAGACAACCAAAGACAAAAUUACCUCUUAAUAGGGAAUAUAUCGUCUUCAAAGGAUCACAAAGACAACUUUCAAGUUUGUCAAAUGUGUGGUUAUACAAAGAUUAUACCUAUGAUUACCAAACCCUCAAAUACAUAGUCAAACCACACCACAUAUUUGGGAUAAAUUUUAAAAUUUGCAAACUUACAACCAGAAAAUAUUUUGGUAAAUGAUCGUUCUCAAAUCUUCAUCAGAAGGUGAGAACCAAAAAUCUAGUGCAAUAAAAGGAUGGUGAAUUCCAUUGCGACGAUGAUAUGUUUGCGUAAUAAAUUUUUCAAUAAUAUUGGAGACCUCAUGUAAUCUUUUAAUUAUCCCAAAAUAUUAUUAACCUAUACUUGUUGUACUACAAGUAGUGCGAUGUUCAAUAUCUUAUUUCUUGGACAUCAUAUUCGAUAAAUUUUGAAUGUAUGAAUCAAGUCAUACUCAAUAUUGUUGCGUACACAAUAAUUUUAUAGAUAUUAAUAAAUUAAAUAUUUGGCUUGGUAGCCUUAACCAUCCUGUUUUGGGGAUGAUUAGAAAAUUAUUGACAAUCUUGUUGGUCAUAACUUAUCAAGUUAUAAAAUUUUCCCAAAUCAUCAGAUUUUAUGUGCACCGCAUGUGACAUAGGGGAAAUAAGUUUUAAGGCACUCUCACCUUAAAAUUCUAAGGAGGACACUUAUUCUCCCUUGAACACAUUCAAAAAAAAUGUCUGGAUUGCUUAACCAUUAUCUGGGGUAAUUUAGAUACUUCAUGGUACUCAUAUACACAUUCAUAAAAUGUUUUGAAGUGUGUCUCUUAUGACACACAACCAUGCAUGAUCUUACUAAAUAAAUUGCUCAACUUAUCAAAGUAAGAGCAAAUUCUCCUGAAACCAGGAUCUAUAAACCCAUUCAAAUGAACAAUGUUGUUGGACUCAUUCAAUGAGCAUUUUUUUGCAUUAAGUACUUUAUGUACAUACCCAGAAUGGUUUAGCUAAAUUUCUUAUCAAAGAGAGUUAAAUGAAUUACAUGACCACUUUUAAAGGAUUGUAAAUUUACCAACCUCUUGCCGGACACAUACGGCAUUACACACCGUAAGUAUGAUCUAAAUCAUACCAACUGCAUAUCAUACUACUUUCCCCUUGUAGUUACUACGUGGAAAUCAACAAAGUAUUUCCCAUCUACUAUAAUUCGGUUACAUACCGAUAUCACCACUCCAUCAUACAUCAAUGGGCACUCACAGAAAAUCGGGGAUCUAUGUGAGGAAUAAUAAUUUAUCCGUCAAUCAAAAUUAUUCAUAGUCCGUACGCUGAUUGCAUCAGCAAUAAGGAUAUUUUUUUCGGCAUUAGGGGGAGAUAAGUACCACAAAGAAUGCCGAGAAAUAAAUUAGAAAUGUUAUUGACAUUCAAUCCUUAUAUCCACGUACUCAAAGAAUCUGAACUAAAAGUUUAGAGAAUCAUAUAUUUGCAACACAUUGCAAAUCUGCCAUAUACAUUUACUGAUAACAAGGUGUUACUAAAUUCUAUAUUCCUGCAGUAAAGUGUCAGAAAGAGUGGAGGUACCUGAUAAACCACUCUUGUCCCCAAAUGAGAGCAAGAGGGGGAGAAAAUCUGACAAGACGAGAUAUAACUUCUCAUAUGCUUCCGCGGAAACAAAGGAAAUCAAAUUCUCAACCAGUAAAUGUAAUUCAACAUCAAGUUGAAGGACACCUCACUGGAUUCUCAUAAUCCAAAGCCCGGCAUAAAUGUGCACAAAUAUUUUGGUGCCGGGACAUCGAAACACCUUGACUCCAUUUGUUGUAGGAAAUCACAAGGAGUUAAAAAGGAAUGAAUAUAUUAUCCACAAACUUCAAUGAUUCCAUUAGAAUCAUAUAAACUAAAGACUACAUUUGUCGACAUGUAUUACUUCUCAAAUUGCUAAAACCUUUUGGGCCCUGAACCAAAAUCCAUGGUAGAGUGCCUCUUGCACUCAUAUUGGUUCACAUAAAAGGAAGCAAGUAACGAAGAAUAGUACUCGCUCUGCAAACGAGUAGUAUUUACUGCAGUAAUACCUACUCCUCAUAAGUAUCAUCCCUAUGGAAUACUAUAAACUACUCAUUCAUAGACAAAGUCAAUGAGGUGGUGAGAAAGCGAGGCUUGUAGCAAAAGGGUUCACGCAGAGACCCGACAUCCAUAACGAUGUAACAUACCCGCUUGGUAUGAGUGGUAUUACGUUUCGAUAUUAAAUAUCAUUGGCAAUAAAAAUAAUAAUAAUAUCCAUGCAGUUGAUGGAUGAAGUGGCUACAUACUCAUAUGAGUCACUCAUUUCGGAAAUCUCUAUUGAAGUCCCUGAAGGGCUUAUACUUCCGAAUCCAAAAGCAAAUCGCAACAAGUUUUGUGUAAAACUUCAUAAGUCACUCUAUGACUUGAAAUAGUCGAAAAUCAUAUGGUACUACCGACUAAAUGAGUUCCUUCUUCAAAAGGAUUACUCGAAUAAUGAUGAUUAUUUACAUGUUUAAUAAAGGAAUCCCAAAUUUGAUUUCCUUUCAUCACCUCAGUGUAUAUUGAUGACCUCAUCAUCAAUGUCUAUACAAGACCUAAACAUACACAUAAUCAUCUCAAGACGGGAAAUUUGGAUUCAACCAAAUUUAGCUUAAGCUUACAACUUGAGCAUUCUAUCAAGAAUACAUAUCAGUCUACAUAUAUCCAAGACAUAUACGAGAAGUUCAAUGUGGAUAUAUCAAACCAAUAAAAGACAUGUAAUAUGGUCAUAGUACCCCUGAUAGGGUACAAAUCCAUUCAUACCUAGGGGUGAUAAUGAAGUGAUAUCAGGACCUGAAGUUCUAUCUCACUAAUGUCAAAGCACUCAUAUAAUUGCAAAACUACGUCAGGCCUGACACUAAAUUUGCUAUCUUUGUUCAGAGUGCAACCCACAAUAAAAGGUAUAUGGACGAUAUAAGAAAUAUUAGCUUAUAUAUCAAGCUCACAAUAAAGCUUGGAUAUUUCCGUCAGGAAAUACAAGAUAUGACCAUGAUAUGAUAUAAUGAUAUUGGCUCUUUCUUUGAUCCCAACAAUGCCAUAUCAAUGACUGAAUUUGCGGGAAUAGCCUUCAUAUGGAAGUGAUCUAAAUGAGCAUUAAUGGCUAUUUCUAGUUAUCAUUUUGACAUAAUUGCUUUAUCUAAAAGAAUUGCAAAAUAUGCAUGGCUUAGCAAAAUGAUUAACCACAUUCAAAAUCAUGUGGUUGAGAUUCAUUAGAAUCACAUAACUUGAUUUAUCAAGACGCCACCACUUGUGUUACUCAAUACCUAAAGGUUAUAUGAAGAGCAAUAUCAUAAAGCACAUUGCUCGAAAAUUACUUAUCCUCAGAAAUUAUAGAAAGUGAGGAAACAAUUUGCAAACAACAUACUUUGAAAAUCCUAUAGAUUAUUAAUAAUGUCAUGAUAUAUCAAUGGAAUUUGUUUUACACAUUCUCCAGGUUUGCAAAGUUCAGGGGGAGUAAUUUCCCAAAUCUAUAACCUGUUAACAAUCAUGAGACUGCAUAUAUUGUACUCUUUUCCCUUCAUGAGUUUUUCCUAAUGGUUUCUCAUAAAAGGUUUUUAAUGAGACAAUAUAAACACAAGUGUCUAUAUAUGCCAUAUCAUUUUCUCCUUAUAUUUUUCCUACCGGGUUUUAAAGGAGUUUUCAAUGGCAUAUUAGAUCGCACUCUUUUCCAUUAUGAGUUUUCUCUCAAUGUUUCUCAUAAUGGUUUUUAACGAGGCAAUAUCUUCUCAAAGAUCAUAUAUCAUACUUUCCAUUUUCCCUACCGGGUUUUUUUUAAAGGAAGUACUCAAGAUAUAUUAAUUGUUCUCUAAACUUAUCGAUGAGUUUUCUCCUUCUUCAAAGGUUUUUCUCAUAUGAGUUAUCAAGAGACAAUAAUCAUUAUAUGUUGCAUCAUUUUCUCCUUAUUUUUCCCAUUGGGUUUAAAGGAGUUUCAGCAACGUAUCUACACUAUUUUCCUCAUAUUUUUCCCACAGGGUUUUUGGAGGAGUAUUUCUCAAGAUGAAGAUGAUGAACAUUCAAGGCAAAUACAUACUAGAAGGAGACUAUGAGGAUGAUGUAUAUUCACAAAGAGAAGCAUUGAUUAGGGGGAGUGUUAGGAAUUAAUUAAUAGGUUAAUUAAUUGUUAAUCUAUGCUAAUGUCGGUGGCCAUGUUUGGCAACCGUCUCCUUUGUAACCGCCUUGUAACGAGGGUAUAAAUACCCCAAUGUUCAAUCAAUGAAAGAACUGUUCCACCAUUUGCUCCUCUCUCUCGUUUCUCUCUAAACAGUGGCGUCCAAAGAGGCUGGUUUUUCUCUCGGUUUCGCCCACCUCGCUCGCGUGGCCGACCUGUCUCUCCUUGUUCCUCUACCCGUCUCCGGUAUUAAAGCCCCAUCGCCAUUCGCCCAACUCCUCCGUGCUCCCCUCCCUUGGGCGCACGGAUCCAUCGCCGAGGCCGAAUCAAAUACACCGCCACCAAGAGGCCAACCAACGCCAACCACCAUCCUGCGCGCUGGAUCCCUUUGCCUAGCAGCGCGUCUCCGGGACGACCGGUCCAUUCCAUCCAAGAGCGCAUGGUGCCGAGCAUUGCCGGGGCGGCGGCGGCGUCGUCGUCCGCGCACGCGCAUGCGCCGGCUGGGCGGCGGGCCAAGAGGGAGCCGGUCCACAUGCACGCCGGCAUCCGGCGGUCGCGCUCCGAGCCGCACCUCCGCUGCUCCCGCCGCGGCGGGGCCGCGGGCGCGUCGCUCACCACCAGCCGCUCCAUCGGCGUCUUCCCCUUCCAGUUCGGCGCCGCGCCGCUGCGCCCGCCGCCGCUCCCCGACAGCGUCGGCGGCGGCGACUACCGGCUCCUCACCGUGUGCGCCGGCGAGACCGACCCGGACCCGGACCCGGAAAUGCCGCAGGUCAGGACGCCCGAGGACCACUGGCUGGACCGGCUCCUGGAGCUGCGCUCCCGCUUCCACGACCCCACCAAGCGCUUCUUCACCGACAACGACAACCUCUUCGAGGAGCAGGACGACGACGACUACCACGAGGACGGCGGCUGCGGCGUGAACUACGAUGAGGAGCACACCGCGGCGGAGGCCGAUGACAAGUGGGACCGCGAGUCGUUCGUCAAGCUGCUGGCGCGGGCCCCUCCGGGCGAUGCCCGGCUGUUCGCGCAGCUGGCCUUCCUCUGCAACAUGGCCUACGUCAUCCCGGAGAUCAAGGUGAGCGCUACGGGAACGAUAGUCUGGACUUGGACGGCCCUGAUCCGCCGAUCUGGCUGCCGGAUUAGCUCAACUAAUAAAAACGCGGCCUUUAAUUGCUACGAUACGAUAGUCGCCGCGCGUACAGGCUGGGAGGUGCCCACUGGACUAGAGUAUUAAUUGCUUAAGGAAUUUAAUGUUUGCCAGAUUUAGGUAGGAAAAGCAAGCAGGCAAGCAGCACCCCGUGUCUUCAAUUUCCAUCGCCGAUUAUCUUGGUGGCCGAUCUGUCCAGCCACGUAGGAGUAGUAGGAGUAGUAGUCAUCAACUUGCGCUUCAUUCCUUUUUCAUUGACAAAUUCCUGUUCUAAUUAGUGGCCUUUUUCGUUAUCCCAAAAUACAGAAAUCAGUCGUGAUCAACAUGUAGGGGUAGUUUUCUGAAAUCAAGGGUGGCAUUUUCGAGGUAGUUGGCUGAAAAGUUUCGUGAGAGUAGCAAUUUCUGGGUGUGACUUGUGGAGCACUGUCAUAAUCUUCCACUUGCGGUCAACGAUCCAUGCAACAAUCUACACAAGUCUUAAUUUUGAUUUUCGUUGUUGCUGGAAUUACAGAGGGCUGAGCUGAGGAAACACUACGGACUCGAGCUGGUGACGUCGUCGGUACAGAAGAAGGCCGAGGCCAGCGCCGUGAGCGCUCAGGUGGACGGCGACUCCACACGGCCGCCGGGCGAUGCGCAGCAGUACGAGGUGGCUGCGGAGCCGCAGCCGCGACGGCCGGUCCGCCGCUCCAACCACCUGGCCUACGAGGUGGCCGCGUCGGCCGCGUCCUACGUCCAAGCGCGGGCCCGCGGCCUGCUCUCGCUCCGGGGGCAUCAACACCCACCGGCCGGGGAAGAAGACCGGCUGUACAACUCGGGCAUGGCGGCCUACGUUGCCGCUUCUACGGUCACGGCGGUGGUGGCCGCCGAGGACGAGGCGCGGCAAGAGGCCGCCCGUGACCUGCGGUCGCCGUUGUCCUCACCGUGCCAGUGGUUCGUCUGCGACGAGGCCGACAUGCGCACCCGCUGCUUCGUCAUCCAGGGCUCCGACUCGGUCGCGUCCUGGCAAGCCAACCUCCUCUUCGAGCCCACCACGUUCGAGGACACCGGCGUUCUCGUGCACCGCGGCAUCUAUGAGGCGGCCAAGGGCAUCUACGAGCAGCUGAUGCCGGAGAUCGUGGAUCACCUGAGGGCGCAGAAGGAGGGCGCUCGCCUGCGGUUCACGGGGCACUCGCUCGGCGGCAGUCUGGCGCUGCUUGUGAGUCUGAUGCUGGUGGCGCGCGGGGUGGUCGGCCCGGAGUCGCUGCUCCCCGUGGUCACCUUCGGCGCGCCGUCGGUGUUCUGCGGCGGACAGCGCGUGCUGGAGGCGCUCGGCGUCGGCGAGGGCCAUGUCCGCGCCGUGGCGAUGCACCGGGACAUCGUGCCGAGGGCAUUCUCGUGCCGGUACCCCGGCCACGCCGUCGCCGUGCUCAAGCGCCUCAACGGCGCGCUGCGCACGCACCCCUGCCUCAACAGCCAGAAGGUGCUGUACACGCCGAUGGGCACGACGUACAUCCUGCAGCCGGACGGCAAGGCGUCGCCGCACCACCCGUUCCUGCCGGAGGGCGCGGCGCUGUUCCGGGUGGCCAGCCCGGAGGAGCGCGCGGAGCCGUCGGGGUCGGGGAGGGCCGUGGUGGCCAGCGCCCUGCGCGCGUUCCUCAACUCGCCGCACCCGCUGGAGACGCUGAGCGACCUGUCGGCCUACGGGUCCGAGGGCGCCAUCCUCCGGGACCACGAGUCCGGCAACUACUUCCGGGCGCUCUACGCCCUCACCAAGGUGGCGCCGCGCCGCCGGAAGCAGCCGGAGAUCGUGUGGAGGCUUCCCGGCGUGGAGCGGCUGCAACAGUACUGGUGGCCGGGGGUCGCCGGCACCGUGGUCCCGAGGCCGGUGGCCGUCCACAGCAAGGAGCUGGUAUCCGAAGCCUGAAUCACUGCGAUUCAAGCAGGUCUACAUUCUUUUCUUUGGGUUCUUUGAUGUGUGGAGCGAAUGCAUCAAUGGCACGUACAUACGAGAGUACAGAAAACCAGUCGACUUUCUUGGUGUAGGUUUAGUGUAGUAGAGUACGUACACAUUGCAAGCGUAUGCGUAUAGUAUAGUAGGAGCAUUGAUGUGGUUUGUUGUCCUGGCUGGUGGCCUGCAAAGUUGUGCAGGCCGCUGAAUAAUGCAAUGGUGAUUUGUCAAAGGAUCAUGUGAUUGUGAUCCGAUGAACUACACCUGUAAAUUCGUUGUUAUAAAGGAAAUGAAAUUUGAAAUGUUGUUCUAAAGGAAAAUCCCAACGAAAAUGACGUUUCUCUUGCUCUGCUACUCACUGCAUCCAAUGCACCUCUGUAUUGUAUAGGUCACUUCCCAAUUCCUUCGCCAUUUGGCCAUACACUCCAAAUGGAUUCCUUCUAAAGGCUCCAUACACUUCACUUUUCUAUAUCUAGUCAGUAGUACUCGUAAAAUACUUCCUCUGUCUGCGCAAAUAUAACGGCUCAUUUGAUUCAGAAGGUUUUCAUAGCAAUUUUGGAGGAUUAAAACCCUUAGGAAUUUUUUCUUUGUUGGUUGUUUGAUUCAAUGUGAACCUAUAUGAAUUUUUUCAAGGAUUUUUUGUACUAUUUCCUAUAUGAUUUCUAGCAUUUUUAGAAUCGUUUUGAAAGAAUCCUUUGUUUUUCUAUGAUGCAAUCAAGCAACCCAAAAUCAUGUAGGAUUGAAAUGAGCAUGACAUUUUAAUCCUAUGUUUUUCAUAUUCCCGCAUUUUUAGAAUCCUGAGAAUCAAAGAGGCCCUAAGAUGUUUUGAGUAUCUUAGUAUAGACUAGAUACAGACUGAAGUGAAUGACAAACACACUAAAACGUGUAUAUGUACAUCUGAUUUUUAAGAAAAAAACAUCUUAUAUUUGUGAACGGAGGGAGUACUCACACAUGAUGCGAAAGAACAACAAACUGAGAUAUACUAGUAACAUUGGAAUAAAACAAGAGUCUUACAACUUGCGCAAGAUGAUAAAUUGUUUCUUCUCUCUCCCGAUCAUUCAAAGGCGGUGGCGGGGGUGGUGCAUCAAGGUGACCGGCAUCGGAGGUGAUGAUGGACGACGCUCGUUGUCGGCUGCUGGUCGAAUCAGCACUGUCGUACGGUGAGUCAUCCCCACCCCCCCUGAUUAUGUCGCCCCUCUCCCACCCAUGUUUUGGGUAGGGUUAAUCGAAGACAUGAUCAUGCAUUCAAGGCUUUGUUUUGCAUCUUUAAUCCACGUUAUGACGGAGAUAUUUGUAUGGCUUGACAACAUUUACCCCCUGCACCAUGAAUCACGUUAGGGUUAUUUAGGGGUUUUGAAGGAGGCAACUUUGCCGAGCAAAAUCGUUGAUCAAUGACACGAGGGCAGCUAAUUUACCAACAUUAGUGCUCAAAUUUAUUCAGUAAUCCCAAGGGGGCAUGUUUUUUUUUUCAAAAUUGUAAUGUGCUGCAACUGAAAAUUUCGUAAUGUUGGUUGGCUGAAUUUUAGUACAGUAGUACAAUUUGUUUACUGAAUUUUUUGUGACACAUGUAGUAGUAUUGCAGUUAAUGGAGAAUUGUGUGCACUGAAUUUUAUGCGGUUAGUUUUGUGACAGUAUCAGUACCGCAGUUAAGUGAAUUGCUGAAUUUGUUGAACUGUCGUGUAGUGUGUUGGUUAACUGAAUUUGUGAAAUACUGUGACACUUCUUGUACAAUUAUCUGAAUUAUUGUGGCACUGUAUUUCUGAGUUAUCUAAAUUUAUGAUCUGAAGUUGUGCUAUGUUUUCAAUGCAGGAUCAUUUGCCUAGAGUAAUUACUCCAACUAAGAUAAGCAAGGGAAAAGAAAACGUGUGUGCUGAUUAGAAAUACCUCAAAAUCCAUUAGAGAUGAGAUCAAGGACAACAAGGAGGUUUGUGUCAUUUAGUGAAGGUUUGAUUCUGAUGUUGCCACGGAAGAAACAUAGGAACAAGUGGAUGACAACAGCGACGAAGAGGGUAAGGGUGACAAUGCAGAAGUUGAAACACAUGAGAGUUUUACCGAAAAUGACUUUGAAGUAGCAGAUGGUGGUGAUUUGGUUGAGGCCAAUGUAGACUAACAUGUUGACGAUCUUAAGAUAAGGAGAUCUUACAUAACUUUGAAGAAUUUGCAUAACAUGUUGACUAUCACUUACACAUUGAUACGUCAAUUUUGCAUCACUAUUUCUUACUAUAAAUUGUUCAUCAUUACUUAUUUCUCUUAUUUUGUUUGUUGCAAUGGAGGUGGGGGAAUUGAUGAAAAACUACAAAAAAGUGCCGAAAAGAAGAGCAGCAAAGAAAAUAAUUUAAUGAACUAUAUCAUGUACAAACCCAUUCCGAGUCAAUCCACUUCUCACUUUAUAAACAUACUUUUGUUCUGUAACAUGGUCAUGUGUAUCCUCUGCAUUUUUUGGUGAAAACUUCACUACAAUCUUUUCGCCACUCUUAGAUGCUUCCUGGCUGAAUACAAACGACUAGUCAACUCACAGCAGGCAGGGUGGAAACCGUUUCCAUAGGCACUCAGCCUCACGCUACUGAAGCCUGCACCCCUUUUCUAUUGCCGAAUCACAGAGCUUUUUUGCUCACAUCCUUUUACAACACCAAUAUAUAUGAAACUGCCUUGGGGUAAAAACUAAAAAGACAGUACUGUAAUUGCAGUUUUGAACAGCGAGUUUCUGAAAAGAAAACCAAAACAGAACAUGCCAGACAUAAUAAUUGACCACAUCCGCGUAACAUGUUACGACGCAAUAGAAUGAGACAGUUAUAUGGACGGUUUCCUUUAAACAAUGGCGAGGCAUAGAAUUGAAAAGAAGAAAUAAUCUAGAAUCCAAAAUAUGCAAUGUCACAUCUGUAUUGCUUCCCUAUCUAAACCAAGCGUGAUGCACUUCUCAGCUCAGGGGCUUCAUGUUGGGUAAAAGGCAGGCGCUGGUGAGUCUCGCCGCGUCACAGAUAUGUCAAUAGCUCACAAUCAUGCAACACCCUCCGAUAAUCUCAUCUUUCAAUUUCCUGCAUGCCAGCCUAAUGGUGCCGAGAAGGAAAUGCACCCAAGUUUACCCCACUUCGCAAAAUGGUGAGUAAUGACUUUCCAAUUACUGUACACGGAUUUACAGUCGAAACUACCACCUUGAUGCAACAAAAGGUAAUAUGUCUAA